UUUUUUUUUUGUAUUUUCUUUGCUUUUUUUUUUCUUCAAUACUCUCCACAAUUUUUGGUUGCCCGGAUAAUGAUCUUCCAAAAUAUAUAUGUACCUUUUGGACUUUCUAUGGUUCUACUCAAAAGCUACCCCAACUCUCACCUUACUCUUCUAGCGACUUAAGUGCUUUCGAAGGUAACAAAUUGAAAAGAUUUAAUGAAGAAUAAAAUGGGAAUCAGCUUGUAAUGUUGGUACCAAAGAAAAAGCUUAUAUGCUCAAAUGGGCUAUCUAAGGAUAAUUUUAUUUAUGAUGGCAUAAUAGCUAAAUGAACAAUCAAAGAAAAGCCUACAUAAUCUCCUAGACUCACAAAACUUACUUAUUUCGCUUCGACUAACACACGGGGCAAGUUCUAGACAAACACAGGAUAGUACAUAAUGUAAUCAAAAUCUCAUAUCACACAAUGCACAUGACCCCAGUCGGGACGGUUCCAUUCCAACUCUCAAGUUUAGGCAAGUAAUCACAAAGUCAAUAAUUAUUAAGCAAUAAAGCACUACAUGAACAAUAAGUCAAGUAACUAAGAGAAAGCGCCGCAGUCAAGCUAUUCAAUCUUUCACGUCAUCAAUUUUUAUUAAAACAUGUUAGGAAGGUAAUUUGCAUGCUAAGGCCUAACUAUGCUAGCAUCAAACAGGUCAAAAGUCACACAACUACACUGAAGUUUUCCUCCCUCGAUUUCCUAAAAAAUAAAAAUAUUCGGUUCAAAUUGCAUCCCCUGAAAAAGAACCGAUGCCAAAAGAAAAGCCAAUGGAGAUUAUUAUCUACCUACAACUAACUAAAAAUAAAAAUAAAAAUUUUUGGAAUUUUCUUUCAUUGGACCUUAAUCCCUCAAGAAAGUUGUCCAAGAGAUUUAUCGUCAAGAAAAAUCCCAAUUGUUUUUUGUGUUUUUAAUUUUAUUUGUUUUAGAUAAACUAACACAACUAAACUAUCAUAGAAAAUCACCCAGAUAAUCUCAUCACCCCACACUUAAAAUUGUGUAUUUUUUCCAAAGCUCACCAUAAAUAACAAGAUGGUGAAAGAAACUCCCUGGUAGGCCAAAGGCCGAAGCAUUAGCGGCUCAUGGGUUACUCAGACUUCUCCCUGGCCUGGUCCUUCGUACGAGUACCUCACACUUAGGUUCAACCAUCUGGUUUGCUUUUUCUUCCUUCCAAUGGAUUUCCUUUCCAUGCUCCUACAAAAUAAAAAAUAAAAACUGCAUUACAAAAAUAACACAAUUAAGAAAAGUAAAAAAAAAAUUAAAAAAAUAAAGUUGGGUUGCCUCCCAACAAGCGCCUAAUUUAAAGUCACGGCACGACAUGAAUCACUUUCUGCCUCCACUUUGAACUUAUGAAUUGGACCCCAAGUUUUGAUUCUGCUCUACGAUUAUGCUUUGGGGUGGUGUAAAGCCUUGAAAGGCAAAGUUAAAUAAUUCCUUAUGCACUUUUUGGCUUUAACCUGAGGAGUAUCACCUUGCCUAGAUGACCUAAAAUAUUUAAAAAUAUAUGGCUCAUGUACCUCCUCCCUUGUCUCCUUUCUACGCUAGUAAGGAUCCAUUCUCAUUUCACCAUCCGAAUACAAUUUAGAGAAGUGUUUUGAAUGAGGUCCAACACGCUCAAAUACAUGAACUUCGAGAUGUUCAACAUCCUCUACACCAAUGACACUAGAGUCAACUGAAUAUUUAUCCUCGAUGUCCUCGGUUGACUCUAGUAUCACGCUUUCAAUAUCGGCAUCCUCAAAUUCUGGUUGGCUAGAUUGUUGGUGUUCUACUCUGACCUCCUCCAUCAGAAUGUCAACUGCUGACUCUAAUUCACAUUAUUUUUAGCUACUAUCCACCAUAUUGACUUGUUGAUCAUUCAAAGCUUCUACCAUUUGACUCACUUGAGCCUUCAAGUUGUGAAUAGUUGCCUUUUGCCUUUGUAUCUGUAAUUAUAUUUUAUUAUUUUGUUCCACAAGGUACAUUAACAUAUCCUUGAUCUCUUUUAGGUCAUCAUCCUCAAGUUGUUUGUUCCUAGUAACUUCACAGUAAAAGUAGAACCAUCAUAAUAAGGGGUAGGGGAGGAUAAGAAAUAUAAGCACAACCAUAAAAGUGAUCAUCUUGACUAUCGCACAUCCCACACAUGAGAUUGAGUUGAUGCACAUAACUCGCUCUCGGGAAUAUAUUGAUAAUUUUGGCACAAGUGAUUUCCUCCACAAUUUGCACAAGGAAGAUCAAAAGUUGAAUUACCAAUAUCAAAACUCCUAUAAUUCCAAGAUUUCAUGUUUCUCAAAUCAACAAGUAAACCUAAAAUAAAAAAAAUCAAAUACGAAAAAAUUAAAAGUUCAAACUUGAGUUCGCUGAAAAUGCUCUCCGUACAAGAUGACAAUUCGCUACAGUAACUCUGACGUGCCUUAUGGCAGCUGCUCUAUUUUCCGGCAGCCAAAAACCACCGGACCAUAUUCAAAAGAACACCCUAUCUAUUACGAACCUUCCCCAAUUGAUUUCACUUUCAAACUCCAACCAAGCUACUACAGAUCUUUAAUUUGGUGGCGCAAUUACUGUAGCUCAUGGAGGAGAUAAGGAGGCAACAUGGAAUCGAUUUAAAUCUUCCAUGUCAGCCACGACCUCGACCCAACCUUUGGGUGACGAAGAGCCUCUUCAAAAUCCCAAGGAACCACAUUUAAACUCUAGCAACUCCCCCACGUAUGCAUCUAGCUUGAAACAAACACAAACAGCCCGAUCUCUUACCACAAAACUAAUCUGAACGCCAUGUCAUGUCAUGCGUCCUGUCAUGGCCACGCCCUGCCAUGUCCUGCAUCGUGCCAUGGCCAUGUCUUGCCACGUCUGACGCCGUGCCAUGGCCACGUCUGACGCCGUGCCAUGGCCACGCCCUUCCUACUGAGUUUAUUCAUGGAGUACCAACUCUACAAUUCUCUUUGGAUGAACGAGAAGUUUUUGCUAAUGAAUAAGGAUUACAUCAAGCAACUGUGAUUAAGGUAUCCUUCGGUGCGCCGAAUUUGCAUAUUUUAAGGACCAUUCUGCCGAAAAUACUUGGCAUUAAAGGUAACUGUUUGUUAGGUCUUCUUGCACAUCGUCAACUUCUCAUUCGAUGCGACCAAUAUGAGGAUUAUGUGAUGUCCUCGUCAAGAGCUAUGAAUUAUUUCCAGCAUAAUGGUAAAGAGCACCAAAUCAGAAUGUUUCCAUGGAGUAUUGGAUUUAAUCCAAAGUUCGAAACUUCGAUGACAGCUGUUUGGAUUUCACUGCCAAACUUAUCGCCUGAAAUGUUAGCUCGAUAGACACUACUGUCUAUUGCUGAUGCAAUUGGAAAGCCAAUUGCAAUUGACAAGGCAACACAAAUAAGGUCGCGUCCUAGCACGGCGAGAGUUAAGGUAAUCUUCACUUGUUGGACAAGCAUCGAGACAAGGUUAGACUUCAAUAUGUCAACGCUAAAACUGGUAAAAUCGAAGAAGAAUUCCAAGAAAUUAUCUAUGAUAAUUUGCCUUCGUAUUGCUGUCAGUGUAAGCGCCAAGGAUAUGAAGCGCUUAAUUGUCGUGUGUUAAGAGGAAAGGCAGUAGAAAUAGAGCAUUCUGGGAAUGUAAGAAGUGAGAUAGACAAUCACUCUGUUGAAAAAUUACAAGGUGAUGCAAGGGAUUUUUUGAAUGCAAAAAAACAACGACAGGAUCUUGUUGAUCACAGUUUACUUAAGUUUGCACCAGCUAAUGCGCAACAUCUUUUGAAAACAGAAUUAACAAAGGUUAAGGAAAACAAAUAUCUAACUUUGGUAGGGAAAAUGAAUGAGGAGUAGGUUAUAGGGAGUUUGAUCUUGGGCAAUGCUGGACAACAUGGACAUGGUCAUGUAGAUGGGCAGAAGGAUCUUGAUUCAAAGGAGAAUAAUAGUACAUCAAGUUUUGGAGUUGAUCGAGCAUCUGCUGUUACCCAUCCAACAGCAGCAGUUGCAAAGCAAUUCGCACAUGCUGAAAAAUCAACUGUCUUUUGUUCGACAUUGAAUGGUUCAGCUGCAUUGAAUAAUGAUCAACAUGCCAACAACAUGGCUAAAGUUGCAGGGCAGUUACUUGUUACUCCAAUGCAUUCAACUACGACUCCAAGGAAAUCAGAUACAAAAUGUAACAAUUGGACAGGGGUGACCAGAUCAUCUAGCAAGAAGCAAUCUCCAGGCCAUCAAAUGUAGAGUAUACCAACAACAGCCAUUGGGAUUUCCAUCUAUUUUGAUGCUUUGUCGAUGGAGGGUGAUCAUACUUUGAAUGAGUCUGAAAAUGAGGAGCAACAGUUAGAUGAAGAGCCACAAAAAACUGGGAAGGAACUAGCUAACACUGGUUCGAAUUUAGGUGACACUAUUGCACAGUAUUUUAGUACUUAUGUAGAUGCACCUGGGAUUGUUAAAACCGCAGGUGUAGUUGAUAUUGCUGAAACAAUAUCAGAUUCUGAUUACUUUCAUAAUAGUAAGGCUCUACCUAUGUCUAUUCAUUCAAAGGCUAAAACUUCUGGCCAGAUACAUGAUACAAGAAGGAAAUCGACUACAACGGAUCGAGGAGUUCCAGUAGUACUCAGUCUGUUGGUGCAUUAAAUACAACUGGGAAAUCUGAUGAGUAGAGAAUUAUCACUAAUGUUGCUCUGAAUAUGGAUGCUGCAAGGGUUAAUGCAAUGGAAAAGCAUGGGCAUCUUCAGUAGAAGAAGGAUGAUAGUGCUAAACAUUGGUUGGUUGUAUCACCUAGCAAAAAGACUGCUAUAGAUCAAACAAAAAAGAAAGUUGCAGCAGCAAACAUCUGAUGUGCCAAUUCUUUUCUAGCUAACACUGGUUCAAAUUUGGAGGACAUUGUUGCACACAAUGUUUCAACUUUUCUAGCCAUACCUGGGAGUGUUAAAACUGGAGCUGCAGAUGAUCUUGAAAUAACAUCAUCUUCUGCAGUUUCUAAUGUACAGAAGGAAGGACAAGAACUGGAAGGUGUUAGUGUAUUCUAAAAUAACACUACUAAAGGUUCUGGGAGACCAUUUGAAUAUGCUCAACACACUCCAAAAAAUGUUUCUGGUGCGCAACAAACUGAUUUGAAGCUAGGCGACUGGGCAUUGCAAUUUCAUCCAGUUGUGGAUGAUGUUGGGAAGAAAGGGCAGCAUCUUCAACAUGAGGCAGCCUCAAGAAACAGUACAAUGCUGUAGAUUUCUAGCCCUCGCGUGGAAAAAAUUAUCAAGGACGCGCAUCUUAUGCCAAAAACUGAAAGUACUUCGACUGGAAAACUAAAGAGGAAGCUUAAUUUGGAUGCUCCAGGUUUCAUUCCUAGAAAGUCUCCUGGUGCUUGCAUUCACAAUGCAGUAACCCCACCAAAUGUUGGGCAAGAACAUAUUGGAACAAGCAAAGCAGGUGCUAUCUGGAUGAAAAAUACAACAACAAAAAGACUGGGCAGCAACAGAUUUUUGCAAACACUCCAGUUGAUACUCUUGUGUCUAGUCAAUAUGCAACAACACCAGCAACUGCUGGACAGUAGAAGCAAAUUGCAAGCAUGCCACAAGCAGUAAUAUCAACUCCAAAUGCUGGACAGCAGCAGCAACAUUUACAACCAUGUUUUGUAGUAACGACUACACAAGCUGGACAUCAGCAAUUGGUUACAACCACUCCAGCUAUUUCUGUGAAUGAGGAAGUAAACGUUAGGCGACUCCUAAUGAGAGUUGCCAAACAAAAACAAGCAGCCCCAACUACAUCUACAAGGUCCAAACAUUCAAUAAAAAAGUCAUGAAUUUUGAAGACAUUCUGAAGAGGUUUGAUGAAGAUGAUCAAGAACUAUAAAUUGAAGAAGUUACAAGUUUGGGCAACAAGGGACAAGAAUCAAAUUCCUACUACAUCUUAUUUUACCAUUUUAUUAGUAUAGUCAUUUGUAAUAUCAUCACGGAGUAUGUUAUAAACUCUGUGAUGAUCAUAGAAUAUUUAGUGCUCUCUAGCUCUUUCUUUUUACAUGCUUGUUAGUAGGCGAGGAUAUUUAUGCCUCAACAGGAUUAGUAAGGUAAGGUUAUGCCCAGUAUGUGGUUGCUCAUGCCCUAUGCCUUUGGAAAGAUAUCCAAAUGGCUAUGAGAUUAUAUGCCCUCGUGAGACUUUGCCGGAAGAUCCAUGAUCCUCUAUAUGAGGCUGCCAUCAUAAGGCAAUGUGAGGCACAGAGGAGUGAUUAUAUAGCCAAGGCAUACAGGCAACACUACUGGUACUAUUGUCCCCCUUAUUUAUACUUUUCCUAUGUGUCGCGCUUUCUUUUCUAUUAUUAAUAAAAUAACUACUGGGCACGCCUAGUAGUAUAAUUUGCCCAAAAACAUUUCAAACUUAAAACUAGCAAUAUAUACAGCUACAACUACACCGUUCGAUCCCCCGACAAUGGCACCAAAAUUUGAUCACACCCAACUCUAGUCCUAAAAAGAAUAAGUGGUUGCUGCAAAUAUAAUAUCGGGUCUAAGAGUCCGGAGUCGCAUCCCACAUAAAACUAAGGUUUAGCUACAACUGUUUACUAUCACUAAGAAGACAAGCUCGAACAAUUCCUAAGUAAUAAGAUUCUAGUUUCUAACUAAUUAAUUAACAAAUUAAAAUGGUAAAUUAACAACUAAAGAUACUAAGGAUUAGAGAUAUUACUCCGUCUAGAGUUAUGAUUUCCUCAAUUUUCGGAAUCCUUCCUGCUAUGUAACGAUCCGACCUGUCAUUUUGAGUGUAUUAUCCCCGAUCCCCUAUUUAUUAUUUCCCCCGUAUCUUUUUCUGCUUAUGUUACUUGCCGCGAGGUUUUGUUGUGGUUUCGGAUUGAAUUGGGACACUUAAUCCCUAAAAUGGAAGCUUAAGUCUUAAGAUUUUGACCGUAGUUGGAACUGUCUGAAGAUAAUUCCAGAAUGUAGUUUCGUCGGUUCCCUUAGUUUUGUUGGGUGAUUUUGUACUUAGGAGGGUGUCCGGACUGUGAAUUGGAGGUCUGUAGUUGAUUUCGACUUGAAUUGGCGAAAGUCGAAUAUUUGGAGAUUUUGAUCGGAAGAGGAAUUUUUGAUAUCGGGGUAGUAUUCCUAUUUCGGAAGUUGGAGUAGGUCCAUAAUAUUGAAUAUGACGUGUGUGCAAAAUUUGGGGUCAAUCGGACGUGGUUUGAUAGGUUUCGGCAUCAGUUGUAGAAUUUUGAAGUUUCAAGUUCAUUAAAUUUGAAUCGGAGGGUGAUUCGUGUUUUAGCAUUGUUUGAUGUGAUUCGAGGCCUCAACUAAGUUCCUAUGAUGUUUUAGGACUGGUUGGUAUAUUUUGUUGAGGUCCUGGGGGCCUCGGGUGUGUUUCGGAUGCUUAAAGGAUUGAAUUUGGACUUAGGCAAUUGCUGAAGUUUUCUGGUCUUUUGGUGUUUUGCACGAGCGGAAGGAGGAGCGCAGGUGCAGUUUGGUCAAGCUUGGUCUGUGGGCGCAGGUGUGAGAUUGGGCCACAGAAGCGGAGCUGCAUCUGCGGAAGGUGGAGCACAGAAGCGGACGAGGCCUGGAGUGUGAGGAUCGCAGAAGCGGAAGAUAUCCACAGGAGCGGGAGCGCAGGUGCGACUGGUGGUCCGUAGAUGCGGAAAUGCUGGACAGAACACUUAAAUGCAAGGGUUCGUGAUUUUUGCUCAUUUAUUUUACAUUUUUGAGCUCGGGUUUGGCGAUUUCUUGAGAGCAUUUUUUAGGGUAUUUCUUGAGGCAAGUCCCUUCUGCUUAUUUUUUAUCAAUAAUCUUGCUUCCCCAUUUAUUUUCCUACCUAGUUAGUGUAUAUUUAAGGUGGAAUUUGGGAGUUUGAGGCUAGAGAUUUGGUGAGUGAAUUUUGGGCAUUUGAAAGACCAUUUGGUGUCGGAUUUUAUUAAAUUUGAUAUGGUUAGACUCGUGAGCGAAUGGGUAUUCAUAUUUUAUGACUUUUACCCAAUUCUGAGAUGUGGGUCAAGGUCGACCUUUUAGGAUGGAUUUAAGAUUUUUUGUUAAAGUCUUGAUUUCAUUAAUUAGAUUAGUCUAUUAUAAUUUUAUUUAUGAUAUGUAAUUUUUUCUGGCUAGAUGUGGGCCAUUCAGAGUCGGAUAAUCGAGGAAAGGGCAUUCUUACUGAUUGAUUGAGCUUGGUUUGAGGUAAAUGGCUUGCCUAACCUUGUGUGGUGGAAAUCCCCUUAGGAUUUGGUACUGUUGUGAUAUGUGAGCGCCAUGUACGUGAGGUGACCAGUACGUACACGGGCUAUUUGUUGUAAGAACCCGAUUUUCAUUGAGUAGUGAUCUGUUUUCAUUUUAAUUGAGUUAUACUAGAUGUGUAGUUAUCCUGUUAGUCUAAUACCCCAUGUCUACGUGCUUUAACUGCUUAUUUGAACUUUGUGCAGCAUGCCUAAUUGAUUUCCUUCUUUUCCUUGAUCUUUAUCAGUCUUAACUGUAGAAUUCUUACUGUUAACUGUUGUAUUUAUCGGUUUGAGUUGUGUGUUUACUUUUGAGACUACGAGGUGGUACCUCGGGAGUUUUCCCUGCACAUUGACUUUUGAGACUACAAGGCGGUACCUCGAGAGUUCUCCCUGCACAUUUACUUUUGAGACUACGAGGCAGUACCUCGGGAGUUCUCCCUUUUGGGACUAUGAUUGUUAUAUCAUUGUGCGGUGUUGUUAUUUCUUGGUGAAUACUUUCUGUUAUUUUCUCCGUUUUACUUCAUUUUAUUAUAUCCCGGUAGGGCCCGGACCUGACCACGCCACUACACUAUCGAGGUUAUGCUUGGCACUUACUGGGUACCGUUGUGGUGUACCCAUGCUACUCUUCUGCACAUAUUUUGUGUGCAGAUCCAGGUACUUCUUAUCAGCCCCGCUACCAGCUGAGAGUGCUGGCUGCUGUACGGAGACUUCAAGGUACAUCUUUCGCAUCCGCAGACCUCAGAGUCCCCCUCUAUUCCCUCAUAUGUAAUUUACCUUCCGUAUUUCUUUUAUUAGACUCUUGUGUGUAGAGAUUUUAGUUUCCUUCUGUAGCUUGUGACUUAUGAUUUUUCGGAUUUUGGGAAUAUUGUGUACUACUAGAGUGUUGGAUAUUGUACAUGCCAAGCGGUAUUGUUACCAGCUAUUUAGUUAUCUGUUGCAGUUAGUUGUUAGGUUUUACUUUCAUAUUUGUUAUUUUCGUAUUGUGUUAAGCUUACCUAGUUGUAGAGACUAGGUGCUGUAACGACGUAUUACGGAGAGAGAAUUGGGUGGUGACACGCUAUGUCUUCUAUAAUUUCGCCUAGGUUUUAUCUACCGAUCAUGAGUACUUUGGGUGUCGUAGUUCUAUCUCGAACAACUACUAUAAUUUACUAGAUAUAUUCUCUCGAACUACACUAGUUGGCACUAAUUUAUCGCUCACUACGAUCACACUAAUGUUUCGUUAUCUCUAAUCCCGCAUUUAAACCCUCUGUAUUGAUCUAUCACAUACGUUAGGAGUGAUGUUGUUCAACAACUACCUAAAUAUGUACCCUCUCUCAAGCAAUACACACCAAAUAGGCACAGUCAAUUGAUGGACAUUCAAUCAACGACAAUAAACACGUAGUUGAACAAGUAGAGAUAUUCAAAGGAAAAAUUAUAUUAAAAUGUAACAAGAAUUCAUCCUUCAAAAGAUUUCAUCAAACCCUAUAUGAGAAAGUUUAGCUACUCAUAGUCAUACUAACAAUCAUGAUAAUAAUUGAGAGCAUUAAAAUACAGAUUAAGGAAGAAUAGAGUAGAAAACUCUUGUGAUUCGUUGCUUCCAAGUGUUCCCGUAGCCUUUUCCCUCUCCAAUAAUGUAUCUCCCUUAAGAAAUAGGUUUAGAACCCCUUUUAUACGUGUUGAGGGCGUAUAGGAUCAAAACUACCAAGUCCUAGCCGAAUUAGGAUGAAAUCCGCCUUUAGCCGUCUAGCUUGGCGCUUGGCGCCAACCUGGACACCGAAAUGUUUCCAUUUUUGUGCCAUUGGUAUUUUGGUUGGUGCUUGGCGCCAACCUGGGCAACAAAUCAUAAUCCCUCCAAAUUUUUCUAUUUGUUUAUUUCACUUUGCAUGCAGGCUUGCCAAAUCAGUUCAAAUUGACUCCUACACGCGUAAACACCAUUAUUAAGCUCGAGUCACAAAUAUUUACACCAAAGUUAACAAGAUUGAGGUAUAAUGUAAGACAAAUUACAUGCAAAAGUAUGAAGUUUUAGCCUAACAUCAACCAAUUGUAGGGAAAGAGUUGACAAGAGUUGAGUAGAAACAACGGGAAAGGAAAAUUGGACGAUAUUAGGGGAUCUGAUUUGUUGUUGUAGGAUAAGCAAUUAGGGUCAUGUAUGGGCCUAAAUAUGACUUUCUAUACAGUAUUUUUUAUUAGGGGUACUGGUGAUUAAUAAAAUUUAUUUUUCAUAAAGAAAAUACAAUGCCACACCUCUUUUUUUCCUGGGAAAGUAGCUUUUUCACUUUAAGUGAUAUUAUUAAAAAAGAAUUAUUUAUUUUAAUUUUAAGAGUCGCUACUUAAAAUUAUUUAUUUACGGUUUUCCCAAGUUACCAUUUAUUUGAAUCUCAAUUCAAGGAAAUUUGACUCUGUUUAAAUCUGCGAAACACAGACGACCUGGUAAGAAAUUUUGUUAACCCGGGAGAAGGUGUGAGGCACUCCCAGAUUUCGUGAUUUUAGCAUGAUCGCUUCAAAAUUACACUCGCCUUAGUUAUCUGAUUAUUACAUAUUUUAAAACCUAUGUUCAUUUACGUUUUUAAUUAUACAUUUUUAAGCAUUUAUGGAAUUUAUCUAAAUAAGUCGCAAUGUCGCGCACUUGUUAUUUUUGUACACAUACCGGUGAUUCACAAGAAUUUGGAGUUAAUGGUCAAGGCACGCGAACGUGCACUUGAAUUUGGAAUUACGUAUCAUGACUAUGUCACGAGAACCGUAUCUAUAGUCAUGAUAAUUCAUAUUAUUAGUCGCUCCUAUAAGCAAGCUACAAAUGUUCUUGAGCUAUUUAUUUUCCUAAGUUUGACAUGGCAUGUAAAAGUCAACGAAUUAUGGAAUUUAUUUGUAGGUAAAUUGUAUAUAUGAAUUAGAGUGAAUCUAGAAUUUAAAGUAAACAAAUACUAUUAAACUAAGAUGAUCGUUAGUUUGUACAGAUUUGAAAGUCUAUGAUGAGGACUUGCGAGUUGGAAACAAAUUCAAUUGAUUUGCUUAAACAUUUCAGGGAGGUCUCUAUAGCGUCCUUGCUUUGGAAUUGUUUGACCAAGGUUAAUUAGUGAUCGAAAAAUAUCAUUACACGCUAACUUAAACGGAUUUUUACCUUCAUAUGCACUAUUUGAAAGCUUAUUACCCUCCAUAUUUAAGUUUAAAUUUAAUUACAUGGUCAUAUACAAUUUACCAAUUAUAUACAAAUAAGUUUUAAAUGAGUAUCCAUAUAUUAGGAAGUGAAUAAGGAAUAUUAGUUAUUUCCUUAUCCCUUUAUACUUGCCCAUUCUCUCUCUCUCUCUUUGUCUCUCUCUCUCAACCUCUCUCUCUCUCUGUCUUUCUACUCUCCUUCUCCGUUUUUUUCCCAAUUUUUCUUCAUUUGAUUUUCUCUAUUUUUUUAUGUUUUUUUUGUUGUAUGGAGUUUUAAUGGAAUUCAUCAAUGAAUUUCAAUCUUUUAACUUUGUAAUUUUCUUUUAUGUUGCACAAUUGGUGUUCAAAUAGAAAUUGACAAUCAAUAAAUUUUAAAAAUGUUUGACUCUCCACCAUUGACUGCCAUUAAAGCUUUGAAACUUUGAAAUCGAAUUUGAAUUUUUAAAAAUCAUUAUUUGUUUGGACUGGGUGUUAAUGCAAAUAAUUGAAAAUAUUGUUUGAAAUUUAUAUCUCAAUUUUGAGGGUGUUUUGGUGAAGAAUAGGCUUGAUUUUGGUUGAAUUUCAAAUUGAAACUCGUCGAAGAAGAAGAAGAAGAAGAAGAAGAAGAAGAAGAAAAAGAAGAAGACGACAUGACAUACAAUAUACUUACGAAAUUAUAGUAAAGUUGUAGUAUAAUUGUAUGUAAAUUGUAUUCUAUUGUAGUUAUAACUAUUUUUUUAUUUGAAUGUUGUAACAAAGUUAAAAAAUAAUUGUAUAAAGUAUCAAUUGUUGUAUAAAAUUUGUAUUUAACUUAUCAAUACUAUCUUUUUACAUAAAGUUGUUGAUAUGUAUCAAAAUUGUAUUAAGAAAGUAAGUUUUGAUUGGAAUUUUAGAGAGGAAGAAGCAUACACCACAUGUCACGACCCAAAAUCCAACUAGUCGUGAUGGCACAUAACCCAUCCCGUUAGGUAAGUCAAUUUCCAACUAAUAAAUUUCACUAAUAAGUAAUAAAGCAAUUUAAGUGAAUAAAGAUCCUGAUCUUACACAAUCCCCAAGAACUGGUAGUACAAAUCAUGAGCUUCUAAGAAUAGAGUAUACAAAGUGAAAAUGAAAUAAAUACAUAGUCUGUUUGAAUAAUACAUAAACAAAGCUUUUAUAAAUCUAAGGCUACCCUUAACUAGAGGCACCUACAACAGGAACGUAAGUACAUCUUUAGAUCUCGCAACCAUCGAACACAGCAACAACGCCAGCCAAUAUCUGCACGCAAUGUGCAGAAGUGUAGUAUCAGUACAACCGACCCCAUGUACUGAGUAAGUAAUAAACCUAGUUUUAGGUUGAAAGUAGUGACGAGCUUGUACCAAGGUCAGAGUCCAACUUUCAUAACCAACAAUAGUUCAUAAUAAUAUUAAACAAGUAAUACCAGAAGUAACUCAAAGAAUAAAUGCUCAGCUAAAUCAUGACUUCUAAAAAUAGUUUAGCCUUUUAAGUACAUCAAUGAAAACCCAAAUCGUUUACCGAAGUUACCAAAAAUAUGAAUAAGUUUGAAAACAAUAAUUUUUUCCCAAAAUCCUGUCAAUAAUAAAUGAUAUGUUUCAUUUUCUUUCUAGAUAACCCAUGUAAAACAAAUGCAUCACUAUGCCCAUCUGUCAACAUAUGUGAGAAAUCAUGAAUAAUGUGAUACCGUACAGCAUGAGAAAAACACAUCUCUAUGCAUAUAUGUCAUGUGUGCAUGUCAAUGCAAUGUAUCUCAGAGAUUGUACUCAUGUACUCACACUCUCAAAGUACUCAAUCUCACUGUCUCGCAUUCUCUCUCACUAUGCUCAGCACACUCAAUCACUCAGCGCUAUACAAUACCUGUUGCGGCGUGAAUCCCGAUCCCUAUUUAUAGUCGACUGCGCUCACUAGGGGUGUACGGACUCAUGAGGGGCUCCUACAGCCCAAGAGCUAUAAGCACGGACAACUCACGUGCUGCACAGACAACUCACGUGCCAUAAUAUAAAUAUCUGGAUCUGCACGAACAACUCACGUAUUGCACGGCCAACUCACGUGCUGCACGGCCAACUCACAUGUAAUAAUAAUAUAAGGAUCCGCACGGCCAACUCACGUGCUGCACGACCAACUCACGUGCAAUAAUAAUAUAAAGAUCCGCACGGCCAACUCACGUGCAAUAAUAAUAUAUAUAAAGCCAACAUGGCAUGCUGCGGCGUGCAGCCCGAUCCCAUAAAUAUCCUCACAAAUCAGGCCCUCGGCCUCACUCAAUCAUCAAUCUCUCCAGCCUCUCAGGCUCACAAUAUCAUGAAAAUAGCCCAAAAUGAUGAUAUGUUGUAUCAACAAAUAACAACAGAGACUGAAAUAUGAUAUGCAAUGAAAUGAAUAUGACUGAGUAUGAAUUUUCAAUUUAACACAAUAAUUCAUAGCAAUAUAACCUUUGUGGGUCCCAAUAAUACUGGCACAUAGCCUCAACAUGAUUUUUAAUAUGCUUUCCAGCUCAAUUUCUUUAACACAUAAAAUCGCAUGGAAAAUGCCAAGAUUAUUUAACUAUAAAAUUUCACAGAAACAAUUAUGUCACAAUUUCUAUAGUGCAUACCCACAUGCCCGUCACCUAGCAUGUGCGUCACCUCCCAACAAUUCACAAAAUACAUAUAUUCAGGGUUCAUACCCUCAACUCCAAGAUUAGAAGAGUUACUUACCCCGAACAAGCCAAAUCCAAUGUCAAGCAAGCUAAGCAAUGCUCCAGAAAUUUUAUUCUGCGCGUAUCAACUUCCAACGACUCGAAUCUAGUCACAAUUAAUUUGAUUUAGUCAAUAAAAUUAAUUAAAAUUAAUUCCAUAAGAAAAUACUAAUAUUUCCACAAAAUCCGAAAUUACGCCCCAAAAAUCACUCGUGGGACCCACAUUUCGGAAUCUGAUGAAUUACAAAAUAUUAACGCCCCUUCAACCACGAGUCCAACCAUAUAAAUUUUACUCAAAUCCGACAUCAACUCGACCCUUAAAUCUCCAAAUUAAACCAAGAGGGUUUUCACAAUUUUCCAACUUAAUUCACCAAUUAAAUGUUAAAAACAACCAUGGAUUCGGGUAAUUUAACAAAUAUUGAGUUAAGGACACUUACCCCGUUAUUUUCUCUGAAAAUCUCCCAAAAAUUAUGUCACGACCCAAUUUCACUUAUAGGUCGUGAUGGCGUCGGACAUCGCUGUCAGACAAGCCAACAAUAAAUACUAAAUAAAUUCUCAUUUUAAUAAUUUUGAAGUCAUAGUUGUUUCCCUCAAUUAAAUAGCAGAAGAUGACAUUUACAAAAUACAUAUUAAUAUCUUUAAAAAUUUCCAAUAUAGUGCAACCCAUAAUCAUCCCGUGUCACAAGUGCAUGAGCAUUUACUAGGGAAUUAAAAUAAAAUAUAGCAUCUAUCCAGAAUACAAAUUAGACAGGAAAAUAUAGUAACUCUGAAGGAGAUUAUGUUAGUUGCGGAUCGUAAUAUAGAAUGCAGCUCACCUAUGUCCCCACAAUUAUUAACCACACCUCUGCGCCCACAAGGUCGCUAUACAUAUAUGUACCUGCACAAUAAAAUGUGCAGCAAGUGCAGUAUGAGUACGAAAACAAAGUGUACCCAGUAAGUAUCAAGCCUAAUCUCAAAGAGGUAGAGACGAGAUGGUUGACUAUGACACUCACUAUGGGUCAAUAAUAUUAAAUAAUCAUAAAAAUAGAANNNNNNNNNNNNNNNNNNNNNNNNNNNNNNNNNNNNNNNNNNNNNNNNNNNNNNNNNNNNNNNNNNNNNNNNNNNNNNNNNNNNNNNNNNNNNNNNNNNNNNNNNNNNNNNNNNNNNNNNNNNNNNNNNNNNNNNNNNNNNNNNNNNNNNNNNNNNNNUUAUUAAGCACGAUUUUUGCCGAGGUCGUACGGUCCGAUCCAGAGUUUCGUGUACACUGCCGAGGGACAUGCGGCACGAUCCAUAGAUGCAUUUAUCCUGCCGAAGCGUUCGGCCCGCUCCACAAGAAAGGAGGACAUUUUUUUUAUGUACCUCCGGGAAUGAGAGUAUGUUUAUUAUAAGAUAAAUUCGAGAGGAAGAACAAUUUCUUUUAACAAUUAAUUAAUUUAAACAUAAAAUCAAGCAUAUGAGAUUCCCAUCCUUUAAUAUCUUCAUCUAACAAUUCACAAUAUAUUUAUAUAUAUCAAUUAAUAUUAAUUAAACAAAGAAUAUAAUUUACACAAAUAAUUUAUGCUUUGAGUCCUAAACUACCCGGACUUUAGUAUUAAUAGUAGCUACGCACGGACUCUCGUCACCUCGUGCGUACGUAGCUCCCCACAAUUAGCAACAAUUAUUCAAUUUAAUUUCUAUGGAGUAAUUUCCCCCUCACAAGAUUAGACAAGAGACUUACCUCGCUCCGAAGUUCCAUAGCCGUCUCCCAAGCCUUUCAAACAACUCUACCAAUGCCCAAUGCUCCAAAACUCGCUUUCGCUUUAUUAAAAUUCACAAGCUUUUAAUCCUCCUCCGACAUCGUAACAUUGAGUAAAAUGCUCAUACGCCACCAAAAAAUUGAUAUCUACAAUUACAAUCCCAAUUACAGUCAAAAUAUGACUCAAAAAUAUUUAUCAAUAUACAUUUAUAGCUCACAAGUUGGCUACAAGCCUCCAGCUCAAAUCGUCUAGUAGGUUCACUUACUAGCACAUUCAACUCCACUCUUAUCAUUCAAUACCCAUUUGAAGUCAUCAAUGGUACUACAUUAAUUCUCCAACACUGCCAAAUUACUAGUCAUCGUCUUCCUUAACCAACAUUUCUAAAAUAUUCAAUUUGGUGAUUACUUAGUUGAAUACUUCCAACUAAGCUAGAAAAUGAUUCCAUAGGUUCAUUGCAUCCUUUAAUUUCAUUUCUAAGAACACUAUUUAUCUUUCCCUCAUUUUCUCAAGAACACUAUUCGCCAUAAACUAGAGUUUAUGAAAUCAAUUAUCCAACCAAAAUAACUUGAAACAAAUAUUAGAAUUACUCUCACUGACUCAUAAGAAAUGAGCUUGAAGCAUUAGUAUUACCUUCUUGAAGCUUUUUCUUGAAAUUCUAAUGUUUGGGAAAUUUGGUGUUCUUGAACAACUUGAAAGAUUUCUAGGGAUUUCAAAGAUUGAAGGAUGUUAAUACUAGUGUUAAUAGGAUGUUAUUAACUUAAACUAUCCAAAAAAACUCACCUUCUAUUCUUAAGUAGUCUCCAAGGUCGAAUCCACCAUGAAAGAACCAAUCCCUAGCUAAAGAAAAUCCCUAAAAAUGGCUGCUACCCGUGACUGCCUUAUAAAGGCACGGGUGCUUCAGCGAGUUGUACCUUGCGCUGUGCAAGUUGUACCUCGUAUUACAAGUUUUGCCCUGCUAGACACCUUUUACUAAAACGUCCAUAAGUCCUUGUAGAAAUAUCCAAAUGAUGAAAGGUUGAAAGCGUUAGAAACUAGACUCGAAGAUCUUUCAUUUGAUAGGUUGUCCACCAUAUAAACCAUUAUAUAUAUAUAUAUAUAUAUAUAGGCAUGCUCGUCCAAAGUUAGGUUUUUUUGUGUGUACUCAUUUGGAACUUUAGUCUAUCAUGUAAUUUUCAACUUGAUUAAGACUUAGGGCUCUCCUUAGACCCUACAUCACUUAUAAUAUGACUCGUUCACUUAUCAAUAUACAAACCUGCUGGAACCUUCAAAUCCCGAUUCCGGGGUCGUUUUCUCAAAGUGUUGACCGAAGUCAAAUUUGCCCUUUUAAGGCUAACUUAAGUAACUAAGUGUUCCGAUUUCAACCCAAACACUUCCAAAUCCCGAACCAACCAUCCCCGCAAGUCAUAAAUCAUUAAAAAUACAUUCAGAGAGUUUUAUUUAGGGGAACGGGGUUCUAAAAGUCGAAACGACCGGUUGUGUCGUUACAGAUCGCCUCAAUUCGAGCUCCAAAUCGUUAAAAAUGGAAAAUGGUCCCAUUUUCUGAAUUUAAACUUUCUGUCUAGACCUCUCUUCUUCGCGAACGCGACAGGUCCCUCGCGUUCGUGAAGCACAAAAUGUGCUUCCCAACAUUUGCUCCUCGCGAACGCGAUGCUUUACGGAGCCCAUCUUCGCGAACGCGAGCUCCCCUUCGCGAACGCGAACGCGAUACCCCAAACGCGAACGUGAUCCACAACCCAACUCCUCUUCGUGAAAGCGAGAACCCCUCGCAAACGCGAAGAGUAAAUCCCGCCUGCCUGAAAUUCCUCUUCGCGAACGCGAGGGCCCACUCGCGAACGCGAAAGAGAAAAUCCGAAAAAUGCAGCAACAGAUAUCAGCAAUCUCACUAAGGUCACUAAUGAUCCGUUAACCAUUCAAAACUCACCAGAGCCCCUCGAAACCUCAAUCAAAUAUACCAAGUCCUAAAACAUCAUACGAACUUAGUCGAACCCUCAAAUCACCUAAAACAACGCUAAAACCAUGAAUUACACCUCAAUUCAAGCCUAAUGAACUUUAAAAUUUUUAAUUUCUACAAACGACUCUGAAACCUAUCAAAUCACGUCUGAUUGACCUCAAAUUUUGCACACAAGUCAUAAAUGACAUAACAGAGGUAUUCCAAUUUUCAGAAUCGGAUUCCGACCCCGAUAUCAAAUAGUCAACCCCCGGUCAAACUUUCCAAAAAUUGAACUUUCGGCAUUUCAAGCCUAAUUCCUCUACGGACCUCCAAAUAAUAUUUUGGGCAUGCUCCUAAGUCCAAAAUUACAAUACGGAGCUAUUGGAAUUAUAAAAAAUUCAAAUCCGAGGUUGUUUACACAUAAGUCAAUAUCCGGUCAAUUAUUUCAACUUAAGCCUCCAACAUGAAAAUUCAUUCUUCCAAGCUAACUCUGAAAUACCUUAAAACCAAAAUCGACAAUUCACACAAGUCAUAAUACCUCGUAGGAAGUUAUUCAAGACUUCAAAUAGUUGAAAGGCGCGUAAAUGCUCAAAACGACUGGGCGUGUCGUUACACCACAUAAUAAAUAUAUACAAAUCAGGUACAAUAUACAAAAGACAUAUUGUAUAAAAUUUGUAUAAAAAUUGUAUUUAAGUUGUAUGAUAUUGUAUUUGUAUUUAAUUGGGUAAAAAUAAUGUAUAAAAGUUGUAGAUAAAUUAUAAAUAAGUUGUAUAAUAUAUAAUUAGUUGUAUGAAAUAUAGUUUUACUAUGUAUAAAUCAGAUACAAAAUAUACAAAAGAUAUAUUGUAUAUAAAUUGUAUUUAAAUUGUGUGAGCACCUAAUUUUUGACAAUAUUUGAAUUUUUAUCACCUCCUACUAUGUAAAUAAUUUUAGAAAUUUAAUUUAAAUUUGUUAGCUUUGUUACAUUUUUUUAUAGAGGGUAAAAAUUAAAAAUAAUUUAAAAGGUCAAUUAUUACUAUUAGUAUUAUUUUUAUUUUCAAAUAAAAUAAAUUUUAAAAAAACGAAACAAAUAAAUAUUUUUUAAAAUUUUUGGAUGGGAAUAAAAUAAUAGGAGAAUUAAGAGUAUGGAAUAAAAAGUAAAAGUAAAAGUAGGUGGAAAUUGUUUUUUUAAGUAAAAGAAAGUGAAAAUUUAAAAACAAAAAGGAAAAUAAGUGAAAAAUAAAAAAAGUAAAGUAAAAAAAGUGGGAAUAUAAUUAUAAUAAAAGUAAAAAGUGGGAAAUUAAAAUAUAAAAGUAAAGGAAAGUGGGGAAUUUAAUUAUUUUUAAAAAGAAGAAAAAUGGGAAGUGGGAAUUUGUUUAAUUAAAAUUUUAAUAAAAUAUUUUUAAAAUAAAAUCUGAAAAAAAUACGAAUUGUUUUCUAUAAAUUGAAGAGAAAAUGUGAGGGGGAGAAGGAAGAAAAAAAGAGAGGAGGGAAUGGAAAGAAAAUUGUUUUCUUCUACUAAGGAAAUUUCUACUCGUGUCAUUCUUUCUUCGUCUUUCUUUCGAAAACUCCAGCAAUAUAUCACCCUGUUUUAAGGCCCAAAAUGCCUCAAAUUCAAGACUAAAAGUACCACGUGAAGCUUCGAUGGUAGUCACCUCUCUCACGCCAAAAAGCAAUAGCUUCACGAGGCACAGUCGAGUUUCGAUCCAGGCUCGAAUUUUAGAAGGUUCGUCGCUAGAUUUUCUGCUAAUUUGCCGAUUGGCCCUUGGUUUGGUGUACGUAUUUGGCUCAGAAUAUUUUUUUUUUUUUGCGUUAAUCAAGUUCUGGAGGAACGUUUUGCUUAAAGGUUCAUUACUUAUCCUCCCUUUGUUAAUUAUUUUAUUAUUUUAUGUGAUUUUCUUAUAGAGAUUCAUGUGAUAAUUUUUUAUGUUGUUUAUACACAUUGUCAUGUUGUAGUUUCUUUUUACAUGUUUCAAGCUAUUUGUCAACAGAUUAUUUGAAUAGGAUUUCAUCUUAAUGAGAUUUUCUAUUUAAAAUUAAGAAUGAAUAUCUUUCCAUAUUAAUGAGUCAUGCGUUGGAGUUCAAUUAAGUGAACCACAAAUGAGUUACGACAUUUAAUAGGAAAGAAAGAAUUAGACAUGGGUUGGAUUUAGUAUAAAUCUGUCAGGCCUAAUAAUUUUUGUCACUAGAUUAAUAAUUAGCCCAUUCUUCCAUAAUAGAUAAAUGUCUCAUAAUUUCAAAGAUAGUGCAGUGAGUUGUAAAUACUUCUAAGUGUGGAUAACUUGUCAAUACUUUAGAUAGCUAAAAUAUUUUCCGACAAAUAUUUUCCGACUUUAAAAUAAUUUCCUAUCCAUAAACUCUUGGUCUUAUAAUAAUUUCAAAUUAGUUUAGGAAAAUAAUACAAGCGUGCAUUCACGUGACUUGACCAAUCAACUUCGAAUAAUAAUAAAUGUGUUAUUGAUUGUGUACACAUACGCGUGACAUGAUUCUUGACGCCAAACAAAAAUACGUAUGCGUGACUUAUUUCAAGAUAAUUUUCAUAAAUCUAAUCAAGCAAUAAAAGCGGACAUAGGUAAAACAUGAGAACCAAUAAAACACAAGUUAUCCAACAAUAAUAUAAGCCAAAUAUAGUCAAUAAAGCGCCUGUGCUAGAACCACGGGACUCGGGGAAUGCCUUACACCUUCUCCCUGGUCAACAGAAUUCCUUACCCUGACUUUAUCUUUGCAGACCAAUAAUAAUAGAGUCAAACCCUCCUUUGAUUAGGGAUUCAAAUAAAAGGUGACUUGGAAUACCCAAAAAAUCAAUUCCAUGUGGUGACUCUAUAAAUAAAAUAAUCCCUACUCAAAUUUGUCACUUUAAUUGGAAAAACUUCUUAACACAUAAUAAUCCAUAAUACAUAUCUCUUGGGGCAAAAAGGGGUGUGACAGCUCUAGCGACUCUGCUGGGGAACUCUCAAGAAUUCGAGCUUGUACAUUGCCUUUAUUUGUCUUUAUUAAUUUCUGUAUAUAUUGUGAUUAAUUUGAGCCUAAUGUGCUAUGUGUCACUUAUUUGCCGCUUUAAUAUUUAUUUGAACAGUGAUAUAAAUUGUAUCCUCUCUCGCACCCCUAUGAGUCUUCUUAUAGUUAGUUAUGUUGUGUUUGCCUACCAGCAUCAUAAAAUUUCUGUCUUGAGAUAAAGCCAGUUAGCCUACCAGCUUUUGGUGAAGGAUUUUGUCACACAUGUUAAGGCGGGAGAGCCGUUAGCCAGCCAAUGUUGUUCUACUACUGGUGAUACUUGACGCUCCUCGGCUCGGGUAGUCUGCCCGGGUAAGCCAAUCUAGAUACACUUCAUCCCCUAAAAAUUUUUAAAAACCUAGAAGUACAAGCAGCAUGCCUGGUUAUCCCUAGUAGGAUCGUUUUAUUGCAUCAUGUGCAUUUGACUUAGCGAAACUCGGCAUAGGGAUCGAGUCCGUAUAAGACAGAUACCCUUUUUGAGACCAUCAUGUUCACUUAUGUGCUACUUGCUACAUCAUUUGGAAGACUUGCUUGUAUUAUUGACCGGCUUUAGAAAAUUGUUUGAGCGGAAUUAUAAAAAACAAAAAUCAUUCCCCCUGUUUUGUAAAAAUAAUUCGUUUUACUAUAAAUAAAUCAAAAAAGUUUGAAAAAAAUAAAAAAAUAAAAAUAAGUCAGACUAUUCCCGAUCUUACCGAACUACGCGGGUUUAAUACUCACCGGAUGUGAGAUACGUAAGCAACGUUCAUCGGGUUCAACCCCAUUUGUUUGUCUUAAAAUUAAAAAAGAAACAUUACAAAAAAGUGUCUAUGAAUUAUUAUAUUUUUCAAAUAAUAAUAAUAAUAAUAUAGCCGAUUUGUCAGUUUUAUCUCUUUUGACCAAUGUUUUCUUGCGUCCACUUCUUUUGUCAAAUAAGCCUUGAAACCUUCCUCAUAAAUGUGAAAUGGUUUUGUUUAACAAAAGCGGCCUGUUUUUUUGUUUGUUUUCUUUAGUUUUUUUUUUAAAAAAAAAAUUAUAGAAUCAAAACCUGAGAAAUCAAAAAUUUUGUGUGUCAAUAAUAUAUUUGAUCAAAUCCUAACCCCGUGUCUGGAUAAACAUGUACACCAUGAGUGGGGGAAAAGGUAAGUCUGAAAAGAGGCCCAGAUCAGAAGGGAUACCGGAUUUUCUGAUUGUCGAUCAGAUACCACAUUAGUUGUGGGAUUGGUGGAGAGACUUUAAGGAAUAUGAACGAAACUAGAUAAAGAAGUACUUGGGACAUUUGGUUCACAUGAUUCCGAUCAAGCCCAGGAGGGAUGUGAUCGAAGCUUUGAUUCCGCACUGGGAUCCUGAAAAUAAUGUGUUUCGUUUUACCGACUGUGAAAUGACUCCGACCUUCGAGAAAAUCGCCCAUUUCUAGGGGUGGGGACACAAUCUUUGCCGCCAAAGUCCCAUAGUACCAAAAAUAUGUGAAUGAGAGUAGGUUUCUGAAACUCUUGAACAUAAAUUACAGACAAUAUGUAGUUUUAGGAGGCAAGUGGGUUAAGUUGGGAUAUUUGUUUACUUGUAUGGCCUAGAAUGCAAUUUCAAAAGGAAUGUGGGAAAAUUAAAAUCAAAGGAAGAUAAGAAAACAUGGAAGGUACACAAAAGGUUUGCAUUUAUGGUUAUUCUUUUGGGACGUGUAGUUUUCCCGGAAAGGGAAGGACAUAUUGACAACCACUUGGCAGGUGUAGUUGAGGCUCUGACCUCAGAAGGGGAUGAUUAUACUUUAGUCCCUAUGAUUCUUUCUUGCAUUUUUCUUGCUUUAACUAGAUGUAAAUUGGGCGCGCGAAACUUUGAUGGUUGCAACAUUUUGUUAUAGAUAUUGGUUUUGGAGCAUUUUUAUCGUCAUCCUACGAUCACUGAUUUUAGUGUGCUAUGGCCCAAUCAUACUUAUGAUCACCAAAAAAGAAUUGACGAAUGCGACUUACCGAAGGGAUUGGCACCUGUAAAGAACUACUUCUUACUCUAUCCGCCAAACGGAUCACUUGGAACUACGAUUGGUUCUCUUCUAACGAGGUCAUUUGUGAGUCUGCAUACCAUUCUUAUUUGGUACUCAUAGGAUUGGAUGGUGUUCAGCCCUAUGCUCCACUUCGGGUAAUGCGCCAAUUUGGACGACUACAUGAGGUGCCACCAACACGAGAUAUGAGCAAGUUCUGUUAUGAUUUUGGUAAAGAUCAGCCUCAUGACGAAGAAGAAAUUAUGAAAAUUAGGUAUGCAAGUAAGGUCUCGGAGUUGAAUGAUAUGGUAGAAGACCGAUAUUGUGGAGAGGUGAUCCCUGAAUAUAUUACUUGGUUUCAUGAUCCUUCGUCGUUUAGAGAUAGGCUUGAGGGGUCCAACAUGAGGAGAAAUGAUCAAGAAACUAUAGAAAGGCUAAAAGAGGAAUUGGAACAUGCUCGAAUGACCAUAGCCAAACAAUAAGCCCAACAGCAAGCUGGAGUCGCUCUAAUUCAUUUAAAUAUUGAGAAACAUUAUCAUUCUGCCUUACGGGUCACGGAUAAAGAUCUAAAGCAUACUAAGAAUGAGGUGGCCCGCUUAGAAGAAGAACUAGCAAUCACGAUUAGUUUAGUCAGAAGAGGCAAAUAAAAAUGCUAAAAUUCAUAAGCUGCAAGAAGACUUGAGUAUCAUUGAAGAGGAAGAGCACCAACAAUAAUUGGAGUUUGAUCAGCAGAGAGAGCAGUUUGAAAGAGAACGGGCCCAUUGGAUACACUCAAAGGGUCAACUUCAUGCACAAUUGGAAGAAAUAAAAAGGUAGAAGAGGGAUCAUCAACAUACAUAUUUUGCGGCAGAGCGGCGUCAAUGGAUGAUUGAGAGAGGUGUGGUAAACGGUCGUAUUGAAGAAUAUGAGGGGUGUAAGGUUCAGAUGAGGCAUACCCUCAAUACUAACCAGAUGUGGUUGCAGAAUUGUCACAUGAUAAUGGGGCAAGCCAGAGAGCAAGUACUUCAAUUGGCAGAGAAAGAAGCAUAUAUUCAUAAUGAUUAUCUUCAUCUAAACAAUGAGAAAGUUGGUCAACAUGCACGUGCCCUCGUUCCACAGUUAUCGACGGUGUUUCAGAAUUUGUAUGAGACUUUGGGGGGGAGGGAGGGAGUGGAGGCCAAAUGAUGUAGACCAUUGAUGAUAUCGGUUUAAAGUUUUAGUACAGUCAAUUAGUUUUUAGUUUCAUUUUUCAUUUGUUGCAUUUUUAAUUUUAUAUUUGGAGGUUUUUAUUCAUAUCAAAGUUUGUUUUAUUCUAGUCAUAUUUAUGUCUUUAGAGUCAAAUGGGUUAGUUUCUAUAUAUUUUCCUUUUCUCUCAUUGUAUUUAAACAAAAACAAAAUUGAUUGAAAAUGAAUGAAAAAUAUUCUAUUUUGUUUUAUAAAAAAAAAAAUCAAAAAUCAUCAAAAUUGUUAUUAUUUCCCCCAUGAACUAUGUAAUGAUUUGAUUCAUGCGGCGACAUGAUACGUAGGCAACCCCCAAAAGGUUCUAUCAAAUAGUUUUCAAUGACUGUAGAAUGAGGGAACUAAAUGAGGCAAAUGAAAAAAAAAAAAAAGAAAUAAGAACGUCAAUAAGCAGCAACCUUAUAAGCAGGAAUGAAACAUGAAGCCAUCCAAAAUCAUGUUAGAGAUGGUAAUAAUCUUAGGAGCAUAGCAUAUUUACGUGUGAUUCGUAUAUGUUAAAUGCUUAACCCUAACACGUUUGUUGGCUCUUUAAAGUAAGCUUAAGGUGGUUGUUUUGUGGUGAAACUGGCAACAUAUCAUUACUUCACCAGAUCAAAGGAAACGGUAGUAAUGGAUAACAAUGAUGAAAUCGAUUUGGUCAGUCACAAUCCCCAGAGUCAAUCAGUUGAGCAAGAGUUAGAGGAAAUGAGAAAAUUGAGACAACAACUGUCUGAUCUAUAUCAAGCUUGGGUUUCCGGUCAGCCUCCACCCGAGGGUCCCUCAAAGGAAACUUCCACCAUACCUCGGGCUAAUAAACUACUGCUCCAUGCAGUGAGCGAUCACAUUCUAUCACCAGGGUAUGUGCCAAACUACAGCCUCCAUGCUAUCCCUAGUACCUCUAAUAUGCGACCUCCAAUUGAACCAGUCAGGAACACCUCUCUCGUCGUGUAUGGCGUGCCGGUAUAUACAAUCCUGCCACCACCUCCUGUUACGAGACCAAACAAUAAGAUACCAUCUCAUGCUUAUGAUGGACAAUACUAUAUGGCUUUCAAGGUCUCGUCUCCAUACAAUCAGACUCCUCAGUAUGAGUCACCAGUAGAAAAUGAAAAACUUGCCAAAACGGUUGAUCCGGAUGAGAUGGCCAGGAAAAUAAAUAGUCUUGAACAGAACAUAAAGAACAUACAAGUACUAGGUGGUCACAAAAGUGUUUCAUUCAGCGAUUUAUGCAUGUUCCCUCACAUCUAUUUCCCACCAGGGUUCAAGACCCCAAACUUUGAGGAGUAUGAUGGACACGGCUACCCUAUUGCCCACUUGAAAAGGUAUUGCAACCAACUCAGGGAUGCAGGUGAAAAAGAAGAAUUGUUGAUUGCUUAUUUUGGAGAAAGUCUUGUCGGGGUAGCCUCUGAAUGGUUCGUUGACCAAGAUAUCUCUCACUGGCAUGUUUGGGGCGACAUGGCCCAGUCCUUCGUCAAACAAUUUCAGUACAAUAUUGAUAUUGCACCAGAUCGCAAUUCCUUGUCCAAUAUGAAGAAAAAGCCGACGAAUAGCUUUAGGGAGUAUGCCAUCAAGUUGAGGGAGCAAGCGGCUAGAGUUAAGCCACACAUGGAUAAUCAUGAGUUGAUCACUAUUUUUCUAGAGGCUUAGGAGCCUAAUUAUUUCCAAAACAUGAUGUCUGCAAUGGGUAGGCCUUUUACAAAAGCAAUCAAGAUAGGGUAAAUGGUUGGAAAUGGCCUCAAAACCGGCAGAAUUAUAAGUCAGGCUGCUCUCAAAGCCACCACCAAAGUAAUCCAAAAUGGGUAGGGAAGUUUGGCAAAUAGAAAGAAGAGAGAUGAAGGGUCCAUGAUGACUUUAGGAUCCAGGAAAAUUCAAAGAGAGGCAUCGCACCCUUAUGUGCAAGUUCAGCAGGGGCAAACCAGCUACCCUCAACAUUAUUAUCCUCCGUCAAUUCCUCAGUAUUCUGUGGGCCCACCACAAUAUAAAAUUUUUAAUGCUCAAUCCUAUACUCGACCACCCAAUCAAUAGGUACGGGCACCAGCUCCAAGGAUCCCCUGACCUCAGCAGCAAAAUUUUUGGGCACCCUAUAAUACUCGUCCUAGGAAGGAUUAUGGUCGAGAGUAGAGGCAGAUGGAAAAAUUCACUCCAUUGGCUGAAUCAUACUCUAGUCUAUUCCAGAAGUUGAAGCAAAUGGGUGUGAUUGGACCUAUUGCUCCACACUAUAUGUUUCAAUUUGGCAUGGAAGCGAAGGAAGCAUUUCUUGGGCCAAUUGCCAAGCCCAAAUGCAUCGUGUAGGCAACGGUCUAUUAAAAUUAAUUAUAUUUGGAAGAAUUAACCUAAAUAGCUGUCCACCCUACAAUUUAAACUAAAAAUAGCCAGCGAACAUAUAUUAUAUGUAUAAUUUAUGUAUUAAAUAUGUAUAAUCUAUGUAUAUAGCUAGAAAAAAUAAACAAUUAAUAUGGCCGACUAUUUGUGUAAAAAUCCCAUGAUACAAGCUCAAGUUUCAGUUACGAUAAUCAUCAAUAAAACCAAUUCCAUCUAGAUUCAAACACUACAUCCAGAAGAAAACAAUUCAUGCUUUAAUUCAGAAAAGUAGCCACUCCGUCUUUACACAUCUGAUCACUAAUCCAUGUACCAAAGUUACGUACAAGGCUGUGAGCUUGAUUAAUUACAGACCAGGAUUUAUUCAAUUUCAGGCUCUUCCUAUUGUUCAUAUUUAAACUAAAUUAUGAUCCAACUACUUUCGUUCAUACAUUUGUAAUUACUCAAACGAAGCAAACACAGAGAUUCAUUUUAUUACAUGGAUAACAAUUCACCUAUAAUGGUUAAAUCCUUAAACAUGAGAUAAUUUCCCACUAUCUUGCCAAAGGUGAGUUUUCCUCUCCAGAAUACUUCCUUAGCUAGCUCCAAUGCUUUCUUGUGGAACUACUUUAAAUCUAACAUCCUAGUGUCGGAUUGACAAUAAAUUGUGCAGCAAUGAUUAACAAUUGGCAAAUUAGAUCCAAGCAUGUUCAUUUAUAAUUGUUAAACAAGCAUAUGAAUUCAGCAAGAGGAAACAUCUCAGCUAUUGACAACUAGCAAGUAGAUCCAAGCAUAUUUGAUUGAAGUCAUUGCCUAUCAUGGUAACGACCCAAUCGGUGAUUUUGAGUAUUUGCAUUCCGUUCAAUUGUUUGAAGUCUUGAGUAGCUUGUGUGAAUCGUCGGUAUUUGAUUUUCAGGUGAUUUGGAGUUGAUUUGGAAGAAUGAUUAUCAACUAGGAAGCUUUAUGUUGGAAGAGUUUACCAAGUUUGACUUUUGUGUAUUUGGCCUCCGAUAUGAGUUUUGAUAGUUCUGUUAGGGCCGGAUAGUGAUUUUGGAAUUUGGCAUAUGUCCGGAUUUGCAUUUGGAUAUUUCUAGAAGGUUUAGGCAAUAUUUUGGCGAAAGUUGGAAAUUUGAAGUUUGGAAUGUUCAUAAGUUUGACCGAGAGUUGGCUUUGAUGAUAUCGGGAUCGAAUUAUUGUUCAGAGAGUUGGAAUAGGUCUGUUAUGUCAUUUGAAACUUGUGUGCAAAAUUUGAGGUCAUUUCGGAUUAAUUUAAUAUAAGUCGGCACGAGUUUUUCAAGUUGAAAGUUCAAAAGUUCAUUAAAUUCGAUUUGAAGUGUGAUUCGUGGUUUUGAAGUUGUUAUGUGCGAUUUGAGGCCUCGAGUAAGUCCCUAUUAUAUAUUGGGAUUUGUUGGUAUAUUCGGACGUGGUCCCAAAGAGCUCGGGUGAGUUUCGGACGUGGUUUGGAUCGUUUUGGAUCAUGUUUGUUGAUAUUGGUUUGUGCAGGGACCUGGUGUAACCGUACCUGUGGAGCCGCAGAAGGAACACUUGUAGCGCAGAAGCACAAAUUGGAGUUGGGGGCAGGAGUCUGCAAAUUCAGAGAUUCCUUCGCAGAUGCGAAACUUUGGUCGCAGAACCGAAGGUGGCCCGUUGUCAAGAAGUCGCAGGUGCGAGGAGUUGGGCCGCAUCUGCGGAAGUGCAGAAGCGGUGAGUUGGGGCGCAAAAGCGAGAAUAUUCACAGGAGCGGUUGGUAGCUCGCACCUGCGAUGUCGCAGAAGCGGGUAUAUUUUUUACAGGUGCGAGGGAUCGAAUUUCAGAGAUUCUUCCUCAAAAUCAGAGUUUGGUCGCAAAAUCGACGCCGCAGAAACGACAAUAUUUCCCAGAUGCGAAAAUGCUGGGAAGAUUGUAUUUAUAUUCGAGGGUUGGUUCAUUUUAUCAUAUUUUGGGAUUUAGAGCUCGAUUUUGGGCGGUUUUGGAGAGAAUUUUUAACAUAUGGAUUGGGGUAAGUGUUUUCAACUCGGUUUUGAUUAUAUUUUAUGAAUCAAUCAUCGACUUUGCAGUUUGGAUUAUGAAUUUAAAUGAGAAAUUGGGGUUUUUUGUCUAAGCUUUUUCAAAGUGAAUUUUGAGUUUUGAACAUCGAUUCGGAGUCGGAUUUAAAUAAAAUUAGUAUGGUUAGACAUGUAAUUGAAUGGGUUAUCGAAAUUUGUUAGUUUUAUUGGGUGCCGAGAUGCGGGCAUGGGUUAGACCUUUUGGUUGAUUUGGUGUAAUUGAUUAAAGAUUCGACUUUUAUUAAUUGGGUUUGUCUCUUAUGGCAUUAUUUGAUAUUUUUUAGUUGCUUUUGGCUAGUUUCGAACGGUUCAGGGGUUGAUACGCACAGGAUGGCAUUUCUAGAGUGGUGUUUGGCUUGCUCGAUAUUUGUUUUGGCUUGUUUGAGGUAAGUAUCUUAUCUAUACUUGGUUGAGGCACUAGUUGCCUGAAUUACUUGUGAUAGCUACGUUCUAUGGGUGCCCAUAUGUGUGGGGUUUAAGCCUAUGUGCGAGCACCAGGGUGUUUAUCCAUGCUCGAGGUAGUGCUUAGACUAUGAUAUGCCUAAAAUUGACUUUUAAGCUUUAAGCUAUAAUAUUUCUCAUAUUUAUAACACUAUUGUGAACUAUUUGAGCCAUGUUUGAGACUACGAAGAGGCUAAUUCCCUGAAUAAAUUUCCUAUUUGUUAUUUUUGUGAUGAAAUUGUCGAUUUGAGCUAUGAUAGCACACUUUGCAUAUGCCUACAAUUUUGUUACAUCUCGUAUUUUAGUACGUUAAAGUUUCGUCUUCAGAUUAAUCGACGUAGACGCGGGGAUGAGAUUAUCUCGAGGUUCACGUAUUUAUGCUAUUUAUAAUAAGCGAUAAGUAAGUGCCAUGAAGGAUAAAGGGUACACGAAUUAAAGAAAAUGAGUUUCGUUGAAAGUUGUCGAUUUGAGAUAAAAUACGGUCCGAGCUAUACCCGAUAUUUAUGGACUAGUACCAUACAAGAUACCAUAUGACCAUGAUAAGUAUGAUGUAUAAAGUAUAUUAAAAAUAAGUAUUAUUUUAAGUAAUUUGAGAUAAUUCUUAAUUAUGUGGAUAAUUGAUUAAUUUUCGGGUAAUGGGACUUUACCUAAUUAACUAAUGAGUUUGGGAUAAGAUUAAAACUCCACCCCACCCACACGUGGCAGCAAGCCACUAACAAAAUAAAUGACUCUUAGUCAUAUUAGAUAAGGUGGCAACCCAAUUCCAAGACAAGCUAUGUAAUUAGAAAAGCUACAAAUCUUUUAAUAACUAAAAUACUUAUCUACCAACAUUUUUUAAAGAGUAGAAAUCUUUUAUCUUCCAACAUUUUGAAAGAAUAGGAAGGGCUCUACGUAAGGCAAUCUGAAACUACAAUCUGAAGCUAACGUAAGAGACAACUGGCAGUUAAAGUAGAAAGGUACGGAUCUUCAAUAAAUCAAACAGAGAUUUUGCAAUUUUAAGGGAGUACGGUGUAAUCCUUCUCAAGAAUAUCAUACGGAGUUUUCCCUACUUCAGGUAUGUUAAGGCUAAUCCUUCUUUCUUUUGGCAUGAUCCAAGUAACGAUGCAUACAUGAUAUUUCAUAAAUGGUUCUACUCUCAACAGUUAAGGAUGUCUAUGUUAUUCAUUCUUGUAAAGUGAUAUUCAAGCAUAUCUAAGUAUGCAUGUAGUUCCCUAUUGAGGUAUUUGAUAAAGAUGUUAAUAUUCAUAAUGGUAUUAUAUGCAUUAUUAUUUACCACCGGGAUAUGGCCAGUUGGGUAGUUACAUAUUUACUACCGAGCUACGACCGGUCGGGCAGUCAUGCAUUUACCAUCGAGCUAUGGCCAGUAGGGCGAUUACAUACUUACCACUGAGCUACUGCCGGUCGGGCAGUUACCACUUAUCAGUUGGGCAGUUAACGUCAUGAGAAUGAUGUAAUCAGAAUUAUUAUAUUGUAGUUUUAUUUAUAUAUACUAGAUGGGUCUUAUUCUAUAAGUUAUGGCCCUUAACGGAAAGUCAGAGGUUUUAAGUUGACUUUUAUCCCUCCCCGAGAUAGUAUCUUAUUACUACGUUUCAUUUCUGCCUUACAUACUCGGUACAUUCUUUGUACUGACGUCCCUUUUCCUGGGGCACUGUGUUUCAUGCCACGCAGGUGUAGAUAAGUGAGGUGAGGACCAUCCACUGUAGGCUGCCUCCAAAUAUCAGCUUUUGGUUGGUGAGCUCCACAUCUUCCUGGAGUAUUGCCGAGUCAGGUUCUAUAUAUGUUAUUUUGUUUUAUGAGGAUGUCGAGAACCUUGUCUCGACUUAUAUAUUAUGGUCAAGUUUUCUUAAAGGUUUUGCAGACAGUGUCUUGUUUAUAAUUUUAGGUAUGACAUGUCAACGGCCUUGUCGGCCCCUAUGUAUCUAUAUAAAUUAUUUUUUUGAAUUAGCUAUGUGAGUUAAGUACUAAUAUUGUCAAUUUUAUAUAUAUAUAUAUAUAUAUAUAUAUAUAUAUAUGUGUGUGUGUGUGUGUGUGUGUGGUGGGGGGGGUGGGUCUAUCAUGGACCGUGACGGGUCUUAUAGAAAUAAAAAAGGGAUAAGGUAUGUGGCGCUCAGUUGAGUAGGCACCGGGUACCAGUCGUGACCCUCUGAUUUGGGUCGUGACAAAAGUGGUGUCAGAGCAGUUCUGUCCUAGGGUUGUUUGGAAGCGGUGUCUAGUAGAGUCAUGUUUAUGAAUGUGUUGUGCACCGCGUUGUAUAAACAGGAAUCUAUUAGGAAUUUAGGGAUUGGUUACCCUUCCUUCUUGAUAUUAGAUCGUGAAAUAUAGCACGUCAUAGGGAAUAAAGCCCAUGACCUUUGACUUGUUUUAUAUAUACAACGAUUCCUAUGACCAGGAAAGCUACGGCUAGUGAUAAGGGUAAAGCAGUGGCAUAUGUGGGUAUGAGUAGAGUACCAAUGUCUAGUGAGGGCCAUAGUGAGGCCCCGAGGGGAAAUACGACACCCUCGUAUAGUUCUCCGAUUUCGCCAGCACCCGAGGAGAUGAGGAGGAACCCAGUACCUCCACCUAUUGUUCAAGAUAAGGAUAUGGAUAUGCGGAGUGCAGUACGGUUGUUGACUAGAUUGGUAGCCGCUCAGGCUCAGCGCCAGGUAAGUACAGGUGUUGGUCACAUUGACAGGAUUAUUAGCGCGAGAGUUCGAGACUUCAUCAACCUGGACCCUAAAGUAUUUACCGGAUCCAACAAGGAUGAGGACCCGCAAAACUUUAUUGAUAGGAUUUAGAGGACUUUGAGGGUGAUGCAUGCAUCAGACAUUAAGUCAGUAGAGUUGACCUCUUACCGAUUGCGGGAUGUUGCGGUUCAGUGGUAUGAAACUGUAGAAUUGUCUAGAGGGACAAAUGCUUCUCCAGCGGUAUGGGAAGAGUUCUCAGUGGUUUUGUUGCGUCAUUACUUGCUGGUGGGGAUUCGUCAGGCAAGGGUAGACAGGUUCUUGGCUCUUAAACAAGGGAAUAUGAGUGUGCGGGAGUAUAGUCUCCAGUUUGAUUCCUUGGCGAGGUAUGCCCCCUNNNNNNNNNNNNNNNNNNNNNNNNNNNNNNNNNNNNNNNNNNNNNNNNNNNNNNNNNNNNNNNNNNNNNNNNNNNNNNNNNNNNNNNNNNNNNNNNNNNNNNNNNNNNNNNNNNNNNNNNNNNNNNNNNNNNNNNNNNNNNNNNNNNNNNNNNNNNNNNNNNNNNNNNNNNNNNNNNNNNNNNNNNNNNNNNNNNNNNNNNNNNNNNNNNNNNNNNNNNNNNNNNNNNNNNNNNNNNNNNNNNNNNNNNNNNNNNNNNNNNNNNNNNNNNNNNNNNNNNNNNNNNNNNNNNNNNNNNNNNNNNNNNNNNNNNNNNNNNNNNNNNNNNNNNNNNNNNNNNNNNNNNNNNNNNNNNNNNNNNNNNNNNNNNNNNNNNNNNNNNNNNNNNNNNNNNNNNNNNNNNNNNNNNNNNNNNNNNNNNNNNNNNNNNNNNNNNNNNNNNNNNNNNNNNNNNNNNNNNNNNNNNNNNNNNNNNNNNNNNNNNNNNNNNNNNNNNNNNNNNNNNNNNNNNNNNNNNNNNNNNNNNNNNNNNNNNNNNNNNNNNNNNNNNNNNNNNNNNNNNNNNNNNNNNNNNNNNNNNNNNNNNNNNNNNNNNNNNNNNNNNNNNNNNNNNNNNNNNNNNNNNNNNNNNNNNNNNNNNNNNNNNNNNNNNNNNNNNNNNNNNNNNNNNNNNNNNNNNNNNNNNNNNNNNNNNGGGAUUCGUCAGGCAAGGGUAGACAGGUUCUUGGCUCUUAAACAAGGGAAUAUGAGUGUGCGGGAGUAUAGUCUCCAGUUUGAUUCCUUGGCGAGGUAUGCCCCCUCGAUUGUGGCUGAAAGGAGUGACCCAGUGCAUCGGUUUGUGGUAGGACUUGGGCCGCACCUGAUUAAUGAGUGUUUCACGGCCGCUCUACUCGAUAGUAUGGAUAUUUCCCGCAUCCAAGCUUAUGCUCAAAAUUUGGAGGAUAGAAAACGACAGCAAUACGAGAAUCGUGAUAAGGGUCAGUGUAAGAAGUCUAGGUCUGCUAGGCAACCUGAGGAUUUUCCGGACGAUCCUAUGUCACCAUAUCCUGUAGAAAGUGUCCGACAAUUGCAGAAGCCAUAUUAUGAGGGAUCUGUCUAUUCUGAAUCAGGCGAAGGCUCGAGAAUUUUUGGUUUUCAGAAACGGAGGGAUUCAGCACAGAUGCGGCCGCCUCGUCCGCGGUGCAGUCAAUGCUAUAGAGCUCAUUCUGGACAAUGUCGUCAGGGAUCUAAUGUAUGCUAUACCUGUGGAGACCCUAGUCAUUACAUGAGGGAAUGUCCUAUGAAUGACAAAAGCGGGAUGGUUCAGCCUACCAGAUCUAUAACAGUCUCCUCCUCUUCAGUACGCCCUCAAGAACGAGGCCCUCAGGCAUCCGCUGGUAGAGGUAGAGGCAAGAGUGGAGCAUCUAGCUCCGGCGGUAGUCAUAAUCGCAUAUAUGCUUAGGCAGGUCAUCAGGACCCAGAGGCUACACCGGAUGAUGUGUCAGGUACUGUGACUAUGGGUAAUGUUCGAUCUUAUUAAUGCAAAUUGCCCAGUUAAUAUGAUUAAUAUAAGAGUGAGUUGGCAUUACGUCUGAAGGGUUAAGGGAAACCAAGGCUAGCUUGAAAGCAAAGUAAGAACCCGAGGAUAGUGGACUAAGGUAUAAAAGGGGAGUAACCUAGAACAUUAAGAAGUUAGAACCCUGAUAGCUGUAACGCCCAAGGGAGGAAACAACAUAUAGUACGCAAGAUUUUGGGAAAGUUAGUAUAAUGGAAUAAAAAGUUCUGAACCCGGUUAUUAAUAUUACAACUAGUAAGUGUCAGCGCCUAGAAGAUAGAUUAACAGAGUCGUAGGUAACGAAUGGCUUAGGAAGUAGUUUUAGGGAGGGACGACGUCCUGACCCCGUGAGAGCCUGAUAUUUGUUUCAUUGGAGUAUAGCCCGGGAAUAUAUAUAUAUUUAUAAUUAAUGAGUAUGUAUGUACAUCUUUCAAGUUUAAACAUUCGAGGACGAAUGUUUCUAAGGGGGGAAGGAUGUUACAUCUCGCGUUUUCGUACGUUAAAAUUUCGUCUUCGGAUUAAUCGACAUAGACGCAGGGAUGAGAUUAUCUUGAGGUUAUCGUAUUUAUGAUAUUUAUAAUAAGUGAUAAGUAAGUGCCAUGAAGGAUAAAGGGUACAUGAAUCAAAGAAAAUGAGUUUCGUUGAAGGUUGUCGAUUUGGGAUAAAACACGGUCUGAGCUAUAAUACCCAAUAUUUAUGGACUAGUACCAUACAAGGUACCAUAUGACCAUGAUAAGUAUGAUGUAUAAAGUAUAUUAAAAAUAAGUAGUAUUUUAAGUAAUUUGAGAUAAUUGUUAAUUAUAUGGGUAAUUGAUUAAUUAUCGGAUAACGGGACAUUACCUAAUUAACUAAUGCAUUUGGGAUAAGAUUAAAACCUCACCCCCACGUGGCAGCAAGCCACUAACAAAAUAAAUGACUCUUAGUCAUAUUAGAUUAGGUGGCAACCCAAUUCCAAGACAAGCCAUGUAAUUAGAAAAGCUACGAAUCUUUUAAUAACUAAAAUACUUAUCUUCCAAUAUUUUUUAAAGAGUAGAAAUCUUUAAUCUUCCAACAUUUUAAAAAAAUAGGAAGGGCUCAUAUGAAGCUACAAUCUGAAGCUAACGUAUGAGACAACCAGCAGUUAACGUUGUCAAGCACGUAUCUUCAAUAAAUUAAACGGAGAUUUUGCAAUUUUAAGGGAGUAUAGUGUAAUCCUUCUCAAGAAUAUCAUACGGAUUUUUCUCUACUCCAGGUAUGUUAAGGCUAAUCCUUCUUUCUUUUGGCAUGAUCCAAGUAACGAUGCGUACACGAUAUUUCAUAAGUGGUUCUACUCUUAGCAGUUAAGAUGUCUAUGUUAUUCAUUCCCGUAAAGUGAUAUUCAAGCAUGUCUAAGUAUAUAUCUAGUUCCUUAUUGAAGUAUUUGAUAAAGAUGUUAAUAUUUAUAAUGGUAUUAUAUGCAUCAUUAUUUACCACCGAGUUACGGCCGGUUGGGCAGUUACAUACUUACCACCGAGCUAUGGCCUGUUGGGAAGUCAUGUAUUUACCACCACGCUAGAUCGGUCAGGUAGUUACCACUGAUCAGUUGAGCAGUUAACGCCACGAGAAUAAUGUAAUUAGAAUUAUUAUAUUGUGUUUUUAUUUAUAUAUACUAGAUGGGUCUUAUUCUAUAAGUUAUGGCCCUCAACGGCAAGUCAGAGGUUAUAAGUUGACUCUUAUCCCUCCCCGAGAUAGUAUCUUAUUACUACGUUUCAUUUCUGCCAUACAUACUUGGUAAAUUCUUUGUACUGAUGUCCCUUUACCUGGGGCGCUGUGUUUUAUGCAACGCAGGUGUAGAUAGGCGAGGUGAGGACCAUCCAUUAUAGGCUGCCUCCAGAUAUCAGCUUUUGGUUGGUGAGCUCCAUAUCUUCCUGGAGUAUUGCCGAGUCACGUUUUAUAUAUGUUAUUUUGUUUUAUGAGGAUGUCGGGAACCCUGUCCCGACUUAUAUAUUAUGGUCAUGUUUUCUUAGAAGUUUUGUAGACAGUGUCCUGUGUAUUGUUUUAGGUAUGACAUGUCAACGGCCUUGUCGGCCCCUAUGUAUUUAUAUAAAUCUUUUUUUUUGAAUUAGUUAUGUGAGUUAUGUUUUAAUAUUGUCAAUUAUAUAUAUAUAGAUGUGGCCUAUCAUGGCCCGUGACUGGUCUUAUAGAAAAUAAAAAGUGAUAAGGUGUGUGGCGCUCAGUUGAGUAGGCAUCAGGUGCCAGUCGUGGCCCUCUGAUUUGGGUCGUGACAACUUUAGCAUGUUAUUAUACCAGUCCAGGAGCAGAAAAUCGAUAUGUAUUCUUGUAUACUUGCUUCUGUGUAAUUUGAUUUAGAGUGGAUGCCUAAGACCACACCUGGCAGUUUAUAUUGUUAUGAUGUGACCACACCAGGCGGAUUGUAUUGUUAUGCCUUUGAUCACGCCGGGUAUAUUGUGUUGUAAUACGUGUGACCACGUCGGGGGGAUUAUGUUGAUAUGACUAUGACCACGUUGGGCGGAUUGUGACAUAGCAUGUAACCAUGCCAGACGGAUUAUGAUAUUGAGCAUGUGACCACAGUGGGUGGAUUAUGAUAUUGAGUCUAUGACCACGCCAGGCUGGUAGCAUGUGGAUAAGGAUAUAUCCCUUUAGUGUCACCCUCUCACGUUUCUCUCUUAAUGGUGUACAUGCGGAUUGUGAGAAAUCGAUGGCUUUCUGGUUGAUGUAAACUCCGGGAUAGCUGGUUACUGUAUUUGGAUCGGGUUGCAAGCCGCAACAGGCCUUAUUGGUUUAUUGUUAUUGGUCAGGUUGCGCACCGCAACAGACAGAUAUUUGGUUAUUGUAUUUCAUCUUUACUUAUAAUUUCCUUGACUCUUUUUCCUGAUUUACUUGCAUAUCUUCUUUAUAUGUAGGAUUGUUGAAUGAGUAGAACACUUUAAAACAAAGAAUUGUGAGCAUCUGAGUGGUUUUACCUGAGAUUUCCUGAUUUGAUCUUAUAUUUGUUCUAUACUUGUUGAAAUUAUGACUUGUACAGGUGUUGGUAAGUAUCAUGUAUAGUUCUUGCUUCUUUUACCUCGUUGAGGUUAGUUAGGAUACUUAUUGAGUACAUGGUGUCAGUUAUACUCAUACUACAUAUGCACAUUGCGUGUAGAUCUUGGAGUUGUUGAUGAUAUGUAUGGUGGGAGUUGACAUUAAAGUUGUACCUGUAUUCCAAUUGUGGCUAUCACUUGUCCUUGGUAGAUUUAGAUUCAAAUUAUGUUCAUGUACAUUCCAAACAGAUAUUGUGAUUAUUUCAAUUCAGGUUUUUAAAUUGAAGCCUUAGUGGCUCAUGACUUGUACUACUAGUUUUUGGGUUGUUAUAUGAAAGUUCAGUUAUCUCAUCAUUUAUUUCUCAUUAAUCUCAUUUGGAAUAUGUUAAUUGUUAGCUGGCUUACCUAGCAUGUAGGGUUAGGUGCCAUCAUGACUAGUGGAUUUUGGGUUGUGACAAGUUGGUAUCAGAGUUCAUGGUUUAUAGGUUCGAUUAGUCAUAAGCAAGUGUCUAGUAGAGUCUUGCGGAUCGGCAUGAUGAUGUCCAUACCUAUCUUCAAGAGGCUACAGAGCAUCUAGGAUAAACUUCCCAUCUUUCAUUCCUUAUCGUGCGACAUUGAUUCAGCUUGAAUCGUAUCUCUUUGAAUUCCUUCCAUUCAUUCGUAUGGUAUGUGAGCGCUCGGUAUAGGCUGUGCAUCGAUGACUUGUGGUUCUAUGGAUGAGAUAUAUUUGCUAUAUUUUGGUUAUGGUCCAGUCUGGAGGACUUGAUGUUGGGUUUUGACUGCAACUUGGUCUCGGUUGUUGCAAUUGUGCGAGUAUGCGCUUGUUGGACUCAUAUGUCCAGUGGUGUCCUAAAAGUGGGAUUUACGACUCGAUGAGUAGUUUAGUAGCUAUAUAACGUGUAUAAUGUGACUGCGAGGUGAUUUUAGGUGGUUUUUAUAUGAUGAGAAGGGUUGCUUUUGGAAUGCAAAAAGGACUAUUGGGUGCUUGAAUUUAAUCUUGAAUUGUUUUACAGUCUCGAGUUCUGAGCUUGUUGAGGGAUCUUCAUAUUGUUCGUUUAUAGGAUGAAGUAGAUUCUUAUGUCUUGUUGACUAUUUCAGAAUCGGGAAGAUUUAGUGAUUGCAUAGUGGUUGUGGACAUGAAAGGGCAUAGAGAAAUGCAAGUUUGAGACUAAGCAGGUGGGUUAUCUCCUGCGUGAUAUUCUAAGUCUAUGUGAUCCUUAUGAUGUUAUGUGAAGAGUUUUCUUUCAAUCAGUGGGUUAUAUGCAUUGCAAUUUGAGUAUGGAUUGCUUGAGUAAGUUGUCUUGAUUGUCAUGAGGAUGAAUAUAAGCUUAUCUGAUGAGUUGAGGUAUUAUAUGAUUAGUGAUAUAUGAUUUCAUGAAGGAUUUAGCUGAGUUUUGGUGCGAGAUUGUGGUAUUCGUGAAGCAAAAGUUAUUGUGGUUAUCAGAUGUUUUGUUCUUGGCUUCGAGCCAAGUAGAGGAGCAUGCUAUCAACGAUCAGAUUGCAUAGUUAUGUGUUGUAUUGGUUUCCAUCUGAGGUAUGUUUGUGAAUCAGUUAUGAUUUACAGAGGUUGGGAUCGAAUAUGUCUCGAGUAAGAAAUUUUUUGGAUAAAUGAUAUAUUACACUUUAUGGAUAUAUGGAAAUCAUGGAAUGGUUUGAAUUGGUUUCUUGAAUGAUGUAGUGUUCGUGGAGUAGAGCUUCACUCAGUUUGUUAAAAUGAGGUUACUUCUUUGAGUGUGGAAGACAUGAUGAGGCACAGAUCAUUAGCUUGUUUGGGCGGUGCAUGUGAGAUUAGAAUAGGGUGGAUGACUCUCGAGAAGGUUCUAAUGGGUUCAAGGUUUGCAUUUGGUAUUUGAAGAAUUUCCGAAUUUGUGAGUGGCUAAGACCUAAGAUUUGCAUCGGAGGAUGUUGGGACUCGCAGUAUUUCUAUAUCAUUAUGGAUUCUAGAUUUCAGUAUCAUAAAGGUAAAGGAAACAGUUUUAGAUUCACAUAAGGUCUCUUCAUAGUGGGUAUCUCGGAUACGGUUUUCUAAGUGUUAAAUUGGGAAUACAACGCCUUAUGGGCCUUAGGGUGAUGUGGUUAUAUACUAGGAUCUCUCGUGGUGGGCGUUGAGUUAAGGGUCAUAGUGUUGGCAAAGAAAAGUGUUAGCUUAAAGGAAAUUCAGAAGAAACUAGGAGGAAAUAGAACAGCUUGGUAGAAAGUUGGAUCAGUAUGGUAAUUGUAUGCUUGGUUCUUUUGGUUCUUACGAUGUGAUGAGGCUUUACAAGUGUUUUGUGGCAAUACUCUUGGGUUUGGUGACUUGAGUGACUUGGUUGAGUUAGAGGGAUUUAGUUCUGAUGGCUUGGUUAUGUGCAUAUGGCUUUCGUAGAGUUCUCGAUGAUUUCUAUCAUGGUUUGAGAUGGAUAUUUUAUACCGGCAUGAUGAGUAUGUUGCGGAUUAUGAUUUUCUCCUAGAUGGGAUCAAGUGGAAGGUUUACGACUGAUUAAUUAUGUAUUCUACUUAUGACUUAGAGUUGAUAAUGAUGUUCUCGUAUUUUCAUAUGAUGGCAUGACAGACACAGUGCGUUGUGUGAGAUUGAGAUUUGCAUGUGCAAGUAUACGGUUCAGUUUCAAAAGGAAGGUUAUGGUGUUCUAGACGGCAUUGACAGUUUCAGAUAUUUAGAGGAAUGCUAGCACUAUUUGGUAUCACAUGAGAAGACUAUUUGCAUUUUAGAAGGCGCCUUGUAUUUUGACUUACGGAUAUUCCAUGGUAUUGCGGUACUCGCAUGGUUGAUCGACUACUGAUAUUCGGAUUUAUCUAUGUAGACGGAAGAAUUAUGGAAGUAUUUCUCAUGGAACGAUUUUAUAUGAAGGAUGUGUUAGUCAUUUGAGUGGUGGAGAUAGGAUCAGAUCUGGUGAUUCUUUUGUAUUCUUGUGGUUUGGAGACUGGGAGUCUCAUAGGUAGAUUGUUUCAUGGUUGCGGAUUGCAAAGAUAUGGCCAAGUUGGCCAGCUGUAAGUAUGUGUUAUGGUUAGAUUAUUGUGGACUUUUAGAGGGCUAUUUAUCUAUUUGAGUAUUUUUGAAAUCGAUUUAAAGGCUACUAGUAGGCCUAAUGAGGAUGUGUAUUCUACAUCGGGUCAUAUUUGUUGACUCAGCACGGCUAUUAUUGAGGGGUGUGUCACUCGGUUAAAGUUAAGCUUGUUCGUGUUAUGAGAUGAUAUAUGUGUUACUCUUCUCUGAUACGUUGGGUUGUGAUUUGUUGGUUAUUUGAACGCAUGAUGUGAUUUUGUUUGGGUCUUGUGGCGGAAUUCGAGCGAGAUGGUACUUGGGAUAUCGAAUGGUUGAUUGCACCUUGGUUAUGGUCUUUCUUGUUGGUGGUAUAUUGUGCUAGUCAUUCCUCUGUGGUUACGUUCAUGUCCUUCAUGUGUUUGUUGUUGAUUUGCAUAGGGUUGUGGAUUUGAGCAUUUUGGUUUGACGUAUUUCAAGUGGACCGAUGUUUGGAUUGGGUCACGCACUGUGACAGAGUCAUGUUGGGAUAUGAUUCUCUGUGUGAGGCUCAUUUCUUUUAGUGCUACUAUGUAUGAUGGGUUCAUAGCAUUGUGCUUGUGGCGGUAUCCGUUGAGCUUGUGGGACGGCUCUUUUAAUUGAUUCUCUUUCCAUUACUGGGAGCAUUUAAGUUGUUGCUCGUUUGGUGCAUUGAUUGUACGGUAUGUGCCUUGAGAUGGAAUUGGUGUGGCAUGUUAGUAGAGUAACUGUAUUUGAUAGGAUAAGGUCAUCCGACCUGGAAUAAGUAUUGUCGGAUUUGAUUAUGGUAUGUUUGAUAGAAUAAUGUCACUAAUCAGCUUAGAAUGUGACUAUGGUUCUUGUCGGGCUAGAGCGCUCCAUGACUGGUUGAUCUGAUGAGUGAUUAUGAGUUUCUGCGUGUUUUAUUCACCAUUUGGAAGUAUACGAAGGUUUCGGACACGGUUUUAGUUUAUAUGAUGCUUGUUACUAGUAUCAGGUUUGUUUUUGGGAAGUUAAUGCGGUCGGAAAUUAUUUUGGUGAGUAUCUGAGUUAUAUGGUAUAUCAUGUGAUUACAUCUUGGGUUAUGGUUAUGGCUUGGUACAGCUUGUUCAGACUUAUAAAGUGUGUGAAUGCGAAGAUCGGGUCUUGUAAUGGAUUUCGGAUGUUGGAGAUUUGAUUCCAAGGUUUAUGGGAUAAAGUUGGACAAAGGAUCUUCAGUUAGGUUGUGGUGGCAGGCUUAUAUUAUUAGGGUGACGUGGGAUCACCCACGGGCAUAUGCAUGUUGAGGUUACACAGUGAAGUGAUGGCUUUGGAACGACUCUUCACACGUUUGAGGACGAACAUAUGUUUAAGUGGGGUAAAAUGUAACGACCCAACCGGUCAUUUUGAGCAACUGUAUUCCGUUCAGCUGUUUGAAGUCUUGAUUAGCUUCAUAUGAUGUAUUAUGACUUGUGUGAAUCGUCGGUUUUGGUUUUCAGGUGAUUCAGAAUUGAUUUGGAAGAAUGAUUCUCAACUAGGAAGCUUUAAGUUGGAAGUGUUGAUCAAGUUUGAAUUUUAUGUAUUUGGCCUCGGAUCGGAGUUUUGAUGAUUUUGUUAAGAUCGUAUAGUGAUUUUGGACUUGGGAGUAUGCCCGGAUUUGCAUUUGGAUAUUUCUAGAAGGUUUUGGCACUAUUUUACUGAAAGUUAGAAUUUUGAAGGUUUGGAAUGUUCAUAAGUUUGACCGAGAGUUGACUUUGAUUAUAUCAUAUUCUAAUUAUAGUUUCGGGGGUUGGAAUAGGUUCGUUAUGUCAUUUGGAACCUUUUGUAAAAAAAUUGAGAUCAUUCUGGGUUGAUUUGAUAUGGUUCGACACGAGUUUUGGAAGUUAAAAGUUCAAAAAUUCAUUAGGUUCGAUUUGAGGUGUGAUUCGUGGUUUUUAUGUUGUUAUGUGUGAUUUGAGGUCUCGAGUAGGUCCGUGUUAUGUUUUGGGACUUGUUUGUAUAUUUGGAAGGGGUCCCGAGGGGAUCAGGUGAGUUUCAGACAUGGCUGAGAUCAUUUUGGAUCAUGUUGGUUGAUGUUUGUUUGUGUAGGGACCUAGUGUAACCGCACCUGCGGAGCCUUGGGCACAGGUACGGAGCCGCAGAAGGGACACUUGUAGUGCAGAAGUGCAAAUUGGAGCCGGGGACAGGAGUCUACAAAUGCAGAGAUUCCAUCACAUAAGCGAAGGCGCAGACGCGAAACUGUGGUCGUAGAAGCGAAGGUGGCCCGUUGUCGAGAAGUCACGGGUGCGGGGAGCUGGGUCGCAUCUACGGAAGCACAGAAACGGUGAGUUGGGGUGCAGAAGCGAGAAUCUUCACAUAAACGGUAGGUGGCUCGUACCUGCGAUAUCACAGAAGCGUGUAUAUUUUCACAGGCGCGAGGGGUCGAAUUUCAGAGAUUUUUCCACAAAAGUGGAGUUUGGUCGCAAUAGUGACGCCGCAUAAGCGGCCAAUAUUUCACAGAUGCGAAAAUUCUUGGCAGAUUGUAUUUAUAUUCAAGGGUUGAAUCAUUUGAUCACAUUUCGGGAUUUAGAGCUCGAAUUUGGGCGACUAUGAAGGGGAUUUUCACCAUAUGGAUUGGGGUAAGUAUUUUUAACUCGGUUUUGUUAAUAUUUCAUGAAUCUAUCUUCAAUUUUAGCAUUUGGAUUAUGAAUUUUAAAGAGAAAUUAGGGGUUUUUAUCUAAACUUUCCCAAAGUGAAAUUUUGAAUUUUGAACAUUGAUUCGGUGUCAGAUUUGAGUGAAAUUAGUAUGGUUUGACUUAUAAUUGAAUUAUUUGUCGGAAUUUGUAAGUUUUACGGGGUUCCGAGGUGCGGGCCCUAGUUUGACUUUUUGGUUGACUUUGUGUAAUUGAUUAAUGAUUCAACCUUUAUCGAAUGGGUUUGUCUCCUAUGGUAUUAUUUGAUGUUUUUGAGUUGCUUUUGUCUAGUUUCGCGCUGUUGAGAGGUUGAUACGUGCGGGAUGGCAUUUCUAGAGAGGUGUUUGGCUUGCUCGGUAUUUGUUUUUGCUUGUUUGAGGUAACAAUCUUAGCAAAAUUUGGUCGAGGCACUAGUUUCCUGAAUUAUUUGUGAUAGCUAUGUGCUAUGGGUGCGCAUAUGUGUGGAGUUUGAGCCUACGGACCAAUGAAGACACCAUGCCCAUUGUGUUUACCGAAUCUGAGAGUCCGAGCAUACAAGUCAUGGAUCAAGACAUUGCACGACGAAUCGAGGACGACGUGGGACACAGCUGCAACAUUUGGUUCACCCCACACGUGGAAUGUGAGAGGCAAAAGGCAACCGAUUAUGCUAGAUAAUGCCUGGGCAUUAGGUAUGGAACACAGAAAAUCGACGCUGAACAAGCCUAAUUUGCGCUUGUUCCAUGACUGAGAUGGCAUGCGGGCUAGGACGUCGCGGUACAAGCAGGGAUCCAACCCAUUCACAUAAGCCGAACACCACUCAUGUGUCGCACGUUGACUUUCCUCGCCGAUGCAUGCCGAUAACAGCCCCAACAUGUGACGCACAACCAUGUGUUGUUGCCAAUGCCAACAUAGCAAAGCCAAAACAAGCCCCGUCAGGCACGAACAGGGGGUUGGAGUGUAGAAACGAAGAAGGUGCCACAAGUUAAAGACACAGACACAACCCACAACAACCGAUGGACUUCGGCGGGUACUGAACUUAGCCCCAUGUGCACGGCACCUUGUGGCGCUACUUGCACGAGGCCUCUCCAUUCCGUUGCCAAAAGCCAUCAACUGCCACAAGCGAUGUCGCCACCCGAUAUUGCCCACAAUAACCGAUGGCAUUCGGCAUGUACUAAGCUUAACACAUGCGCAUGGCACCUUGCAGCGCUACUUGCACGACGCUUCAUCAUUUCGUUGCCAAAAGCCAUCAUCCACCACGAGUGAUGCCAUACUCAAUACACAACAAUCGAUGGCCUUCAGCAUGUACUGAGUUUAGCCUCAUGCACACAGUACCUUGCAUCGCUACUUGCACGAGGCCUCAUCGUUUUGUUGCCAAAAACCAUCAGCUUCCACGAGCGAUGCCGCCACCCGAUAUUGCCCACAACAACCGAUGGCAUUUGGCAUGUACUGAGCUUAAAACAUGUGCAUGUCACCUUGUAGCACUACUUGCACGACACUUUGUCGUUCCUUUUCCAAAAGCCAACAGCCGCUACGAGCGAUGCCAUACUCAAUCCACAACAACCGAUGGCCUUCAUCAUGUACUGAGCUUAACCCCAUGCGCACGGCACCUUGCGAUUCUACUUGCACGAGGCCUCAUCAUUCCAUUUCCAAAAGCCAUUAGCUGCUAUGAGUGAUGCCGCCACCCGAUGUUGCCCACAACAACCUAUGGAAUUCGGCAUGUACUGAGAUUAGCCCCAUGCGCAUGGCGUUAAGCUCAGUACAUGCUCCAUGUCCUGCCAUUUCCUGCCAAGUCCACGCCCUGCUAUGUCCUGUGUCGGGCCAUAUCCAUGCCCUGCCAUGUCCUGCGUCGUGCCAUGGCCAUGUCUUGCCACGUACGACGUCGUUCCAUGGACAUGCCCUGCCACAUCCUACGUCGUUCCAUGGUCGCGUCUGAUGGCGAGCCAUGUCCUGCGUCGGGCUAUGACCAUGUACUGCCACGUCCGUCGCCAUGCCAUGGCUAGGACCUACCAUGUCCUACAUUGUGCCAUGGCCAUGUCCUGUCGCAUCCGACGCCGUCCCAUGGCCAUGCCGCCCUGCAUAGUCCGACAUUGGGCUAUGGCCACGCUAUACCAUUUCAUGUCAUAUCCUACGUCGUGCGUUAGGCAUGUCCUUCCACGUUCGACAUCGCGCCAUGGCAACAUCCGACCAUGCCCUAAUAUGUCAUCGUGCCAUGUCCAUGUCCUUACAUGUCCGAUAUCGUGACAUGGCCAUGUCUUUCCAUGGCCGUAUCCGACGUCGUGCCAUGGCCACGUUUGACAUCGUGCCAUAUCCACGUCCGACAUCGGGCCAUGGACACGCCCUGCCAUGUAUUUCCAUUUCCUGCAUCAUGCCAUGGCCAAGUCCUGCCAUGGCCGCGUCGGACGUCGUGCCAUGGCCACACCCUGCCACGUUCGACGCCGUGUCAUGGCCACGUCUAACAUUAGGACAUGGCCAUGCCCUGCCAUGUCCUGCAUCAUGCCAUGUCCAUGUCUUGCCAUGGUCGCGUCCGACAUCGGGCCAUGGCCACAUCCGACGUCGGGCAAGGGCCAUGCCUUGCCAUGUUCUGCGUCAUUCUAUGGGCAUGUCCUUCUGCGUCUGACAUCAAGCCAUGGCCACGCCCUACUAUGUCCUGCCAUAUCAUGCGUCGUGCCAUGUCCAUGUCCUACCAUAUCCAACGUCGUGCUAUGGCCACAUCCGACCAUGUUAAAAUUCCUGAACCGGGACGUGGCAGUUGACGGCAACGUUAGGAAGUCCGGAGACAUCAUCGGGGGCCUCGGGAAGAGUUUUCUUUACUGUUUAACAGCCUGCCUACCCUGGAAAUGACUCAGUCGGAGUUGUUGCUACAGACUUAUGGGUAGGCCGGUACCCUGUUCCAUUUGAUGUCAAAUAGUCUUAGAAUCUUUGUAGACAGAGGUUCAUUUUGUACAGUAUGUCAGAGGCCUUGAUGGCCGAUAUGUAUUCAUGUUUUAAGAACGAUAGUUCAUUGAUUAGUGUUUGCUCACUUAUAGUUAUACAUUACGAGUUGUGGACAUGUUGACCCAAUAUAUUUACAAAAGAAAAGUUACAGAGUGGUUCGCUCGGGCCAGUACGCCAUUGUCAGCCAUGCCUCCCCGGGUUGGGGCAUGACAAAGUGGUAUCAGAGCAAGUCAUGUCCUAGGGAGUCUACAAAGUCGUGCCUAGUAGAGUCUCACUUAUGGGUAUGUUGCGUGCCACAUUUAUAAUCGAGAUGCUAUAGGGCAUUUAGGAAAUGUUACCCUUCUUUUGUUUUCAGAUCGUGCCAUAAAGCUAAGUCAUAAUAAUUCAUUAUAAAGCUUCCACCGAAUUUUGUAUGCACCAGAAAUGCUAUCACAAUAGAGCUUUAACGCGUAGAUAUAAUUUCUACCUAUGUGGAAGGGAGGUUAUGAAAGCGACAGAAGAUACGAUGCGAGAUUGAAAAGUGAGUAAGGUAAAGGUGAAGAAGAUACGAGAUACUCAAGUACAAAAGGUUGUGAAUAGUCCAGACAUCAGAUAGAGAUUGGGUUUUAGAUUAGUUUACAGAGGAGACCCUAGCAAAAAAUUUGUAAAUCUCUAAGAGUUAACAUUCAAGGACGAAUGUUUCUAAAGGGGGGAAGGAUGCUACACUUUAAUACUAGGAUGAGUCGUAGUAAUCCAUAUGAGCUUGAAGGGACUAAGACCAUUCACGAGGUUAUAAAGGAUUUGUGAUUAUGUUAUUGUAAGACCCUGUAAGAUUAACAACCUUGAUGUCGUUAUAUACAUUUGAUAUGGUAUUUUGAAUGGAACAUUUUUUGUAAAAAAAAGAUUUGAAAAAUAUGAUUUUAUGUAGUUAUUAAUAUUACUACUUUCGAAUAUGUUUUAAAUUAUACGCAUAAUACGAGAAAGUUUAUGAGAUUUUCUUUAUUGUAAAGAUAGAAAUUAUUUUCUCACAAGAAAAGAAGGUUAUCUUUUACCAUUCUAAGAAUUAAGCGUACGAAAAUUUGUACUCUUUAUAUGAGAUUCGGAAAAUUAGAAGUUGAGAAAAUAUAUGUAUUUUUACAUGGAUGUUUUAAUGAAAUAAUAGUGUUUGCAUUGAUUUUAUAUGGUACCACAUGACCAUAAUAUUAAGGUGUACAAAGUGUGUUAAAAGUGAGUAGUAUUUUAAGUAAUUUGAGAUAAUUCUUAAUUAUAUGGGUAAUUGGUUAAUUACUAGAUUAGUAGAGGAUUAAUAAGUUGAUUAAGGAAAAAGGUGUGAAAAUUUGGAUAAGUUUAAGUGCAUUAACGUGGUCGCAUGGGCUAUUCAACCAAAUGACUCAUUAGUCUUUAUAAAUCGGUGGCAUGUUAGGAGAAUUUUAGGACAAAAUAAUCCCCACAAGUGGGGCCCACCCCACUAAUAUACAAAGCUUCUGUAAACUACAAACACUGAGAGCCUACUACAAAGUAACGUAUGGGAUUUAUCAAAGAAGAAAUUCAUAUGAAUCCUUUACAAGGCUUAGAUGGCAAUGUGGUUUUCUUCAGCAAACUUAUACAAAAGUAUGUCCAAGACAAGCAAUAAGAAGCCACGAAAUUCAUAUAAGAUUAGACGAUAGCAACGUGAUUUUCUACAAAACAAUUUUAUAAGAAGUUAUACUACACAAUAGCAGCGGGAUUUGCAAUUCUAAGGGAGCCCGGUAUAAUCUUUCUCAAGAACAUCAUACGGAAUGUUUUCCUACUCCAAUCUGCCGUUAUGUGUUUCGUCGCGAUUGGCAUUUGUUAGAAGGAUUGUCAAGAGAAUCGGUCCAGGUAUGUUAAGGCUAAUACUUCUUUCUUUUGGCAUGAUCCAAGUAGCGAUACGUAAACGUAAUGCUAUUCCAUAAGUGGUUCUACUCUUAACAGUUAAGAAUGCCUAUGUUAUUCAUUCCGGUAAAGUUAUAUUCAAGUAUGUCUAAGUAUGUUCCUAUGUUUUUAUUGAGGUAUUUGAUGAAUAUGUUAAUGUUUAUAAUAUAGUGAUACAUGCAUCUUCAUUUACCACCGUUCUACGGUUGGUCGGGCAGUUACCACCGGUUGGGCAGUUAUCCAUUUACCACCGAGCUACGGUCGGUCGAGUAGUUACCACUGAUCAGUUGGGAAGUCAUGCAUCAUACGAUAUGGAUAAUAGUCUCAAAGAGAAGUAUUAUAUAUAUAUAACUAUACUAAGUAUGCAUAUUCGGUGGCACUUCAGAGAUUCAGGUUGAUUCUUAUAUGUCUUUAAUCAAUAUUGACUUAUUGUUAUAUUGCAGUUCCGCCUUACAUACUCGGUACAUUUUUUGUACUGACGUCCUUUUGUUGGGGACGCUAUAUUUAUGUCUGCAGGUAUAGAUAAUCAGUUUGACAAGCCCUCAUAGUAGACGAGGUUAGCAUUCAACGAAGGAUCGGUAAGACUCCACUUCAUUUGGAGUGCAUCCGAGUGUAUGAGUCAUCGUGUCAGAGUUGUUGCUACAGACUUAUGGGUAGGCCGGUACCCUGUUCCAUUUGAUGUCAAAUAAUCUUAGAGUCUUUGUAGACAGAGGUUCAUAUUGUACAGUAUGUUAGAGGCCUUGAUGACCCAUAUGUAUUCAUGUUUUAAGAACGAUAGUUCAUUGAUAAGUGUUUGCUCACUUAUAGUUUUACAUUACAAGUUGUGGACAUGUUGACCCAAUAUAGUUACAAACCGAAAGUUAUAGAGUGGUUCUCUCGGACCAGUAUGGCACCGGGUGCCAGACACCCCUCCCCAGGUUUGGGGCAUGAUAGCUCAGUACAUGCCGAAGGCCAUCGAUUGUUGUGGGUUGUGUCUGGCAUCGCUCAUAGCGGCUGAUGGCUUAUGGAAAUAGAACAGCGAAGCAUCGUGCAAGUAGCAUCGCAAGGUUCCAUGAGCAUGGGGCUAAGCUCAGUACAUGCCUAUUGCCAUCAGGUGUUGUGGCCAAUAUCGGGUGGCGGCAUCGCUCGUGGCAGCUGAUGGCUUUUGGCAACGGAACGACGAGGCCUCAUACAAGUAGCGCCGCAAGGUCCGAACGCAUGGGGCUAAGCUCAGUAUAUUCCGAAGGCGAUUGGUUGUUGUGGGUUGUGUACGUGCCUUUAACUUAUGGCACCUUAUUCGUUUCUACACUCUAACCCCUUAAUAGUGCCUGGCGGGGCUUGUCUUGGCUUUGCAAUGUUAGCAUUGGCAACAACACAUGGUUGCGCGUCACGUGAUGGGGAUGUUGCCGGCAUGCAUCGGCAAGGCAAGUGUACGUGCGGCACAUGAGUGGUGUUCGGCUUGAGUGGCUAGGUUGUAUCCCUGCUUGUGCAGUGACAUCCUAGCCCGCAUGCCAUCUCAGUCAUGGGACAAGCGCAAAUUAGGCUUGUUCGGCAUCGGUUUUCUGUGUUGCAUACCUAAUGCCCAUGCAUUAUCAAGCACAAUCGGUUUCCUUUCGCUUGCGAUCAUUCAUGAUAACUCGACGGAUCGCAUGGCCAUCAUGCCGGCGACACAUCAUUCAAAUUUCUACCCUGUCAACUUUCGAUGGUAGGAUAGUGGUCUACCAUAGUGGUGACGGGUGAUGGAGAAUUAGGGUUAGAUUCCGGAGAAGGAGCCUGAGAAACGGCUACCACAUCCAAGGAAAUCAGCAGGCGUGCAAAUUACCCAAUCCUGACACGGGAUUUAAGUUGUUACCCAAAUUACCCAAUAACGUGUAUUUAAGUUGGUGCAUUUAAAAAGCUCGUAGUUAGACUUUGGGAUGGCCCAGCCGGUCCGCCUUAGGUGUGCACCGGUCAUCUUGUCCCUUCUGCCGGCAAUGUAUUCCUGGCCUUAAUUGGUCGGUCGUGCCUACAGCGAUGUUACUUUGAAGUAAUUAGAGUGCUCAAAGCAAGCCUACACUCUGUAUAUAUUAGCAUGGGAUAACAUUAUAGAAUUUUGGUCCUAUUAUGUUGGCCUUCGGGAUUAGAGUAUUGAUUAAUAGGGACAGUUAGGGGCAUUCGUAUUUAAUAGUCAGGGGUGAAAUUCUUGGAUUUAUGAAAGACGAACAACUGCGAAAGCAUUUGCCAAGGAUGUUUUCAUUAAUCAAGAAUGAAAGUUGGGGGCUCGAAGUCGAUCAGAUAUCGUCCUAGUCUCAACCAUAAACGAUAUCGACUAGGGAUCAGCGGAUGUUGCUUUUAGGACUCCGCCAGCACCUUAUGAGAAAUCAAAAAUUUUGGGCUUCGGGGGGGAGGUAUGGUUUGCAAGGCUGAAACUUAAAGGAAUUGAUGGAAGAUAACCACAAAAGUGGAGCAUGCGGAUUAAUUUGACUCAACACGAAGAAACAUGCCAGUUCCAGACAUAUUAAGGAUUGACAGAGUGAGAGCUCUUUCUUGAUUCUAUGGGUGGUGGUGCAUGACCGUUAUUAGUUGGUGGAGUGAUUUGUCUGGUUAAUUAAGUUAACAAACGAGACCUCAGCCUGCUAACUAGUUAUGCGGAGGUAUCCCUUCGCGGCCAGCUUCUUAGAGGGAAUACGACAUUUUAGGCCGCGGACGUUUGAGGCAAUACAGGUCUGUGAUGCCCUUAGAUGUUCUGGGCCGCACGCACGCUACACUGAUAUAAUCAACGAGUUUAUAGCCUUGUCUGACAUGCCUACAUAAUCUUUUAAAUUUUAUCGUAAUGGGGAUAGAUCAUUGAAAUAUUUGGUUUUCAACGAGGAAUUCAUAGUAAGCGCGAGUCAUCAGCUCGCGUUGACUAUGUCCCUGCCCUUUGUACACACCGCCCGUCGCUCCUACCGAUUGAAUGAUCCGGUGAAAUGUUUGGAUCAUAGUGACGUGGGAGGUUCUCUGCCCACGAUGUCACGAGAAGUCCAUUGAACCUUAUCAUUUAGAGGAAGGAGAAGUCGUAACAAUGUUUCCGUAGGUGAACCUGCGGAAGGAUCAUUGUCGCAACAUGUAAAGCAGAACGACCUGCAAACUUGUUUAAAUACUGGGGAGUGCCGCGACCGAGGUGCUUUGGCCUCCAUCAGCAUGGCACCCUCCUAUCCCCAGUGCUCGCGUGCGUGCCAGGUGAUUAACGAACCCCGGCACGGAAAGCACCUAGGAAUACUAAAUUGAAAGUUUAUCUCUCGUGCACCAUUCGCGGUGCGCGCGGGGUACUUGUGCUUCUUUUGAAACACAAACAACUCUCGGUAAUGAAUAUCUCGGCUCUCGCAUCGAUGAAUAACAUUGUGAAAUGUGAUACUUGGUGGGAAUUGCAGAAUCCCGUGAACCAUCGAGUCUUUGAACGAAAGUUGUGCCUAAAGCAUUACACCGAGGAUGCGUCUGCCUGGGCGUUACAUAUCGUGUUGCCCCUGUACACCGCACCUAGAAUCAUGGUCAUUGUGGUGUCGCGGGAUAGAUACUGGCCUCCCUUGCUCCCCGAGCGUGCAGUCGGCCUAAAUGCAAGUCCACAGCGACGGACGUCACGACAAGUGGUGGUUGAAACUUAACUAUCGUAAUGUCGCGGCCCCAACCUGUCUCAUGUUUGGGCUCCCCGACCUUUAUUACGCUUAGGUGAUCCAACUGCGACAGGUCAGGCAAGACCAGUAAUGGCGAGCGAAGUGGGAACAGCCCAGUCUUAGAAUCAGGCGGCUCCUUCGUCUGAAUUGUAGUCUGGAGAAGCGUCAUCGGCGGCGUACCGGGCCCAAGUCCCCUUGAAGGGGGCGCUAGAGAGGGUGAGAGCCCUAUUGUGCCCGGACCCUGUCGCACCACAAGGCGCUGUCUACGAGUCGGGUUGUUGGGAAUGCAACCCAAAUCGGGCGGUGAAUUCCGUCCAAGGCUAAAUACGGGAGAAAGACCGAUAACGAACAAGUACCGCGAGGGAAAGAUGAAAAGGACUUUGAAAAAAGAGUCAAAGUGUGAUUGAAAUUGACAGGAGGGAAUCGGAUGGGGGCCGGCGAUGCACCCCGGUCAGAUGUGGAAAGGUGUUGAGCUGGUCCGCUGAUCGACUCGUGAUGUAGACCAGCGUGGAUUGGGGGGCAGCCAAAGCUCGAGCUUUCGCUAUGCUCGUGAAAUGUCGUCUCCUUGAUUGUGGUAGGAAGCUCGUGCAUCUGGUGUGCUUCGGCAUCUGCAUGCUCCGGAUGCUAUCAUGUGGGCUUCCCAUUCGACCUGUCUUGAAACAUAGACCAAGGAGUCUGAUAUGUGUGCAAGUCAACGGGCGAGUAAACCCGUAAGGUAUUAGGAAGCUGAUUGGUGGGACCCCCCUAAGGGGUGCACCGCCAACUGACGUUGAUCCUCUAUGAAAGGUUCGAGUGUAAGCAUACAUGUUGGGACCCGAAAUAUGGUGAACUAUGCCUGAGCAGGGCAAAGCUAGAGGAAACUAUAGUGGAGGCCCACAACGAUACUAACGUGCAAAUUGUUCUUCUGACUUGGGUAUAGGAGAGACGUGCCAUGGUCGCGUCCGACGUCAGGCCAUGGACACGUCGUGCCAUGUCCUACAUCAUGACAUAUACUGUAUCGUGCCAUGGUUAUGUCCUUCUAUGUCCGAUGUUGUUCCAUGGACAUGUCCGACACCGGGCCAUGGCCACGUCCUACCAUGUCCUGCAUCGUGCCAUGGAUAUACCCUGCCAUGUCCUGCGUCGUGCCAUGGCCACGCCCUGCCACGUCUGACGCCAUGCCAUGGCCGCAUCCGACAUCGGGCCAUGGCCACAACUUCCAUGACACUGCUCUAUGGCCACAUCUGACGUCGUGCCCUGGAUGCGUCCUCGUACACGACACCCCGAAAAACCUCUAUUUGCGACAUUGCAUUGGCACAUCACUCAUGGCUUGUGUUGACUGUUAAUCUUUAUGCUAUAAUAUUUCUCAUAUUUAUAACAUUGUUGUGAACUAUUUGAGCCAUGUUUGAGAUUACGAAGAGGCUAAUUCCUUGAAUAAACUUUGUAAUUGUUAUUUCUGUGAUGAACUUGCUUAUUUGAGUUAUGCUAGCAUACUUUGCAAACGCCUACACAUUAGCAUGUUAUUAUACCAUUCCAGGAGCAUGUAUGAUAUUUAUUCAUCAUAUAGAUGUGUUCUUGUAUACUUGCUUCUGUGUAAUGUGAUUUGGACUGAAUGCAUGUGACCAUGUCGGGCGGAUUGUAUUAUUAUGCAUGUGACUACGCCAGGCGGAUUGUAUUGUUAUGCAUGUGACCACGUCUGGCAGAUUGUGUUGAUAUAUGUGUGACCACGUCUGGCAGAUUAUGAUAUAGCUUGUGACCACGUCGGGCGAAUCCAUUACAUUAAGCAUGUGACCGCGCCAAGCAGAUUAUGAUAUUGAGCCUGUGACCAUGCCGGAUGAAUUAUAAUAUUGAACUUGUAACCACGCCGGAUGAAUUAUGAUAUGUUUGUGCUUACGAAUGGAUAAGGAUCCAUCUACUAGGGUCACCCUUUCAUGUUUCUCUAUUGAUGGUGUACACGCGGAUUCUGAGAAAAACACUAGUUUCUCGCUGAUGUGAGCUCUAGGAGAGCUGGUUACUAUAUUUGGAUCGGGUUGCACGUCGUAACAUGCCUUAUUGGCGUGUUGUUAUUGGUCUGAUUGCGCUCCGCAACAGAUUGAUAUUUGGUUAUUGUAUUUCAUCUUUACUUCUAAUUUCCUUGAUUGUUUUCGUGAUUUAUUUGCAUAUCUUAUAUAUAGGUUGAAUUGUUGGCUCAGUAGAACACUUUAAAAACAAAGAAUUGUGAGCAUCAGAGUGGUUUUACCUGAGAUUUUCUGAUUUGAUCAUAUAUUUGUUCUAUACUUGUUAAAAUUAUGAAAUGUACAGCUAUUGAUGAGUAUCAUUUAUAGUUCUUGCUUAUCUUACCUCGCCGAGGUUAGUUAGGAUACUUAUUGAGUACAUAGGAUCAGUUGUACUCAUACUACACUUCUACACCUCGCGUGCAGAUCGUGGAGUUAUUGUUGUUGUGUAUGGAGGGAGCUGGCAUUGAUGAUAUACCCAUGUUCCAGUUGUGGCUAUCACUUGUUCUUGGUAGAUUUAGAUUCGAAUUAUGUUCAUGUACAUUCCAAACAGAUAUUGUAAUAAUUUCAAUUCAGUCUUGGAAAUCUAAGUCUUAGUGGCUCAUGACUUGUACUAACAGUCCUUGGGUAGUUGUAUGAAAGUUCAGUUAUCUUAUUAUUUAUUUCUCAUUAAUCUCAUUUGGAAUAUGUUGAAUGUUAGUUAGAUUACCUAGCGGGUUGAGUUAGGUAUCAUCACGACUAGUGGAUUUUAGAUCGUGACAAUCAUACUAAUUCAACCGGAGGAAACAUGUUUCUAAUACUACUGACGAACAUGCAUAUUAAAGAACAAAAUCAUUCAUCAUAGAUCUUUGACCAACAUAAAUUCAUUCAUAGAAGUAACAACAGAUGACAUAUAAACUUCGAAGAUACCUACAUUGCAGGAAAACAACAGGAAAUGACUAAAUAAAAGUCUAAGAGUUCAACGAUGGAGCUCAGUACUUCACAGCAGAACAAAUAGCAAAAUCAGCAGUGAGAAGCAGUUCUAAAGCUCAAUCAGCCCAUGAAAAUCCCAGAAGAUGUAAGGUAGAAGAGUAGAAUUUGAUUCAAUUUUCAAUCCCUUUUUUGGUUUCGUUUUUGUGUUUGGAGACCAUUUUGUUUUUGAAUGUUUUAAAUCUGAAAUUGAAUUCCAGAAUUUCGUAGCUGCUAGUGGGUGCUUCUCAGUGUGUGUGUGAAUGUGUAUGUCUCUAAAAUAUGAAAAGGAUCCUUAUUUGUAGGCUACAUUUAGAAAUUUCUUUUAUUUAUUUUGCACCCUUACUCCUCCCCAUUCUCUAUUUUUGAAUCCCUCAAGCCCCUCACACCCGACCUUUUCUCUUCUUUUUUUUGCAUAUUGGUCCCUUCUCCCGCUUCUACAAACUUCCUAGACAAUUAAUAAAUUAUUCCUUCACAUCUAAUUCUCCUAUUAAACCUUUAAACUUUUAUAAAUUGCACUUCACUGCUAGCCCUUGCCUGGGCAUCUGGCCAACAGGCCCAUGACCCAGGUUCAACCUUUUCCCUGUUGAAUUCUAAAAUCAACAAUCCUGCAUGUCAAGCAAGGCAGGCCCAAACCUUAUGUUCUAAUGAGCAGAAACAAACAUUCAAGACAAACAAAUAGAUUCAGAAGUAAUUUCACUAAUUAAUUAUACAAAUAAAUGUCAACUGACAACAUGUAAACAACAUGAUUGAACACUUAUCAAGACUAAUUUACUAAUUAUAUCAAUCAUGCAACUAAAAUCAAAUAUCGAAACAUAGCAGAAGUGACCAAUCUAUAGAAACAAAGAGGAGAAACGAGAAAUACGCCACGAGAUUAGCAGCAUGUUGAAGGAAUUAAAAGCAUAGCAAGAAUCUAGGCUCCGCCAAUUCGUCAUUUCAAAAUCAACCACGGAUUUUUGACCUAUGAGUACUCACGCAACCGUUAGGCUUGGUAAGUACUUCAUAGGUAAGAAACCUUUGAAGAUUUGAAAGUUUGUUCAUGAAGAGAGGUUAUAAUGGAAGGUUAUUAGGGUUAUGGUCAGUCAACGACGAGUUGACCGACCCCAGGUAGCCGAGAAAUGGGUUGUGACUUACACCAAUCGAUAGCUCUUACCAAGAUCUUUCUAUUGAUGUAAUUUCAAUCUUCAAAAGAGCCGAAAUUAGAGAGAAAUCGAAAAGGGGAUGUUUUGAGGGUUAUUAUAUUCUUAGAUCUACUAACCAUGGAGAUUGACUUGUUUCUAAAAGGAAUGGGUUGUAGAUUAAGGAAGAGGAUGAAGAGGAGAUUACAGGGUGAUGUUUUGGGGCGAUUUGGAGUCAGUUCGCCGCCGUAGGCAAUUUCGGGCGAAGGUCGGCAGAGAGAGGCAGAGAGAAUAUGGGGUAUAAGAGAGAGGUAUGUGAGUGGAGGUUAGGACUAGUCCGGCUUUUUUAAGGGAUAGGGAAGUUAAUUACCAACCAUUAAAUUGGAUGGAACGGAUGGUGAGGAUCAAUUUAAGUUAAACGGUGUCGUUUGGUCGUUGGAAAAGGCUAGAUCGGGUGACGAAGUGGACUGGGCAGGAUUUUAACAGAUCUGAGCCGAAGCAUUUAGCCCAAUUUGAUUUCAACAACAAAAAUAAAAAUAAGCCUCAUUCUUCCCUCUUUGUUUUAAUUUCCUCACUAAACAUCUAGUCUAAUUAGAACUAUUUUUUCAGAAUUAACCCCACUAUCCAUUCUUCUAAUCGAUUAAUUAAUGAACUAAUUAAUAUUGUAAAUUAAUGAAAAAAACUAACUAAUUUAAAGCUAAAAUGCAAAAAUGUCUAAUGUAAAAUGCAAAAUUUUGCCAACUAAUUUAAAGCUAAUUUUGCAAAAAUGUCUAAUUUAAAGCUAACUAAUUUUGCAAAAAUGCAAAAUGUCUAAUGUAUUUUGUGAUUUCUAUUUUUUUUAGAAAUGCGAUUAACAUGUGGUUAAAUUCUAAAAAUUCAAUUAAAAACCUACAAAUGCCAUGAAAUAAAGAUUAAAAUAUUUUUGAUGAUUUUCAUGAUUAAAAGUAUUUCUAAAUAUGCACGACUGCAAAUAAAAGCAAAUAAAUGCCAACAAAAAAUAAAGAAAAUUUUCUAAAAAAUCAAUAAAAAUCAAAAGACAAUUAGAAAACUAUUUUGUGGAAUGUUUUAGGAGUAAUCUUAUACAAUGCAAAAAUUAAGUGCUCACAUAAACUAUUCCGCUAGCUAAUCGAUUUGCAUUUUUAAUUGCAAUUGAGCCUCCUUUGUCCUCUCUCGCUCUGUUUGGUCUUACAAAUCAACACAAGGUUUUCAUCUCUUUCUCUCCUAAUAGUUAUUGAUUAGCAAUGGAUUCUCAAUCUGUUGAGCCAGUCAAUUGGGAUUUCUUAGUGGGUGGGUGUUGUUAGUCUAUGGCAGGUUCAACUAAAAUUCAGUGUGGUCGAGUAUUGUAGAAAAUUUUAAACAUAGUCUUGUGGAAAAAUCUGUCAUAUUAAUAUCUUAAAGAAAAAUAAUGUCCUUGGUGCUUUAGAAGUUACAAAUCACAAAUGUAACUAGGAGGUGUAUCAUGCUUUUUGGCACUAGACACGAAAAUUUUGAGUGGAAGUGGAUUAAUUCUUUGGAUCCAAGAAGAUGUAUAUUAGUUGGAGAAGGCAAUAUUUGCCGGAAGUAAAUGGGACUUUAGUCUUUAGGGUUAAUAUAUACUUUACAUACAUUGGGGUAGAAUUCCUAACGUAUUAACAAUUUAGCUGAUUAAGAAAUUGAGUAAUUUGUUCUCAAACCAAUAAACAGUUAACUAUAAAAUUUCAAUUUGUUCACCAACCGUUAAUCCAACAACCUGUACCAAUAAGCCAGUAAGUCAAUUUUACAAGGAUUAUUUACAUUCCUAUACAUUAUUUGAAACCUUAUUACCCUUCAUGCUCAAGUUUCAAUUUAAUUACAUUGUCAUAUAUAACUUACCAAUUAUAUACAAAUAAGUUUUAAAUGAUUAUCCCUUUAUAUUAGGAAUUGAAUAAGGAAUAUCAAUUAUUUCAUUUUUCCUUUAUACUUGNNNNNNNNNNNNNNNNNNNNNNNCUCUCUCUCUCUCUCUCUCUCUCUCUCUCUCUCUCUCUCUCUCUCUCUCUCUCUCUCUCUCUCUCUCUCUUCGUGUCUCUCUCUGAUUUUUCUAGUAUACCCAUGGUCUAGCUUUCUUUCCAAUAGUAUGAUCUUAAUAAAAGAAUAUGAUUUAUGGCAAUGGAACUUUCAUACUUAAUUGGUUAUUAUAAAAUUUAGAGUUCACAGAACAAAUAUUGCAACUCAAAAGUGCGGAUUGCAAAUAUUGAAAAGAAUUACCAAAUAUAAGGCGAAGAUAUUGUAGUAUAUUCAUCAAUGGAUUUCUUGUUGUAUAGAGAUUCCACAAUUGACAUCCAUUAAAAAGCUUUGAAGCUUUGAAAUUGAAUUUGGGUUUUCAAAAAUCAUUAUUUUUUUGGAUUGGGUGUUGAUGCAAACAAUUGGGAAUAUUGUUUGGAGUUUAUAUCUCAAUUUUUAAGGUGUUUUAGUGAAGAUUAGACUUGAUUUUGACUAAAUUUCAGAUUGAAACUCGAAGAAGAAGAAGAAGAAGAAGAAGAAGAAGAAGAAGAAGAAUAUAUGGCAUACAAUAUACUUACGAAAUUAUAGUAAAGUUGUAGUAAAAUUGUAGGUAAAUUGUAUUCUGUUGUAGUUUUAUAUAUAUAUAUAUAUAUAUAUUUUUUAUUUAAAUAUUGUAUGAAAGUUAAAAAAUAAUUGUAUUAUGUAUGAAUCGUUGUAUAAAAUUUGCAUUUAAGUUAUCAAUGCUAUCUUUUUACAUAAAGUUGUUGAUAUGUAUCAAAAUUAUAUUAAGAGUAAGUUUUGAUUGGAAUUUUAGAGAGGAAGAAUCAUACCCCACACACAAAAUAUAUACAAAUCAGAAACAAAAUAUACAAAAGAUAUAUUGUAUAAAAUUUAUAUAAUAAUUGUAUUUAAGUUGUAUGAUAUUGCAGUUGUAUUUAACUGGGUAGAAAUAAUGGAUGAAAGUUGUAGAUAAAUUAUAGAUUGGUUAUAAAUAAGUGUAUAAUGUAUAGUUAGUUGUAAUUCAAUAUUACAAAAUCAAAUGAAAUGUGACUAAUUCAAUAUUACAUUCCAAGUCGCAAUUGACUAUAAUUUCAUUGAGGGUAAAAUUGAUUAUGUAAUUUGACCAAAUAACUUGUGACUAUAAUUGUCAAAAAUGUCGAUAAGUUCAAAAUGUCUCUGUAACAAUUCUCUUGUACUAAGAAUUGCCAUUUGUCUAAUUAAUAAGGAGCCCUAUUUUCAAGUUGGUUACGUGAUAGACCUGCAGGCUUUCGUGCUUAUAAUAUAGUUUUGAUUUCCUCCGCGAUACGAAAAGUAUUGCAUGUUUAAAGAAAUCAAUUGUGUUAAGCUGAUAGCGUAAUCAAAUAAAUAUUAUUUAUUGAAAGACAUUUUCUAAAGAAGAAUUCUGUGGUGCUUAAUUGUGUGAAUAUUAGAGUUAAAUGCCAAGAGGUAUUAAUAUGUCAAAUAUCACCAGUUUCUCAAAUUAUAUAUGGGGAGGAAACUAGAUUUUAUCACCAUACAACUAUUUUUCAACUUUUAUACAAUAUUCAAAUAAAAACAUAUAGAUAACUACCACAUAAUACAAUUUACCUAUAAUUUUACUACAACUUUACUACAAUUUCGUAAGUAUAUUGUAUGCCAUAUCUUCUUCUUCUUCUUCGAGUUUCAAUCUGAAAUUCAGUCAGAACCAAGUCUAAUCUUCACCAAGCACCCUCAAAAUUGAGAUAUAAACUCCAAACAAUAUUCCCAAUUGUUUGCUACAACACCCAAUCCAAACAAAUAAUAAUUUUUAAAAAUCCAAAUUCGAAUUCAAAAUUUUAUGAUAGAUUAGUGUUCGAAUCUUCAAUUCCUACAACCUGGAGGUUACUUCAAUAGGUUGAUUGGCAGAAGAUAAUUUUUAGGCUUACCUUAUUGAGAGAGAAAAAUGGUGAGAGAGAAAUAUGAAGAAAUAAAGAAAAGUUGAUGAGAGAUGCGGUAGUGAGGAAAGAGGAGAGGAGAAAAAAAAGAAAAAGGAUGUAACUAAAUUCCCUAAUACAAGGCACUAAUAAUGGAUUGUAUAUAAUUUGUAAGUAAUCUUUGUUUAGGGUGGGUAAUAUACAAAACUAGGACAAUUUUGGUAAAUAAAUUUUUAAAUAUUGUAUAGGAAGGAAAAAAAAUCAUUUUACAAUUAGAUUAUCGAUUACAGUUCGAUUUAAAAUAACCCUAGUUUUACAGCCCGUUUGGAUUGGCUUAAAAAAGUAGCUUUUAAACACAAGCGCUUAAAAGCACUUUUUAAGUGCUGGAGCUUGUUUUAAAAAUAAGCAUUUAAGUAUUUGGAUAAAAGUGUUAUUGAAGUGUUUGGUAAACAAGUGCUGGUAAAUACUUGAAUCUGUUAAAAUGACUGAAAUAUCCUUAAAGUUGUUAACACUAUAAAGACGAUGAUUACUAUAAUAUUAUAUUUUUCAUUAAUCCAUAUACAAAUAAUUUAUAUCUUAGUUCACUUUCAAUUAAAUUGAUUGUCUAAAUAUAAAUUAUUUGUUUGACCAAAAAUUAUAUUUUUUCCGCUCAUAGCUUCAAAUUCUAGGUUAAAAUGUAAACUGGGUGAAAGAUUUGAUUUAGAAUAUAGUUUCACAAAUUUAAAAAAGAAAAGAAAUAAUUUAACAGCAAAGUUUUGUUUAAAAAUAUUAUAGAACCAAAAAAGAAGCUAAAAAAACAAUAUUUAUAAAACAUUAAUUUACAAAACUACUGUUGGCUUACGUUUAACUCUUUGAAGAAAUUGACAAAAGUUUGAAAAAUAGCAAUAGAAAGCUUGAAAACGGUGAUUAAAUGACACGAGAAUUGGUAAGAGAAGGGUAGUUUUGGGGUUCAGAAAAAAUGAAAGGGAUAAUAGGGUAAAUUACUUGAUCAAAGAUAAGGAGCUUGUAAGCCAAAAACUAAUAAGUUGGACAACCCCAACUUAUUGUUUUUGCCUUAUUUUUUGUGUUUUAACUUAAAAAUAUUUGACUUAAAAAUACUUUUAUGAUCUAUUCAAACACUCAAAUAAACCCAGAAGUACUUUUAAGAUGAUUUGACCAACUUUUAACCCAAUUCAAACGCCUUCUUAGCCCAAAAGAAUUGUGGGUCGUGGGCUACUCACACAAAAAGGAAAAGUAAAGAUUUCCUAUUUGAUCGCGUUAAUUUAAUAUAUUGCGACUUUUCUCAAAAUAUUUAACUGGUACCGGCGUAAGGACACAUAACACUUUACAUAUAGUUUUUCCGGCUUCUUUCUUCUUAUCCUUCAAACACCCAAUCUCCUAUAGUAAAGAAAUUCCGAUAGAGACAUGCAAAAGGUAACGUGUCCAGCCGCAACUCAAGCGUUGACCACAACCAUUUGUUUUGUGUGAUACAUUGGGAUUUCGGUUCUAUUUAAUAGUCAGCGGUGUUUGUGGAUAUAAGUGUUAGAACAUUAACAGCUGAAGUAAGUAUACAAUUCAUAUACAUCAAAUACAUGUAAACUAGACAAUGAUACAAUUAUGAGAUUAGAAACCACUAACCUCUUGAAAUCGUUGCACAGGUCUUCCACAAAGCAAGAAUCCACGGCUGCAAUCUUCUACUAUGGUCCUAGUAAGACCUUGGACGAAAUUGCUUUGAGUGGGAAGAACAAUACAACUCUAAAAAGUAAUUUAUUGGGUGAAAAAAGUCUUCCUUAUGUAGACUCGUUUUUCAACUAAAAAGGGUUCAAAAAACGUAUAGGAUUCUGCUUGUGCAAGUAGAAUCCUACUCUAACUCUACUGGAUGACUUUUCUCUCAAAUCACCUUUUACCCAAGUCAGUCCAGGUUUUUACUAGGUAUAGCAGGGACCACAGAAAUAAUAAGAGGCUACUAAUUAUAGUAUUAAUUCGAAAUUUCACAUGAAUUAAUUCCUAUUAUAAUUAAUUGCAGUUUAUUCCUCUAAAACUUCAAUUGAACUCCUCAAUAUGAAUUUCGAAAAUUCACUAACACUUAUUUUAACUCCCCGUGCUAAGAUCCAAAAUAUCAGUCAAUUAAAUUAAAUCACUGAUAAUUUAAUGUAAUCAACUAAUUAAAUCCUUUAUAAUUUCGCUUACACUAUUUCAUGCGACAAAUACAAAAUGCACCGGUCGGGUUUUCACAUGAAAACUUAUAAGCUUACAUAAAGGGGUAUCAUCGAACUCAAAAACGAAGCAUGGAUUCUGAAAAAUCAAUCUAAUUUUUUGUCCAAUCUAUCAAACAUACACUAACUUUGAAUAGAAUUGUACCUUCUGAAAAAUCAAAACAAUAAACAAAUCACAUUGAUCAUAAUAAUUAUAUCAAGAUUAGGAGUAUAAGCUCAUUCAAUGAAUUAGAAAAAAUAUUUUAUAUAUAUUCAGUACAAAAAUAUAUUUUCUCUACUUGGUUUGUUCAAUAUACACUAAGUAUAUGUCACGGCCCAAAAUCUCACCCGUCGUGAUGGCGCCUAUCUCAUACUAGGCAAGCCAAAAAUCUCAAUAAACCACAUAUCUUUUAAAUUUGAAAACACAAUAAUUAAAUUCAGCGGAAGAAAUCUCACAAAUCACUGACAUAAAAUAUAUUCCCAAAAGCCGGUGUCACUGAGUACAUGAGCAUCUAAAUGAUAACAAAGUCUGACUGAUAAAAACACUGUCUGAAAAAUAUAGAACUGUACAACAACUUAAAAGAAGAGAGUCAAGGUCUGGACGGACGCCAAGCAGCUACCUCCAUAAACUCUAACAGAUAAAACUCUGAGAACUAACAAUCGUCGUGUCCAGAAGCACCUGGAUCUGCAUAGGAGGUGCAGGGUGCAGUAUGAGUACAACCAACUCAGUAAUUAACAAUACUAAAUAAAGAACUGAAAGUAGUGACGAGCUUCACAGCUGAGUCCAAUUACAGUAAUUUCCAACAUAACAAGGUAGGCAUGCUUUCAAGUUCAACAUUUAAGACCAAAACAGUAAUUUCAUGUCAAGUUCAACUGAAACAUAUGAUAAUAUCUCUCAGAAAUUUCUAAAAUAGUGAUAUAUGCCAGCUGAAGUGCAACAAUAAUGAAACCAAAUGCACCCUCUCAGGACCACAGUCACUCAAGCAUUCCAUUCACUAAGCAUUUAGCACUCGCACUCAGUAGGAACCUGCGCUCAAUGGGGUGUGUACAGACUCUGGAGGGGCUCAUACAGCCCAAGCGCUAUAAUCCGCACGGACAACUCACGUGCUGAACGGACAACUCAUGUGCUAUAGUAUCAAUAUCUGGAUCUGCACGGAUAACUCACGUGCUGCACAGACAACUCACGUGCUAUAGUAUAAUAUCUGGAUCCGCACGAACAACUCACGUGAUAUAGUAUAAUAUAUGUAUCCGCAUAGACAACUCGCGUAUUGCACGGAUAACUCGCGUGCUAUAAUAUAAUAUCUCACAAUCAGGCUCUCGGCCUCACUCAGUCAUAAAUCUCUCCAGUCUCUCGGGCACUCAAUAAUCAUGAAAUCANNNNNNNNNNNNNNNNNNNNNNNNNCUGUGAGUGAGUACAAAACAACAAUUAAGCAGAUAGUUCAACAUGUACACGACCUCUGAGUGUCCCUACAGUGCCAACAUAUAAUCUAAACAUGAUUUGUGGUUUAAUUUCUCUACUACAUGGAGAAUGUACAUAUAACAACAGAUUAUUCAACUACACAGUUCCAUAAAAUUUGACCAAGUCAAAAUUUCUUAGAGUGCACGCCCACAUGCCCGUCACCUAGCAUGUGUGUCACCUCAAACCGAUCACAUAACACAUAAUUCAGGGUUUCAUACCCUCAGGACAAAAUUUCAAACUGUGUAAUUCUUUAUUCCGUUAUGCCUUUUCCUCAUGAAUUGGCUUCCAAAUGCCUCGAAUCUAGCCACAAAUAAUUCGAUUCAGUCAAUAAAAUUUAUUGGAAUUAAUUCCAUAAGAAAAUACAAAUUUCCCAACAAAAUCUAAAAUUUAGCUCAAAAAUUGCCCGUGGGGACCACGUCUUGGAACCCGACAAAAGUUACAAAAUCCGAAAGCUCAUUCAACCACGAGUCUAACCAUAUCAAUUUUACCAAAAUCCGACCUUAACUUGACCUCCAAAUCUUCAAAUCUUAUUUUCAAAUUCACAAUUUACACUACAAAAAUAUGUUAUCUAGUUAUAUUAUUCGAUGAUAAUUCAAUAUUAUAGAGUAGAAAUAAUCACAAGUGACUUACCUCAAGAUUUUCCGUGAUAAUUUGCUCAAACAUUUCCCUGCCCGCUUUUGGAAAUGUCAAAAAUGAUAAUUUCUCGGACACUUCUGUUUUGUACACUGCCUAGUGCUUUCGCACCUGCGACCAUAUUUCCGCAUAUGCGGUCCCGCUUUUGCAGUGAAAACACUGCAUUUGCGGAAGUCACUUAGCCCAGCUGUCUCCGCUUCUGCGAGCCUUGGACUGCAUAUGCGCCUUCGCAGGUGCGGAAAAUUCCAUCGCACUUGCGCGCCUGCACGCACCUGCGCCCGUCCUCCCGCUUCUGCGCAAGCGCUUCUGCGCCCACAGGUCCGCAUCUGUGGCCACUACCCAAAUCCUUCCUGGACGCUUCUGCAGCACCCUCCCCUCUUUUGUGGGCUCGCACCUGCUGUUCCCACUCUACGGGUGCGAUUACACUAGUAACAGUAAAACUUCAGUUGCUUCUUCAACUUACUUCCAAGUCCGUUAACCACCCGAAUUCAACCUAAGGCCCCCCGGGACCUCAACCAAACAUAACAAAAAGUCUUAUAACCCAAUACAAACUUAUUAGGACCCUCAAAAUUAUCUCAAACAACAUCAAAACACAAAUUUCACACGGAUUCAAGCCUAAUGAACUUUGAAACUUCCAAUUUUUACAAAUGACGCCGGAACCUAUCAAAUCAUGUCUGAUUAACCUCAAAUUUUUUACAUAAGUCAUAAAUGAUAUAACAGGCCUAUUCAAAUUUCCAGAAUUUGAUUCCGACUCUGAUAUAAAAAUUCAACCCCCCGGUCAAACUUUUCAAAAAUUCAACUUUCGCCAUUUCAAGCCUAAUUCUACUACGGACCUCCAAAUAAUUUUUCGGACACGCUCCUAAGUUCAAAAUUACCAUACGGAGCUAUUGGAAUCAUCAAAAUUUUAAUCCGAGUUUGUUUACAUAUAAGUCAACCUCCGAUAACUUUUCCAACUUAUGUUUUCAAUUAUGAGACUAAGUGUCUCAUUUCACUCCGAAAUCCUUCCGGACCUGGACCAACUAACCCGGUAAGUCAUAAAAUAACUGUAAAGCAUAACUUGAGCAGUAAAUGGGGGAACAAGGUUAUAAUACUCAAAACGACCGGCGGGGUCGUUAUAUUCUCCCGCUCUUAAACAAACGUUCGUCCUCUAACGGGUUUAGAAUCAUACCUGGAAUAUCAAAUAGGUGUGGAUAUCUGUUCCGCAUCUCCUGCUCAAUCUCCCAAGUAGCUUCUCCGACUGGUUGGCCUCUCCAAUGUACCUUCACUAAUGUUAUGUUCUUUGACCUCAGUUUUUGAACCUGGCGGUCUAAAAUAGCCAACGGCUCCACAUUAUCAAUCAAAUUUCCGUCCAGUUGUACUGUACUGAAAUCUAGAAUAUGAGACGGAUCCCCGACAUACUUUUGAAGCAUGGAUACAUGGAAUACUGGAUGAACACCUGAUUGACUAGGUGCAAAAGUAAGUUCAUAAGCCACUUCUCCAAUUUUCUUAAGUAUCUCAAAAGGCCAAAUAUACCGAGGGCUCAACUUGCCCUUCUUCCCGAACCUCAACACACCUUUCAUGGGUGAAAUCUUAAGCAGAACCUUCUCCCCAACCAUGUAAACAACAUCACGGACCUUCUUGUCGGCAUAACUCUUCUGUCUAGACUGUGUCGUGUGAAGUCACUCCAAAAUCAAUUUAACCUUCUCCAAAGCAAACUGAACUAUGUCAGUACCCAAUAGCCUAGCCUCACCUGGCUCAAACUAACCCACCGGAGACCGACAUUGUCUCCCAUAUAAAGCCUUAUAUGGAGCUAUCUGAAUGCUCGACUGGUAAUGAUUAUUGUAAGCAAACUCCGCGAGUGGAAGAAACUGAUUCCAAGAACUUCCAAAAUCUAUAACACAAGCGCGUAGCAUAUCUUCCAAUAUCUGAAUAGUGAGCUCGGACUGCCCGUCCGUCUGAGGGAGAAAUGUUGUACUUAGCUGAACCUGUAUACCUAAUUCAUGUUGUACUGCUCUCCAAAACUGUGAUGUAAACUACGUGCCCCAGUCCGAAAUGAUGGACAUGGGCACCUUGUGUAGGCGAACAAUCUCGCAGAUAUAAAUCUCAGCAAACCACUCUGAAGAAUAUGUAGUACCAACUGGAAUAAAAUACGCGGACUUGGUCAACCGAUCCACAAUCACCCAAACAACAUCAAACUUCCUCAAGGUCCGUGGAAGCCCGACUAAAAAGUCCGUGGUAAUACGCUCCCACUUCCACUCCAGAAUUUCUAGUUUCUGAAGCAAUCCACCCCGUCUCUGAUGCUCGUACUUCAUCUGUUGACAAUUUAAACACCGAGCUAUAAACCCAACUGUAUCUUUUUUCAUUCGCCUCCACCAAUAGUGUUGCCUCAAAUCCUGAUACAUCUUCGUGGCACCUGGAUGAUGAAUAGAGUACCGUGAACUGUGAUCUUCCUGGAGAAUCAACUCACGCAACCCAUCUACAUUAGGAACACAUAGCAUGCCCUACAUCCAUAAUACGAUGUCAUCCUCAAUAGUGACUUUCUUGGCAUCACCGUGCUGAACCGUGUCCUUAAGGACAAGCAGAUGAGGGUCAUCAUACUAACAGUCUCUGAUACGAUCAUAAAGAGAAGAUCGAGAAAUCACACAAGAUAGAACCCGAUCGGGCUCCAAAAUAUCUAAUCUCACGAACUGAUUGGCCAAGGCCUGAACAUCAAAGGCUAAAGGCCUCUCUGCUACCGGUAAUUAUGCUAAACCGCCCAAACUCUCCGCCUUACGACUCAAGGCAUUAGCCACCACAUUGGCCUUUCCGGGAUGAUAGAGAAUGGUGAUAUCAUAAUCCUUAAGCAACUCCAACAACCUCUGCUUCCGCAAAUUAAGAUCGUUCUAUUUAAACAGAUGGUGUAGACUCGGGUGAUCAGUAUAUACCUCACAAUGGACACCGUACAAAUAAUGUCGUGAAAUCUUUAAGGCAUGAACAAUAGUUGCUAACUCAAGGUCGUGGACCGGAUAAUUCUUCUCCUGUACCUUUAACUGUCUGGAUGCAUAGGCAAUCACCCUGCCGUCUUGCAUCAGCACUGCGUCGAGACCAAUAGCUACGCAUCACAAUACACAGUAUAAGACCCUGAACCUGUAGGCAACACCAAUACUGGGGUUGUAGUCAAAGACAUCUUGAGCUUCUGAAAGCCCUCUUCACACUCAUCUGACCACCUGAACGGAGCACAAUUCGGGUCAAUUUAGCCAUAGGCGCCGCAAUAGAUGAGAAACCCUCCACGAAGCGACGAUAAUAACCAGCCAUGCCGAGAAAAUUCCGAAUCUCAUUAACUGAAGAUGGCCUGGUCCAACUAUAAACUGCCUCUAUUUUAUUUGGAUCCACUUUAAUCCCUUCACUAGACAUUAUGUGUCCCAAGAAUGCCACUAAACUAAGCCAGAACACACACUUAGAAAAUUUAGCAUAAAGUCUCUCCUCUCUCAGCCUCUGCAAUAUAAUACCCAAGUGUUGUGCAUGUUCUUCCUGACUGAGUACACCAGGAUAUCAUCAAUAAAUAUCACGGCAAACGAAUCAAGAUACAUUUGGAAUAUGCUAUUUAUCAAAUGCAUAAAUGUUGUUGGGGCAUUGGUCAGCCAUAACGAGUCUUGAAUGUCAUUUCUAGAAUAUCUGAAUCCCGAAUUUUUAAAUGGUGAUACCCGGAUCUCAAAUAAAUUUUGGAGAACACCCUUGCUCCAUGAAUCUGGUUAAAUAAGUCAUUCAUACGUGGCAAAGGAUAUUUAUUCUUGAUUGUAACUUUGUUCAAUUGUCUCUAAUAACUGCACAUCUGCAUAGUACCAUCUUUAUUAUUCACAAACAGAACUGGUGCACCCCAAGAUGACACACUAGGCCUAAUAAACCUCUUAUCAAGGAGUUCCUUAAGUUGUUAUUUCAAUUCUUUCCAUUAAGUUGGUGACAUACGAUACGGAGGAAUAGAAAUGGGUUAUGUGCCCGAUACCAAGUCAAUACCGAAAUCAAUAUCCCGGUUUGGUGGCAUACCCGGUAGGUCUGCAGGAAAUACCUCGGGAAAGUCUCUCACGACCAGUAAUGCAUCAAUAGUAGGAGUAUAUGCAUCAACAUCUCUCACAAAGGCCAAAUAUGACAAACACUCUUUCCCAACCAUACGUUGGGACUUCAAAUAAGAAAUUACCCUGCUGGGAAUAUAAUCUAGAAAACCUCUCUAUUCAACCUUCGGCAACCCCGACAUCACCAACGUAACAGUUUUUGCGUGAUAGUCCAGGAUAGCAUAACAUGGAGACAACCAAUUCAUACCCAGAAUAUCAUCGAAAUCAACCAUACUGAGCAAUAAAAGAUCAACUCUAGUAUCCAGUACCCCAAUAGUUACCACAUAUGACCGAUACACACGGUCCACAAUAAUAGUAUCGCCCAUCGGCAUAGAUACACGAACAGGUGAAACUAAGGACUUACGGGGCAUAUCUAGAUAAUGAGAAAAGUACGAUGAUAUAUACGAAUAAGUAAAACUAGGGUCAAAUAAUAUAGUAGCUUCCAUAUGGCACACUAAGACAAUACUUGUGACCACUGCAUUUGAAGCAACAACAUUUAGCCUGGCAGGAAAAGCAUAGAAUCGGGCCUGACCGCCACCUGAUCGUCCUCCCCCUCUUGGUCGACCCCUAAUUGGCUGAGCUCCACCCCGAGCUGGCCGAGCUGGUGGUGUAAUCGCUGGUGCUGGUGCCGUCGGCCAAGAACUCUGUUGUGGAGCCCCACUCAAUAGCCGAGGACAAUCUCUAUUGAAAUGACCAAAUUCUCCGCACUCGAAACAACCCUCCUCUGACGGAACUGUUGCUCCUAAUAACCCGAGGAAUUACCUGUAGAAGCCUGAGCGGAUGAGGCAUGGUGAGAACUAUGCUCUAGUAGUGCACUGAAAGAUGACUGACCGUGAUGAGAAUUAUAUGGACCAUGGCUGGAUGAUACACCAUGAUGAACUGGACGACCCGUCUAAGCGUGCAUGUACGGACGACCCCUGUUGUGGUAGGACUGCCCUCCAGGAGGUACCCCACCAGAACUACCCAAACCUCGAGGACUCUUGGCCUCCCUCUCACCACGCUCCUAGCUAUGGACCAACUCUAUAUGCCGAAAAAUGUCAACCACCUCAUCAAAAGUGGCACCAGAUACCCUCUCCCUAGUCAUAAGCAACUGCAGCUGAUACGUGAGGCCAUCAAUGAACCUCAUAAUCCUCUCCCUAUUAGUAGGAACCAGCCAAACUGCGUGAUGAGCCAACUCAUAAAAUCUCAUCUCAUAUCGGGUCACAUACAUUCCAUCGUGAUGUAACUGCUCAAACUGUCUGUGCAGCUCUUCUCUGCAAGACUGUGGCACAAACUUCUCCAAAAAGAGAACGGAGAACUCCUUCCAUGUAAAUUGGUGUUGUACCGACCAUCCUGCGCCUCUCAUAAUCCUCCCACCAUCUGAAGGCAGCCUAAGAAAACUGAAAAAUAGUAAACGAGACCCCACUGGUCUCCAGUAUACUCAUUGUUUGCAGCAUCAACUGGCACUUAUCCAGAAAUCCCUUAGCAUCCUCUGACUCAGCACCGCUAAAUGAUGGAGGUCGAAGCCUCCCAAAUAUCUCAAGUCUCCUCUGCUCAUCAUCUUCCAUAACGGGGACUAUCGGGGCCUGAAUAGCUGCAACCGACAGGGCUGGUAGUGCCCCCGGUAUCUGAAGACCCUGCUCUACCUGCUCUAGAGUACGGGAAACAGGGGUAUGAGUACCUCCCCCACCCUGAGAAGUGGCUGGUGUGGCCUGAGGCGAAACCACUUGGGCAAAGCCAGUGCAAACUGUCAAUAUCUGGGCCAAAGACUCUUGAAGGCCUGGAAUCACAAUGGGCACAGGUGAUGCCUGAGCUGGUCCCGCCAACUCAACUAUAUUUGGAAUCUGCUGCUGAGGUGGAGUAACUGGUGGUGCUACAGGUGCUGAUACAACUACUGUACGAGCUACACCUCGACCUCUACCUCGGCCUUGGCCUCUACUACGACCCGGCCUCUCGCGGCCCUAACUUGUGGCACUGGUGGCCAACCGUCUGAUCUGGUAGUAUGUGUUCUCACCAUUUGUGAGAGAAUAGAAUAACAUAAAUUUAGUUUUCGGAAUCAACAAAUUCGCAUGACCGAAUACAAGAAAGUGAAAUUUUCCUAAGGGUUCGGAAACCCCUAGAAGAUAAGUACAGACAUCUCUGUACCUAUCUUCAAGACUCUAUUAAACCUGCUCAUGACUCGUGAGACCUAUGUAACCUAGGCUCUGAUACCAACCUGUCAUGACCCAAAAUAUCACCUGUCGUGAUGACACCUAUCUCAAUACUAGGCAAGCCAACAAUCUCAAUAAACCACAUAUCUUUUAAAUUUGAAAACAUAAUAAUUAAAUUCAGUGGAAGAAAUCUCACAAACCACUGACAUAAAAUACAUUCCCAAAACCCGGUGUCAUUGAGUAUAUGAGCAUCUAAAUGAUAACAAAGUCUGACUGAUAAAAACACUAUCUGAAAAAUGUAGAACAGUACGACAACUGAAAAGAAGAGAGUCAAGGUCUGCGGACGCCAAGCAGCUACCUCGAUAAACUCCAACAGAUAAAACUUUGAGAACUAAUAAUCGCCGUGUCCAGAAGUACCUGGAUCUGCACACGAGGUGCAGGGUAUAGUAUGAGUACAACCAACUCAGCAAGUAACAAUACUAAAUAAAGAACUUAAAGUAGUGACGUGUUUCACAGCUGAGUCCAAUUACGGUAAUUUCCAACAUAAUAAGGUAGGCAUGCUUUCAAGUUCAACAUUUAAGGCCAAAACAGUAAUUUCAUGUCAAGUUCAACUGAAACAUAAGAUAAUAUCUCUCAAACAUUUCCACAACAGUGAUAUAUGGUAGUUGAAGUGCAAUAAUAAUGAAAUCAAAUGCAUCCUCUCAAGACCACAGUCACUCAUCCAUUCCAUUCACUGAGCAUUCAACACUCGCACCCAUUAGGUACAUGCUCUCACUGGGGGGGGUGUGCAGACUCCAGAGGGGCUCCUACAACCCAAGCGUUAUAAUCCACACGGACAACUCACGUGCUAUAGUAUAAUAUCUGGAUCUGUACAGAUAACAACCGUGUUGCACGGACAACUCACGUGCUAAUUAUAAUAUAUGGAUCCGUACAGACAAUUCACGCGCUGCAUGGACAACUCACGUGAUAUAAUAUAUUAUCUCACAAUCAAGCCCUCGGCCUCACUCAGUCAUAAAUCUCUCCAAUCUCUCGGGCUCUCAAUAAUCAUGAAAUCAACCCAAACAACAAUGAUACGACGCAUCAAUAAUGAACAAUAGAGAUUGAGAUAAAAUAAACAAGUAAACUAUAAUCUAAACAUGAUUUGUGGUUUAGUUUCUCUACUACAUGGAGAAUGUACAUAUAACAACAGAUUAUUCAACUACACAGUUCCAUAGAAUUUGACCAAAUCAUAAUUCCUACAUUGCACGCCUCCACGCCCGUCACCAAGCAUGUGUGUCACCUCAAACCGAUCACAUAACACAUAAUCUGGGGUUUUAUACGCUCAAGACCAAAUUUAGAACUGUUACUUACCUCAAACCGUGUAAUUCUUUAUUCCACUAUGCCUUUGCCUCGUGAAUUGGCCUCCAAACACCUCGAAUCUAGACACAAAUAAUUCGAUUCAGUCAAUAAAAUUUAUUGGAAUUAAUUCCAUAAGAAAAUACAUAUUUUCCAAAAAAUCCAAAAUUUAGCUCAAACAUCAACGUCUCGAACCCCGACAAAAGUUACAAAAUCCGAAAGCCCAUUCAACCACGAGUCUAACCAUAUCAAUUUUACCAAAAUCCGACCUCAACUCGACCUCCAAAUCUUCAAAUCUUAUUUUCAAAUCCCUAAGUUCAAAUCCCCAAUUUACACCUUAAAACAUGUAAUCUAGUCGGAUUAUUCGAUGAUAAUUCAAUAUUAUGGAGUAGAAAUGAUCACAAGUGACUUACAUCAAGAUUUCCCCUUUUUUCUCUCUCAAAAAAUCGCCCCACCCGCUUUGGAAAUGUUAAAAAUGAUAAAAUUUCAUCGGACCCUUCUGUUUUGUAUACUGCCCAGUGCUUUCGCACCUACGGCCAUAUUUACGCAUCUGCAGAAGUCACUUAGCCCAGCUGCCUCCACUUCUGCGAGCCUUGGGCAGUAUAUGCGCCUUCGCUGAUGCAGAAAAAUUCCAUCGCACGUGCGCGCCUGCGCGCACCUGCGCCCGUCCUCUCGCUUCUGCACCCCCUGCCCAAAUCCUUCAUGGUCGCUUUUGCGGCUCCCUCCCCUCUUAUGUGGGUUCGCACCUGCGGUUCCCACUCCGCAAGUGCGAUUACACUAUCAGCAGUAAAACUUCAGUUGCUUCUUCAACUUACUUCGAAGUCCGUUAACCACCAAAAUUCAACCCGAGGCCCCCCGGAACCUCAACCAAACAUACCAAUAAGUCUUAUAACCCAAUACGAACUUAGUCAGACCCUCGAAUUACGUCAAAUAACAUCAAAACUCGAAUUCCACAUGGAUUCAAGCCUAAUGAACUUUGAAACUUCCAAUUUCUACAAACGACGCCAAAACCUAUCAAAUCACGUCCGAUUGACCUCAAAUUUUGUACAAAAGUCAUAAAUGACAUAACGGACCUAUUCAAAUUUCCAGAAUCAGAUUUCGACCCCGAUAUCAAAAAGUUAACCCCCCGGUCAAACUUCCCAAAAAUUCAACUUUCGCCAUUUCAAGCCUAAUUCCACUACGAACCUCCAAAUAAUUUUUCGGACACGCUCCUAAGUCCAAAAUCACCAUACGGAGUUAUUGGAAUCAUCAGAAUUCAAAUCUGAGGUCAUUUACACAUAAAUCAACAUCCGGUCAAUUUUUUCAACUUAAAUUUUUAAUUAUGAGAUUAAGUGUCUCAUUUCACUCUGAAAUCCUUUCGGGCCUGGACCAACUAACCUGGUAAGUCAUAAAAUAAUUGUAAAGCAUAACUUGAGCAGUAAAUGGGGGAACAGAGUUAUAAUACUCAAAACAACCAGUCGGGUCGUUACAGUAUACUAGCACAAGAAGUCAGAGUAAAACCACUCCCAUAAUCAAGAUAAAUUAUACUAUAAUUUUGUGCUACAAUCACCAAGAUAUUUUUCUCAAUAAUAUCUUUGAUUGUGAACAUAGUUUAUUAAUUAUGAGAACCGACAAUUUAAUCUUCUGUGCAUGAGCUAAGACUCCAUACACUAAAUUGUCUACUACAUAACUAAAGGACACACAUGUAACAAAUGAUCUAUUUAAAAUAGUGCUUUAUUGAAUUGAAUAAAUUAAAUAAAUAAUUGUUCCAUAAAUCAUAAAACACAAUACUAUGUUUAAACCUCAUGGUUAAUAGUAUAUCCCAAAAAGAAGAUCAGGUCUACGAGAGGGUAAUUCUCGGCUAAUAAGAGUAAAAAGGACUACACAGUUUUACACUUGCUUAAGGUGAACCACAGAAGCGAUUGUUUGAAGUUUGUACUGUUACAGGGAGGAUUUUAGACGCAAAAUUACCCAAAAUUUUAGGUGAAUUUAAUACGCGAUUGUCUAAAGUCUGUACGGUCAGGAGGAGAAAUUUAGACGCAAAUAUUAUCCAAAAUUUGUAACUUCGAUCACAUCUAAAGUUUGCACUAUCACAUCGGAAAUUUAGUAUAAAUUGUCCCAGCGGAUCACCAUGAGUUUCUGAUGGAUGAGCUUAUCAUAAUCUUAAAUUAUGAUGAUCACCAAGAGUUUAGUAUAAAAUUAUUCCGGCGGAUCAUCAUGGGGCUUUUAAUUGAUAGGCUUUCCACGAAUCCUAGCGGAUCGUCAAGACUUUAGUACAUAAUGUAUGGUAACUCAACCUAUUUUUGCUUCAAAAUCAAAUCAAAUUGGUCUAAAUUAACUCGACGUGGUUCCAAAUUUGAUAUCCAACAUUCUAAUAUCAAUUCCAAUAAUUUUCAAUGGUUAGAUUCAACCAAAUCCUUCUUUAACAAACAAGCUCAACAAAACUCAAUAACGGUAGUUCUUUAUAGGGGUGCUUAUCGGGCGGAGAAUUACGCUUAACGAUUCGGCUUAUCGAUUAUCGGAUUAUAAAUGUAGUAAUUCGUUCGCCAUCCAUUAAAAUAACGGGCGGAUUGAUAUCGGAUUAACGAUUAUCGAGCGGUUAUCGGACAGUUUAUCGGCUAAACCAAAUAGAAAAUUUUUAAACAAUCCUAGUCUUGUGAAUACCAAAUGGCCAAACAUGAAAAAGUGACUCGACUUCCUCGUUAGUAUGUACUGCACUUUAGUUUACCAGGCUUGUUAACAGUUGUUGCUAUAUGAUAGAAUUUGUUAACACUUGUAGUUUGUAUUGCACUAAUGCACUUAUUAUAAGUAUUUCUUUUUGUUGCAUAACUAACUGUUUCACGUCAGAAAAAAGGAAAGAUUGCAAAACUGGUCAAACUGAUUGAAAACUUAUAAUAUGCAAUCAAUCAUGUACAUCUAGGUAGUGUGUUUAUAUAUAAAUCCUUUUGAAGUCUUCAGAGGAGGUCGUGUGUAUAUAUAUAUAUAUAUAUAUAAAAAUUCUCAACGGAUUAACGAUUUAUCCGAUAAGAAAAUUGAAUAAUCCGCCCCCAAACCGUUAAGCCGUUAAUUAUAAAAUCUCAAUCUGUUCACCAACCAUUACCCUAAUAAACCUGAUACCAAUAAACCAAUAAGUCAUCGGUUCGAUUUGGUUAAUGGUUACGGUUCAAUUUUGAAUAGCCCUAGUUCUUUUCCAACCAAACCAUCUACUAACAAAUGGAUUUUCAAUUUUUUAUAGCACAUAUAAAGAAGAUGAAAAAGAACGAGGAAAAGGAGGAGGAGGAAAUGCAUAAGUUCUAGCAAAUAAUUAUAUUUAAUUUGUAUUUUUAACAGGAUCAAAAUUUAAACACCGGUCCUUGAAGAGGACACCUAGUGAAAUUUCUUGCAGUUUCAUCGUCUCGUAAUAAAUAAUUGGAAUCAAGUUUUCCUUCUUUAUUUUUAUUUUUUUUUCUUUCAACCUUUUUAGCUUCAAAAAAGCAUUGAUGUUUUCUAGUAUCAUUCAAACUUCUUUUAGCCUCAAAUAGCAUUUAUGCCUCUAGCAUAAUUCAUACUUUCUGUUUUCUCCACACACUUAUUUGGAUCAACCUGUCUAUUUUCCCGUUGUUUGAAAACUUGGAAAUUCGUGUUGAAAUUUAAAACCAUACAACCAAAAUAUAAUGCUUUGCCAAUAGAGGCAGGUUAUGUCCUUACAUUGUUUUUUUCUAAAGAAACUAACAAACGAAUGAAAUGAAGUCAUAGCCAUCACCAACUUGACAUCAUAUUUAUAUCGAAUAUUCACCAUCUUAAGGUGUGGUUUUUCUAUGUGGAAGGCGGCCGAUGAGCUAUCAGCUUCACAAUGGCAACUACUUGUGGCCUCAAAAUUUGGAAUUGUUCCCUGUUAUUGUGAUUUAAAAAUCCUAUACUCCACCAAGAUGUUAAGGCUGAAAACAACAGUACAAAGGUUUAUAUGCCAACUAAAACAACAAGAAAGAGAGUCAAAUUUAGUAUUUGUCCAGCAAAUGUAACUAGCAUAAAAAUCAACCUACAAGUAAUAAAUAGUAUUCGCUUUGAGCCUAAACUCGCACAACUUUAAAACGAGUAACGAUAGUUUAAAACUUGCUUCCUCAUAUAUUCAGCAUCUCUCGUAUGUUUUGCCAAUAUGGGGUUUGCCGGGAUAUUACGUACACCAUCCCUUAAAGUGUUGAUUAGCUCAGCCAUGGUGAAUGAGAGAGAGAGUUUCAGAGAAAAUUGAGAAAGAAGAAGCUCCAUUGAUAAGCUCUGAUGUACAGAGACAAAUGAAAAUAAAUCUCUGUGUAUUUACAGACUCUUUACUCUUUUAUAUACUAACCGACUGACAAUGACAUCUUAAUUAAUUCAACUAACUCUUCUCUACUUAACUUAAAACCUAAGUGACAGUUGUACAUUGCUAAGUGACAGUUGUAUCACCACUAACCUCACUUCCCCACAAGUUGAGGGAUGAAUACAAGUUCUUCAUUCACAUCUUGUCCAUCAGAUAGUCAUGUUGUGGUCUGCACAGACUCUUUGUAAGUAGAUCAGCAAGUUACUCUUUAGUCCCAAUGUGUUGAAUAUGAAUCUUCCCUUCUUGAAUCUUUUCUCUUACAAAGUGACAAUCAAUAUCUAUGUGUUUUGUUCUUUCAUGAAAGAUAGGAUUAGCUGCGAUUUGAAUGGCAGCUUUACUAUCACAGAACAACCUAACUGGUACAGGUACCUCUCUUCCCAAUUCCUUGAAUAUACCUAUCAACCAUGUAAUUUAUACUACAGUAGCAGCCAUACUUCUAAACUCAGCUUCGGCAGAACUUCUGGACACAAUUUCUUGUUUCUUAGAUUUCCACGAGAUUAAGGCAUCACCAAAUUUUACUGUAUAGCCAGUGACUGAUUUUCGUGUCUCAACACAAACUCCCCAAUCUGAAUCACAAUAGGUUGCUAGCUUCAAAGUGUUGUCAGAUGGCAUAAAAAGUCCAAGUCCAGGUGCAUUCUUGAUGUAUCUAACCACUCUCAUGGCUGCUUCCAAAUGAGAUUGCCUUGGUGCAUGCAUAUGUUGACUGAGUACUUGAACAAUAAAUGAUAUGUCUGGUCUGGUCAUAGUCAAGUAUAGUAGCCUGCCAACAAUCCUCUGAUAACCACCUUUAUUCUCAAGUUGUUGAUCAUCAGCAUAUGUCUUAUUGUUUACAACUCUGUCAAAUUCUAUAGAAGUGAGUUUGUGAUUGAACUCCAAAGGAGUUCCAACAGGUUUAGCCCCUGCUAGCCUUGUUUCUGAGACAAGUUCAAGGGCAUAUUUUCUCUUCCACAUGUGAAUUCCCUUUUCUGACCUGGAGAAUUCAAUCCCCAAGAAAUACUUCAGUUCUCCCAAAUCCUUCAUAUUUAACUUGUUCUGAAGGUCCUUUCUAACUUGCUGAAUGAGUGUUAAGUGACUACCUGUGACCAAGAGGUCAUCAACAUAAACAAGAACAAUGACCAACUCUCUUUCCUUCCUUUUGUAAAUAAAGAAUAAUCAUAGUGUGAUUGCACAAACCCCAUAUUAGUCAAAGCCUCUGUCAGUUUUAAGUUACAUUGCCUAGGUGCUUGCUUGAGGCCAUACAAAGACUUAUGAAGCUUAGAGACCUUCUUGUACUCCCCCUGGAUUGAAAAGCCAUCUGAAAUCUGCAUGUAGACAUCCUCAACAAGAUCUCCCUGUAGAAAGGCAUUGUGGACAUCCAUUUGAAAGAUGUACCAACUAAAGGCUGCAGCUAGAGCCACCAUUGUUCUGACAAUCAUCAUUUUGGCUACAGGAGAGAAGGUCUCCUUGUAGUCAAGACCCUCUUGUUGACUAUAACCUUUAGCAACCAGUCUUUCUUUGAAUCUUCCCACCUCCCCAGUAGACUUGUACUUCACUUUAAACACCCAUUUGCAUCCUAUGGGAACCUUAUCAGGUGGUAGAUCAACAAUACACCAACUCUUAUUGUCCUCCAAGGCUGAGAUCUCAGCCUUCAUAGCAUUCACCCACUGUGGAUCCUUUCUUGCUUCAGCAAAUGUCCUAGGCUCAAAAACAACAGAAUAUGCAGCAACAAAAUCUAUGUAAGCAGAAGACAAUUGAUCAUAGUUCACAUACAUAGCUAUUUGAUAGGCAUAGGUGGACUGCUUAGUGUGAAUUGCAUAGUCUUGCAUCCAAAUAGGAGUUUUGGACACUCUAUAAGACUUUAUGAAAGGCGGGGGAGAGGUAGGAGAAGAAGGAGUGCUUGGUACAUCAGUGGACUGAAUAGGAGGAGGCAUCUCACAUAUAGGAGCUUCAAUCUCCACUAUGGGUUGGACAACUUCAGGAGGUGAGACAGAAGCAUCCACUGCUGAAAGUUGUAGAACUGGGAAGAUUGGAGAAUGACCAGACUGUAGAUGUUGAAAAGGAAAGAUAUAUUCCUUAAACACAGUAUCCAUGUUAACAAAGAAGUGAUAAGUAGAGAGAUCAUAGAGAAGAUAACAUUUCUGGGAAGAUGAAUACCCAAGAUGAACUACAGGAAAUGCUCUAGGACUGAAUUUAUCUGUCUUCUCACAUUAGUAGCAUAACAUAGGCUACCAAACACUCUCAAAUGAUGCAAAGAGGGUGGUCGAAGAAACAAUUUCUCAAAGGGAGACUUGCCUUUCAGCAGAGCAGUAGGCAGCCUAUUCAGCAAGUAAACUGCAGUAGAAACACAUUCACCCCAAAACUUCAAAGGGAUGAAGGCUUGAAACCUUAAGGCUCGAUCCAUGUCUAGAAUAUACCUAUGCCUUCGUUCUACUAUACCAUUUUGUUGAGGAGUGUAGACACAUGAGCUUUGAUGAACUAUCCCAAAGUCCUUUAAUAGAGAAUUAAUAUGAGUGUUGACAAACUCAUAUCCAUUAUCAGUUCUCAAACAUUUUACAUUACAACAAAACUGAUUUCUAACCAAUACCGAGAAAUAUUUCAGAACAACAAUUGAGUCUGCCUUAGUACUCAACAAGAAAAUCCAGGUAUAUCUAGAGAAAUCAUCUACUAGGAUCAGGAAAUACCUCUUACCAUAAAGCGUAGAUACUCUGUAGGGACCCUAAACAUCAGCAUGCACAAGAUCAAAAGGAUGAACAGAACAAGUAUUACUGAGAGUAAAAGGUAAUCUUGACUGCUUGGCAAGUGGACACAUAGUACAUAGAUGAUCUUUCAAUUGUAUAGCGUUUAAACCAUCAAUAUUUUUCAAGACUCUCAAAGGAGCAUGGCCUAAUCUUCUAUGCCACAAAGAAGUAUUGUCACAAGUCUUAUUCAUUAUAUCACCAUUAGGUUUAUUACUUGAACUAGUAAUGAUAUUUACAAGUGAAUGAUGCAGACACUUAUCCCCUUUAUUAACUGGAUGGUGUGAGGAAGAAGCUAGACCAUUUGCUUGCAGAAUGUAGAGACCAUGACCUUCUCAACCAAUCCCUAUCACCUUCCCACUGAAGAGCUCCUGAAAUAAAUAGAAGUCGGGGAAGAAUGCAGCCAAACAACUUAGCUCCUUAGUGAUUUUGGAAACAUACAACAUAUUGUACUUAAACUUUGGAACAUUUAAGACAUUGUGAAUUGUUCUAUCUUGGAAGAUUGAGGACUCUCCUGAUUUAGUAAUAGAGACUUGACCACCAGUAUGUAAGAGUACCUUACUUCUGGUCUCUUUAGGUAAAUCAGAACACUUAUUAAGCAAAGCCAUAUUGUGUACCAUAUGAUCAGUGGCACUUGUGUCUAUUAUCCAAUUAGUAUCAACUAGAGUAGACAACAUGGCAGAAUAGGUAUCUGCAGUGUCAGAUUUGGCUAUAUUAGCCAUAGGUGCAACUUCAUUUCCUUUGUUGAGAAGCUGCAGAAUCUGAGAGUAUUGCUCAGGAGUGAAGAACUGAGCUUGUGAAGGAACUCCAGGUUGAGAGCAAUGUUGACCCCCUGAAUAUUGACCACCUGUACUAGUUACAUUGUUGGCAUAUGUGUUGUUAUAAGUAUUUGGAGGUCCUCCUUUCUUCUUAGGUUUAAAACCUACUGGAUAACCAUGCAAUUUGAAGCAAUUUUUCCUGGUGUGUCCCUUGUAGUUACAGUAGUCACAUUGAACCAAGGCCUUGCCAGAAUUAUUCUUUUGUCUGUAACCUCCUGCUGAAGUUUUGUUGCUCAGCAAGGCUGUAGGGUCAGUAACUUUAGCACCAAUACCAACAGUGAUUCCAACACCAUUUUUUCUCUAACUCUCAAUAUUAAUAAUCAUGGCAUAUGCCUGAUUGAUGUUAGGUAAUGGACGAGUCAUAAGAACUUGAUCCUUAGCAUGUUCAAAUGAUUCAUUUAAACCUGUCAAAAAUUGGUACAAAUUUUGUGUCUAAUAAUGUUCAACAUAUCUUCUAGACUCGAGACAACCACAAGAGGGUGGAGGUGCUAGGGCCUCGUACUCAUUCCACAAUUCUCUAAGUCUGGAAAAGUACACGGACAUAGAUGACACACCUUGAGUCAAAGUAGCCAUUUCCUUGUGAAUAUAGCAGUCUCUAGAGGCGUUGACUUUAUCAAACCUUUCCUUAAGAUCUUCCCACAUCUUGUGUGCAUUAGAUGCGUAAAUCACAGUACUAAUGAGAUUUGGUGAAACAGUAUUCAUAAUCCAAGCUAGAAUAAUUCCAUUACAUCUAUCCCACAGUUCGUGUAGACUAUGAUCAUACAUUUCCCUCCUAAAGGUACUGAGAACAAAGCCUAGCUUAUUUUUGCCAUGCAAUACAAUUUUUAUAGAUCUACUCCAAAUUGAAUAAUAUUCCGAUCCUUGAAGUUGAAUAGAGAUUAGUACCUAACCCUGCGUGUCUAAUGGAUGAAUGUAUGAAGAAUGAUUGUGAUGAACUAGAUCCAAGUCAUGAAGAUUUGGGGUUGGAGAUGUAGCACCCUGAGUAGCAGAGACGGAAUCAUAUUCCUCAAUUGCCAUUAUGUUUCUUCAGAAAACUUAGUUAGGUUACUGAUUUGGAACCACAACAAGCAAUUAGAGAUGAAUUUUACAGUAAUUUGUCGAGAUUCAACUGAAAUUAACAAGUUCCACAAUCCCUAGGUUGCAGAGGAACUUUUCCAGAUGAAGAAAUAGCUCGAUCUAAGAACAAAUACACUUCUCUAAUACUCCUCUGUAGUAGCUGAGUUGACCGAUUUACCAAAGCUCUGAUACCAUGUUGAUUAGCUCAGCCAUGGUGAAUGAGAUAGAGAGAGUUUCAGAGAAGAUUGAGAGAGAAACAGCUCCAUUGAUAAGCUCUGAUGUACAGAGACAAAUGAAAAUAAAUCUCUGUGUAUUUACAGACUCUUUACUCUUUUAUAUACUAACCGACAGACAAUGAUAUAUUAACUAAUUCAACUAACUCUUCUCUACUUAACUUAAUACCUAAGUGACAGUUGUACAUUGCUAAUUGACAGUUGUAUCACAACUAACUUCUACAUAAAGACUCAGCACCCUCGUUGACAUUCGUCUCUCCAUCACUUCAAGAUGUGAGAUGCCUAAAUUCAAUUGAGGUUCACCCUCACCAUCAUCUCAAAGAUGUGAAAUUCAUUAAACUCGGUUGAAGUUUGCCUUGUUGCUUAUAUUAAUGAUAUUGAAUUUCCUAAACUCAAUUGAGCACUGAAAUUAGGACCAUCGCCCAAGAUUGUACGAGAAGUGACUUGGACAAUACAUGCAACCAUGGGCGAUAAAAUAUUUUAUUUCUACAAGUACAAAUUUUGGUAUUAAAAUCUGAAACAUAGAAAGAAAUGUAAGUCAAACCAAAAGGCGAUAAACAUGUCAACUUGGAAACGGAAAGAAAUAGCUCUAAAAUAUUUCACUCUAGCUUUCACCAUACAUACAGUGUCAAUGUCAGGAAUUUCUCAAAGAGUGUUCAAAUUUGAAAGAAGCAAAAUAAAUUCCUCGAUAAAGGGUAUUCAAUAUAUAUUAUAUAUCUCUAACACCUAAUAUUUUUUUACAUAUAUAUACAAUGUAUACAAGAGUGUAGCUUCGCCCCUGCAUAUAUAAGAUAAAAAUUAAAAUGGUUCUUUCAGUUGUUGUAGCAAAGAUAAUAAGAACGUUCUAUCUCAAAUAACAAUAGAUUGACUUAAACAUAUCAUAAGGGGAGCCAAAAACUCCAUUUCUCCUCUUCCGGACUAAAAUACAAACGAAAAGGAAAUAUGAUAUUCCCAUUGACAUAAAAAUGGUAUUUUGAAUCCAACUAUACCAAAUGGUGACCUAACAUUGCAGAGAGAUGAACCAAAAUGGCAUGCAAGAGUCAACAACACGUGAUAGGGAAAAACAUAGAUUGAAAAUUAUAACAAUGCAAACCAAAUUUCAACAGUUAAGUCUGAUAUUUUCGUCUCUUUUCACACCUGCAUUAAAGGAGUUACCAUAUUAGAAUUAAGGGUUAUUAACAUCGAUUCUCCUCUCAUUACCACCGUCAAACCCAUGAGAAGAGCCAAAUGAGCACCUCCUCUUAUUCAUACCCGGAAGAUUCCACUCUUUCAAAAAUACAUGUUUUCAACCGCAUUGAUUAUUAGCUUCAUUUAUUGGAACUAAAGUAACUUAAUCUCAUAGUAAGGAUCUGCCCUAAAGAAACAAAGCUAAAAGAGGCAGUUGCAGCUAAGUUGCUUGGACACGGGUGCGGGUGUCUGACACGGGUACGAUCUAGAGGUCAGGUCCUUCGAGAUGUAAAUUAUAAGAUAAAAAUACAGGUGUUGGGAUCCGGGUAAAAUAAUUCAAUAUAAAUUUAAAAAUAUGUCUAAAUUAUGAGAAAUUUUGUGGAAUACUUAAGUAUAGCUUGUAAAGUGUGAAUUUCUUUUUUAUUCUCAAGUUGUAGAUAAGUAAAGGACUGAUUACUUAGAUAAGGUAUUUUAUUUUCUUCAAAUUUACACUAGUUUUGGUUCUGAUUUCGGGAAUCAAAUUGUAUCUCGUCUAGAAUUUUUUCCGUCCGUCGUGGUCAAAGUACCCAAAACUGUUUGAUCCAUUUCCCUUUUUUUUAGAAUACAAAAUCACGAAGUGAUCUCAUUAAAGCUCGGAACGUACAUACUUACAGAUCUCAUACCUGCACCCAUACUAGUGUCGCAUCGACACAAGUGCGGCACCCAAACUGCAGUGUCGGAGCAACUUAGGUUGCAAGCUGGAUUGUUUCCUGAGAACUUCCCAGUUUAAGAGAAAGUAAAAGUAAGAAACAAUAAUUUACUUUACUAGUAAUACUAAAUCUCAAGAAUCAAAGAACUUCCCAGUUUAAGAGAAAGUAAAAGUAAGAAACAAUAAUUUACUUUACUAGUAAUACUAAAUCUCAAGAAUCAACUAUUAAACUCGGGGAAUCAUGGAACAACAUUGGAGACUUAGUGAGUCAAAAGACAUGGUGGAGAUUGAUACCUACAUGCAUAUGGUGGACAGUAAGGAAGGAGAGAAACUCAAGAGUUUUUGAAGACCGAUACAAGUCCGUUCGGGAUGUCAAGAUGUACUGUAUUCUUCUAUUUUAUUUUUGGUGUAAAGAAAAUCUUGUAGAGGAUACAGAAUCUUUGGUAGACAUGUUAGGCUUUUUGAGGUUAAGAUAUAUCAAGAUUGAUACCUAAAGUAUCAAAAGUACAUGAAGUUAUCAGUGCAACAAACUUGGAUGUACAUUCAUUUGACUUCUCCCAGGUGCCCUGCCGAUGUUACUAUUUUGUAAACGUUAUAUCAAACUCAGAAACUAAGUCUUCUUUUAAUAUAUAUACAGAUGCAUCAAGUCGUGGUAGAACUUUUAACAGAAGUUAAAAAGUAUACAUCCAUGAUUUCUUGUGGAAGUAAAAGAUAAAACCAUAUUAAGGUCCAGCCUAAGACGCGAUAUCUCAGCUUCUCAAGCUAUUCCUGUCUCUUUAGCUUUCCAUUGGUAUUUUCUUACUACUUGUUUUCUUCUCUUUUCCUUCUUCUUUGGAAUGACUACUGUUUGCCUUUAUUCUGGGCUUAUAAGUUACCAACCAUUUUCCAAUUGGAUUCUAGAGAAGUUAAGAGGAAGAAAGCUCACUGCUGGGUCUUUCUUAGAAAAUAGUUAUGCUCAAUCUUUCUUAGAAAAUAAUUCAGUAAUUGUGCAAAUGCUGACAUGUUAUACGUUCUGUUUUUUUUUGGUUUCCUUUCCCUAAUUCCACUGUUACUUCUUUUUGGUAAUGAAAGAGUUAGCAUUCUGAAAGUAAUUUUGCAGCUAAAUUUACUGUUUUGAUUUAGCUGUAUGUGCCAUUUACACUAUCCAUACAAGGAAAGAAACCAAGCAUGUUUCCUCUUAUCCUGUCUUCCAUAGGAAAAGGAUUCAAUUCUGCUGGUGCUCUCCUGAAAUGCUGAACCAUGUUGUUUCUUGAAUCUUGCCUCAGACUUUAGAUCUUUUCGCUUAACUAUAAGCAAUCGUCAUCAAUAAAUUCUGAUUUCUGCCAAAGAUCUCAGAAGCAUUUCAUUCUCCUCUUCGGGUUUUACAUUCUUUGUUAUGCAUUUACAUACAACUCAUUGUGCUUCUUCUAAAGGCAUCAAAUUAGUUUCCAUGGGGUCAAAGAGAUAUGGAGAGAGGGGAACGCUUUGUCGCGUUCCUUUCUUUUCCAUUGGGUAAAAGAUCAGUCAUUAUCAAUAGAUUAAAGUAGCGACACUUGAUACCUAUUGGAUUUAAAAGAAAAAUUACCAGAGGAUGAGCAGCGAAGUAAAUACCAGAAAUGAACCAGAAGAAGCCUUCUCAAAAUAAACAAAAACAAAAAAAGAUUAUACGUGAAGAUCUACUCAUCAUCUCCUAAGCAAUAAAUCUUAUGAGAAUGCUGUUAGGACAAUUUGAGCUGAAUGAUAAAUCUACCCAAUGACGUUGCAACAUUAGCCAUUUUAAUACACUCUUAAUUGUCCAGAAUAAGGCAUGUCCCUCUCAUUCAUACUGCUUCUUUCCAAUUCCAAAUUGUUAAGAGUUUCAAAUUUGAUCUUCUUCCGAAAUUACUAAUCCCAUUGUAAUCUUAAUACUUGAAGCUAACAUAAGAUCAUCAUAAACAGGUGUCAUAACAGGUAUUUCUCCUUCAUUCUGUCUUCAGUAGUAGAUUACACAUAUGAUCACCACCUCUACUUGCCAAUUAGACAAGAAUGUAAGCAAAGGAUAAGAGACAAACCAUCAGAAUUUCACCAAUUACAUACACUAGAUAGGAACUUUGAGAUACUACUAUGACAACGUCAGAGCAGAAUAAGCUUCCCGACGUACAAACUAGAUAUUAAGAUUGGCUAUAGAACAUCGUGAUUCCUUGCUUCUAGUACAUUACAUUUAAGUAGUGCCAAGUAGUGAGAUUGAAACAAUGCAUGCAAUCUUAGACACAAGCAAGGGUCUCAAAGUGUUGAAAGGCUUGACCCCAUUUAUACUUGUACUCUAAGGGAUCCUGCUUGACAGAAGCAAAGUUUGAGACAUUACAUACCUCCUCAAAGGUCCUGCCAACGAUAUCGUAGUAAUAAAUUCUGCCUUGAGCUGAUACUAUAAGCAUAGUCUUCCCUUCUCUAUUUGCCUCGACCAAACAAAGUACAUCAACCUUAAUACCAUCAGCAUUACCUCCAAUUGCCCUACCAAGAUAACCAAUAUCAAUGCGAUACUUCAACGACCAACCGGAAUAAUCUAUCUGCAACUCCAUUACAUCCACCAGUGAAGCUGCUCCCCCAUCACAUUCCUGAAUAACAUGGAGGCGCCCGCCCCAAUCGCCAAAAUAACAAAUCUUUCUCCCAUUUUCAGGAACACUAGUACUAGGCAUUGUCCUAAACCUCUCAUUCUCGACAUCAAAUGCUAGAAAAGGCUUGUUUUCGCCCACCCAAUGAAGACAACCUUGCAAAAACACGCCCCUUUUCAACAAGUAAUCAUAUUUAUCAUUAAACCCCUUUCCUGUAUCCUUCCAUGUACCACUUUCUGAAGCAUAAAUCAAGAUAUGAUACACGUAAUCCUCAGAAGGGUCAUUGUCAUUUUCCGAAUUAUAAGCAUAUAUGCAAAUAAUUCUGUAAAAAUCGGAUCUUGACGGAUCAAAUGCUAAAUUUAUAGCUUUAAUAGUAGAGAGGCUAAAUUUUUUAGGCAGUGAAAGAGAAGCAUAAGAGCAUGUACAUGGGUUAUAAACAUAAAGGUUACAUUCACAAGGAGCCAACAAAAGUCCAAAACACAACAACCCAUUACAAGAAUGAAGGUGAUGAAAACCUGAAAAGGCUAAAGGGUAAUGAAACCUACGAAUGGAAGAAGGGAUGGUUCUAGAAUAACAUUUUUUGUCGUUGGAAUUAUUGGGUAAGUAUACGAGGUGGUCCAUAAGAUGUUUGAAGGAGAAUGUACGGAACAACAAGAGACCAGUGGCGGCGGAAGUGGAGGCGUGGCGGCGGCAGUGACGGCGGCGGAAAUGAGGAGCGGAGAUGAGAGAGUGCCAGUGUUUGGAAACGCAGCAGCAUUGGAGAAGAUUUUUUGUGGGUAAUCGGAGGAGAAUUUCACUUAGAACGUCUUCCUUGUCGGCGAUCACUUCGCCGCCGGCGGAAGCGGUGAGAUCACCGGCAACCGGCGAAGCAGCCUUGAGUAUUGCCAUUCAAAUUUGGGAUGAUACGCACAAUUUUUGUGAAGGAAAUGCGAAGAGUUUUUAGUUAAAAUCUCUCUUGCGUUUUAACUUUCCUAAACUUUGAACCUGUUUUUAAAUUUGCCUCUUAAUUAUUAAUAUUUAAAUUAUUAAAUAUAUUUAUUUUUUUUACUUCACAAUCAUUUAUUGGAUCUGAAUAUAUCUAUGUGAUUAAGAUUUAUAACAAAAACUUAAUUCCAUUAAGAUAUUAUUACUCAUAUUCAUUAUUAACUGUCGUCACCAUCUACCAUUAUCAACUAUCACCGUACCACCCACCAUAUCAUCACCUUCACCGCCACCGUCACCAUCACCAUGUCACCAUCACCAUCCUCAAUCAUAGACGCCACCAUUAUAGACUACCACCACCCAUCAUCCCUACCACUCUCACCACCGUCAUUCUCAACCACAACCAACACUCAUCCACCUCAACUACCACAACUAACCAUUCCAUCACCAUCAACAAUCAUAACCGACACUAUCCAUCAUUAUAAACUAUCACCACCACUAUCACCUUCCUCAAUCACAACUACCAUCACCUGUUAUUAUUAACUAUCACCACCCACCACUACCAUCCUCGAUCAUAAUCGUCACCACUAGCUAUUACCUUGUACCACCACCAUAAACCAAGACUACCACCAACCACCGCCUCUAGUCGACAUUCACAAACACUACCGUUAGCCAUCACCACCAGCAACUAUUAUAUUUUUAAAAACUAUAUAUUUUAUUGAUAGAAUAUUAGAUUAAUUAGUAUUUCGUAUGAAUUUAUGUUUAUUAAUUUUCAAAUAAAGAUAAAUUUAAUAUAUUCAAAUAUUAAAAAUUACAUAUUUAAAUAUCUUAAUCUUAAUACAAAUUUUGAUAUUAAAAUGUGUAUUCAGAUUCAUACGUAUUAAUCUUUAAAAAAACAAUAUGAGGCCUUAGUACACCUAACAGAAAAAAAUAGAACACAGAGCACUAAACUAACAGCACACGCAUGUUUCAUUCAAAAUGACACCGUAACACUUCAGGCAGACAGCAUAGACCAAAAACCAUUCACAUUGACGCCGGAAGCACUUCACAUAUUGGACAAAUUGACACUAGAAACUUUUAGCCACAAAAAUCAUUGCAGUCGGAUCUUUAGCCCAUGUGACAUGGAUUUAACAUUAAACCACUGUUAGUUUAUAGGUCUCAUUUGGAGUUUCUGUCAAAUAGACUAAAACUAGUGGCGGGUGUAAGGUAUAGUUACUGGAUCUCAGGAACUCAGUAACCUUUGCGAAGAUUUUGUAUUUUUAUUAAAAAAUUUAUUAAAUAUCUAUAAAUAUAUAAUUGUGAAUCCAGUUAAUAUUGUAUAUUAAUUUGAGAUUACAAUAGGAACCCAUAAAUUUUAAAUUUUGGAUCCGCCUAUAACUAAAACCGCUUAGUAAAGUUAAAGGAUGUGAAAGGAUCAAAUGAGACCUACUCUUAAACAUAAGGCACAAUUUUAGUCGAAAUCUGAGUAUGAAUUGUGCGCUGGACUAUAUAGUUAUGCUUUUACUGAAGAGGUUCAAUUCAUAUGCCCAAUUAAGUUUCAUCAUGUGGGGUUGUGAUGAUACUUAAUCUCUAAAAUUAGGUAAAUUUAUCAUAUAAUGUGUAAUGACCCAACUGGUUAUUUUAACUUUUAGAAAUCUGUUCCCUAAAAUAAAACUCCCCGAACAUGCUUUUAUUAAUUUAUGACUCGCGGGGAUGGUUGAUUCGGGAUUUGGAAGUGUGUGGGUUGAAAUCGGAACACUUGGUUCCUUAAAUUAGCUUUAAAUGGACAAGUUUGACUUCGGUCAACAUUUUGAGAAAACGACCCCGGAAUCGGGAUUUGACGGUUCCAAUAGGUUCGUAUGAUGAUUUUGGACUUAGGUGUAUGUCCGAAUCGGGUUUUGGAUAACCCGGGAGCGUUUUGACGCUUAAUAGUAAAAAUCAACUAUUUGAAGGUUUAAAAUUCUUUAAAUUUGGUUUGGAGUAGGAUUUUGAGUAAUUGAAGUCCGUUUGUAAUUUCGAGUUUGAGAAUAGUUUCGUAUAGUGAUUUAAGACUUGUACGCAAAAUUUCGUGUCAUUCCGAAUAGUUUAAGUAUACUUUCAGCGCAUUGGAAAUAAAUUGAAGAACUUGAAAUUCUUAAGUUUGAAUCAAUUUGGUUUGAGGUGUGAUUCAUAGAUUUGAUGUUGUUUUACACGUUUCAUGAGUUCGAGCGAGUCCGUUUUAUGAUUUUAAACUUGUUGAUAUGUUCGAGCGGGGUCCGGGGGGCUCCGAGUGUCAACCGGACGAGGCUCGGACCAAGUUGGAAAUUGGGAGCCAAAAUUGAAGCUCCCAACUACUAUCAGAAUCGCAUAUGCGCUUGGCCAGUCGCAGGUGCGACAUUCGCAGAUGCGACAGAAGCUCGCAGGCGCGGCACUCGCACAUGCGAGAUUUCUUCGCAAAAGCAGAAAAGGGAAGGGGAGGCCAUCACCACAGAUGCGGAAUUUUGGCGCACCUGCGAUCGCGCAUGUGCGAAGCAGUGUGCGCAGAUGCGAGUUUGGCCAAGGCUAGUGAGAACGCAGGUGCGGUACACUAUCCGCAGGUGCGAAAAUCAUUGUUGGGCAGAAUGGUUAAAAAUCGGGGCUCAGACAUUUUGAGCCCAUUUUUUCUCCAUUUCCGGGAGAUUUCAGAGCUUUUGAGAGGGGGAUUUUAACUAGCAAUUGGAAGGUAAGUUAAUUCUACACCCCUUGAGUUAAAUACAUAGAUUAUAGGUAGAUUAUAACUAGUAAAUCUUAAAAAUCAUGGGUUUAGGUGAAAAACCUAGAUUUUUAUAAAAAUAACAUUUUAACCACGAAAAUAGUUAUGGAAUUGGAUAGAAAUUAUAUAUUUGAGUUCUUGAGAUUAUAGGUGACGUUUCCAUCCAAAAAAUUCCGGAAUCCGGGUACGUGGGCCCGGGGUGAAUUUUAGAAAUUUUUUCAUAUUGGAUAGGCUAAUUUAUUUAAUAGAUGAAUUUUGAAUUAUUGAACAUAUAUUAAUUAUUUUAUAUAUCUUUUGGACAGUUUCGGAUUUUUCGGCAUCGAAUCGAGAAUUUUACGCGACGCGAUAAUCGAAAAGUGGAUUUUAAGACGAGGUAAGUCUCUUGUCUAAUCUUUGUGAGGGGAAAAUUAUCCUAUAUGGAUUAAAUUNNNNNNNNNNNNNNNNNNNNNNNNNNNNNNNNNNNNNNNNNNNNNNNNNNNNNNNNNNNNNNNNNNNNNNNNNNNNNNNNNNNNNNNNNNNNNNNNNNNNNNNNNNNNNNNNNNNNNNNNNNNNNNNNNNNNNNNNNNNNNNNNNNNNNNNNNNNNNNNNNNNNNNNNNNNNNNNNNNNNNNNNNNNNNNNNNNNNNNNNNNNNNNNNNNNNNNNNNNNNNNNNNNNNNNNNNNNNNNNNNNNNNNNNNNNNNNNNNNNNNNNNNNNNNNNNNNNNNNNNNNNNNNNNNNNNNNNNNNNNNNNNNNNNNNNNNNNNNNNNNNNNNNNNNNNNNNNNNNNNNNNNNNNNNNNNNNNNNNNNNNNNNNNNNNNNNNNNNNNNNNNNNNNNNNNNNNNNNNNNNNNNNNNNNNNNNNNNNNNNNNNNNNNNNNNNNNNNNNNNNNNNNNNNNNNNNNNNNNNNNNNNNNNNNNNNNNNNNNNNNNNNNNNNNNNNNNNNNNNNNNNNNNNNNNNNNNNNNNNNNNNNNNNNNNNNNNNNNNNNNNNNNNNNNNNNNNNNNNNNNNNNNNNNNNNNNNNNNNNNNNNNNNNNNNNNNNNNNNNNNNNNNNNNNNNNNNNNNNNNNNNNNNNNNNNNNNNNNNNNNNNNNNNNNNNNNNNNNNNNNNNNNNNNNNNNNNNNNNNNNNNNNNNNNNNNNNNNNNNNNNNNNNNNNNNNNNNNNNNNNNNNNNNNNNNNNNNNNNNNNNNNNNNNNNNNNNNNNNNNNNNNNNNNNNNNNNNNNNNNNNNNNNNNNNNNNNNNNNNNNNNNNNNNNNNNNNNNNNNNNNNNNNNNNNNNNNNNNNNNNNNNNNNNNNNNNNNNNNNNNNNNNNNNNNNNNNNNNNNNNNNNNNNNNNNNNNNNNNNNNNNNNNNNNNNNNNNNNNNNNNNNNNNNNNNNNNNNNNNNNNNNNNNNNNNNNNNNNNNNNNNNNNNNNNNNNNNNNNNNNNNNNNNNNNNNNNNNNNNNNNNNNNNNNNNNNNNNNNNNNNNNNNNNNNNNNNNNNNNNNNNNNNNNNNNNNNNNNNNNNNNNNNNNNNNNNNNNNNNNNNNNNNNNNNNNNNNNNNNNNNNNNNNNNNNNNNNNNNNNNNNNNNNNNNNNNNNNNNNNNNNNNNNNNNNNNNNNNNNNNNNNNNNNNNNNNNNNNNNNNNNNNNNNNNNNNNNNNNNNNNNNNNNNNNNNNNNNNNNNNNNNNNNNNNNNNNNNNNNNNNNNNNNNNNNNNNNNNNNNNNNNNNNNNNNNNNNNNNNNNNNNNNNNNNNNNNNNNNNNNNNNNNNNNNNNNNNNNNNNNNNNNNNNNNNNNNNNNNNNNNNNNNNNNNNNNNNNNNNNNNNNNNNNNNNNNNNNNNNNNNNNNNNNNNNNNNNNNNNNNNNNNNNNNNNNNNNNNNNNNNNNNNNNNNNNNNNNNNNNNNNNNNNNNNNNNNNGUGAGUGUCAAAGUCAGUCAUCUCGUCUCUACCACUUCGAGAUUAGGCUUGAUACUUACUAGGUACACGUUGUUUACGUACUCAUACUACACUUCCUGCACUUUUAUGCAGGACCUGAGGCAAGUACUAGUGGGGGACCUAUCGUAUUACACCCACGUUAUCCAGGGACAUAGUGGUGAGCUACACUUUCUGAGCCGUUCUGCAGCUACUAGGUCUCUCCUUGUAUUUUUUAUUCUGUCUAUUUUUAUUUCAGACAGUAUUUGAGAUUUUGUAUAAUCUAUUAGAUGCUCAUAAACUUGUGACACCAGGUCUUAGCACACACAUUGGUAGAAUUUGGUAUUUUAUUAUUUUUUGGGUUUUAAAUUUUGUCAAUAUAUGCUUAAUUUAUUAAGUUGGUUUGCCUAGCUGUAGUGUUAGGCGCCAUCACGACUUAUAGGUGAGAUUGGGUCGUGACAUAAUGAUGUCAAUCAAAAUAUAACAACUUCAAAUUAAUGAAAACUGCAAAAAUACGAUAAUACUAUCAAACGUGGAUACAAUAUUCAACUUUCCAAAAUCCGGUAGUACUUAGUCAUAAGCUCUAAAUGGAAUACACAUCAAGUCUCGAAGAGUACAAUACUGUUUGAAAAACAUAAACAGUAUAAAUAAAGUAAAGAGGGUGACUCUGACGCCUGCGAACGGAACAUCAGGGAUACCUUGAAGUCUCCAAUAAGCAUAACGAUCUGUCCGAUCAGAAAUAACUGGAUCUGCAUAAAAAAUGUGGAGAAGCGUAGUAUGAGUAUACCACAAUCGGUACCCACUAAGUAUUAAGACUAACCUCAGUGAAGUAUUACGAGGUUCAAGUCAUGUGAUACUCACUAGUCAAAUAAUAUAUAGAAUUUAUCAAAAGAAAACUGACAACAGAAUAUAUAGCAGAGACAACAUCAACAACCUUUUUUGGAUAUGUGAUAACAACUCAAAUAAGUAAAAGUUCAUCUUGACAACAAGUCAUCAAAUAGAAACAUAAACAUAUGGCACCUCGUGCCCAUAAUUUUGUCACAAUAACAAUGCCACAUGUAUCUCCCUGCCUUGACGAUAAUAAUAUCCCACCUUGUCGCUCCCGCCUGACAAAAUAAUAAUAUACCGCAUUGUCGCUCCUAUUUAACAAUAUCACGCCUUGUCGCUCCCACAUGACAAUAUAAUAAUAUCCUGCCUUGUCGCUCCGGUUUAACAUUAUUCUCAUCACAACAACAACAACAUCAAUCACAAUCGCACAUCAUAAACCUCGUGCCAACAUCCAACAAUCCGCCCAACACGUUCACAUGUGCCAUAAUAUCACAAAAUAAUAAUACCAAAAUUUCACCAAGAUAUAAGCUCACAACUUAAAAACAAAGUAUACAAGGAUAUGACAAUAACAUAAAAGUGUGGACGGGUGUUCAACAAAUAAAGCAUGACUAUGGCUAAGUCAAAUGUAGUGAUCAUGAUCAUGUAGUCACAAGUGGUUUAAGCAUGUUUCAUAUAAAGUAAAUUAUAAAAUUAAGGCACAUUAAUAGCCUACGGUCUAAUCCGGUCAUAAGUCAUACAUAGCACUCGUGUACACGUUCGUCACCUUAUGUACACAUCAUUUUUCACAUAACACGAAUAUGCAAUUAAGUCCAAAUCCAAAGGGUUAUUCCCCCGCACAAGGUUAGGCAAGAUACUUACCUUAAACAAACCAAAUCAAAUAUAGCCUAAAAUAAUUUAAUAAUAUCAAGCACGGCUAUAGAAAUUUAUUCCAAUUAAUAAAGCUCUGAUCUUUAUCAAAAAAUCAAAAGGUCAACCCAAGCCCGCCUUUCGGAACCCGACAAAAGUCAAAAAUCCUGAACAUCCAUUCAAAUACGAUUCCAACCAUACAAGUAUUAUCCAAAUCCGACUCCGAAUCAAGGUUCAAAUCCUUAAUUUUUAUUUUCGAAAAGUUUUGCCAAAAUUCCUAAUUUUUCUCACUUAGAUUCAUAAAUCAAAUGCUAAAAUCAAGGAUGGAAUCAUGAAUAAUAAUCAAAUCCGAUUAAAAAAUACUUACCCCAAUUCAAAUCGUGAAAAUUCCCUUAACAAUCGGCCAAAUUCGAGCUCCCAAUCUUAAAAUAUGAUAAAAUAACUCAAACCCUCAAAAUAGAAUAUUUAAAAUAUCGGCCCAGUUAUAUAAUUUGCGAUCGCGGGACCCACUUCGGAAUCGCGAAGGCCAAACUCUUGACCAGCUGUCGCUCCUCCUUCACGAACGCUAAGAUCAAUCAUGAACGCGAUGCCUGACCACCUGUUGAGCCUACGAGAAUGUGAGCCGUGUUCCACGAACACGAAGGCAUUCUUCCUCCUGGCAUCAUUCUUUCGCGAACGCAUGCCCCUCAAACGAUCACGCUGCUUCAUCUCCCCCCUCUCCGCAAACACGGUGCUUCUUCACGAACGCGAAGAGGAAAAUCCUCCAGACUGCUCCUUCUUCUCCGCGAUCACGAGGCAAGCUCCGUGAUCGCAAUGCACUGUAACUUAUCAUGAAACCAACAAUCCAAAACCAUGAAAAAUGAUCUGAAACCAUCCGAAAACACUUCUGAGUCUCCUCGGGACCCCGCCCAAUCACACCAACCAAUCUCAAAAUAUAAUACGGACCUACUCGAGGUAUCAAAUCGCAGAAAAUAACAUUAAAAUCACGAAUCGCACCUCAAUCCAAACUUAAUGAACUAAUACAAAUUUCUGAAUUUCAAACUUACGCCGAAUAUGCCUAAACAACUCGGAAUGACCCCAAAUUCUACACACAAGUCAUAAAUCACUAUACAAACUUAUUUCAAGUCUUGAAAUCCUAAACGGACAUCAAUAACCACAAAGUCAACUAUGGGUCAAACCUGUGAAUAAAACCUUCAAAUUGCCAACUUUCGCUAGUUAAAGCCAAAUCAAUCUAGGAACUUCCAAAUCCAAAUUUGGAUAUACACCUAAGUCCAAAAUCACCAUCCGAGCCCAACGAACCUAUCAAAACUCCGAUCUGAGGUCAAAUACACAAAAGUCAAACUUGGUCAAUACUUUCAACUUAAGCUUCUAAAUUAGGAACUAAGUGUUCCAAUUCAAUCCAAAAUCUUUCCGAAACAAAACGAACCAUCCCACCAAGUCACAUAAUAACAAAUACACAUACAAAAAGCAUCAAAUAGGGGAACAAGUCUCAAAUACACAAAACUAUCGGCCGGAUUAUUACAUUUUCCCCUCUUAAACAAACGUCGUCCUCUAACAAGUUUAGAAACAUACCUGAAGUGCCAAAAAUAUGAGGAUAUUUGCUCCGCAUAUCAUGUUCGGUCUCUCAAGUCGCCUUCUCGACCGGUUGACUUCUCCACUGAACCUUCACUGAUGUAAUGUUCUUCGACCUUAGCUUUCGGACCUGCCUAUCUAAAAUGGCUACCGGCUCCUCGACAUAAGUCAAAUCCUUGUCCAACUGCACCAAGUUGAAAUCCAACACAUGCGAUGAAUCCUCAUAGUAAUUCCGUAACAUAGAAAUAUGGAUCACCGAAUGAACUUCCGAUAAGCUGGAUGGCAAAACAAGUUUGUAGGCCACCUCACCAACUCUCUCUAUAACAUCAAAAGGACCAAAUACUGAGGGCUCAACUUGCCCUUCUUCCCGAACCUCAUCACACCCUUCAUGGGCGAAACCCUGCGUAGAACCCUCUCAGCUACCAUGAAUUCCACAUCUCAAGCCUUUCUAUCAGCAUAACUCUUUUACCUAGAUUGCACUGUAUGAAGUCGCUCCUGAAUCAAUUUCACCUUCCCCAAAACAUCACGAACCAAGUUAGUGCCCAGCAACCUAGCCUCCCUAUACUCAAACCAACCAACCGGAGAACGACAUCGAACCCUACAUAAAGCCUCAUAAGGAGCCAUAUGGAUGCUUGAUUGGUAGUUGUUGUUGUAGGCAAACUAUGCUAAUGGUAGGAACUGAUCCAAAUGGCCCCCGAAAUCAAUUACAUAUGCUCGCAACAUGUCCUCCAAGAUUUGAAUUGUACAAUCGGAUUGUCCGUCUAUCUAGGGAUGAAAUGUCGUAAUCAUUUUGACCUGUGUUCCCAACUCACGCUACAUAGCUCUCCAAAAAUGUGAUAUAAACUGAGUGUCUUAAUUCGAGAUAAUAGACACAGGCAUACCAUAUGGGUGAACAACCUCUCUAAGAUAAAUCCAAGUUAGCUGCUUUAAAGCGUAUGUAGUCAUGACUGGAAUGAAAUGUGCAGACUUGGUUAGUUUGUCCACAAUGACCCACACAACAUCAAAUCUCUUCAGGGUCUGUGGCUGACCAACCACAAAAUCUAUAGUGAUAUGCCUCCACUUCCACUUCGGUAUAUCUAGUCUUUGAAGCAACCCAUCAGGCCUCUGAUGUUUAUACUUAACAUGUUGACAGUUCAAACACUAUGCCACAUACUCAACAAUAUCUUUCUUCAUCCUCAGCCACCAAUAAUGUUGCUUCAAAUUAUUGUACAUCUUCAAAAUAGAGUCAUGGUGAAAUAAAAUUUCACCGGCUAAAGAAUUAUUUAAAUUUUUAUAUAGCCGAUUAAGGUGGAUUUUGAAUUAAGGAUAAUAUCUUCACUUACAUUAUUAUACAAGUAAUCCCCAUUGAAAUAGAAAGUUUUAAAAAUUAGAAUUUUCAAUUAAAAUAUCUUUAAAAAAAUAACAGCAUACCAAAUAAGGUUCAAGUCGUAUCCAAAGAUGUCACAACCCA
Molecule: long non-coding RNA, 93509 nt
Filed under: Nicotiana tabacum (common tobacco)
Lineage: Eukaryota; Viridiplantae; Streptophyta; Magnoliopsida; Solanales; Solanaceae
Description: long non-coding RNA (NTAB_LNC010423)
Rfam family: Eukaryotic small subunit ribosomal RNA (bases 48810-49498)
Source: RNAcentral